GACGGAGGGACUGCGGCGGCGGGAGGCAGCAGUGGUGGUUGUGGAGGGGGUGGAUUUGAGGGCAGAAAACGUGGGGAAGGAAACAGAAGGGAGGUGGGGGUUGGAAGAGCCAUGGCGAGGGAUGGAGCCGGCGAGAACGGCCUGGGAGAGAGUGAGGGAAGAAGAAGAAGCCAUGACUCUCUUGUGGUAGUGGUGUUGGUGGGGACUUGGGAGGGAGAAGAAUUAGGAGGUGUGUUUGUUCGGGGUGGAUAGAUUAUAUCGAGAAGGGAGGGAGGAGAGUUGGUGGACUUUUUAAUUUGAUUUUGUUGCUGUUUUUAUUUAAUGAUGAUGGAUAAUAUAUAUGACGUCGUACUACAAAAACACAUUGGUGUGUGCCGUGAGAAAGGGAUAAAAAGAGGCUCUAUUGGAGACCGAAAGAGGUACAAAAGCUUUGCUUUUUUUUUUUUUUUUAAAAUUUUGGAAAAGGGUAUUACCGAAUUAUAGAAGAGUGUUUAAUUAUAAAUUUGUAGCAUUUAAAAUGUGAAAAAUAAUUUUUAAAAAUUAUUAGAGAUAAAAACAAGGAAUCGAAACGAAACGGGCCUUGAGCAUAUGUACACCAAUUGAGUCAAUAAAAAGCCGUUAACAGAACCUCAACUGUAAACGCUGCUACUAUUACUAAUAUCCAAUUCUUGUGUAUGGCAAGAGAUGAACGGUUGAAAGGACAAAAGAUUUUAUUAUUGAGAACUGGGGUAAGGAAGAAAAGGGACAGAGAUUCGAUCAAUGACAGACAGAGACUGGGGAAGAAGAAGAGGGAGAGCUUGUGGUGGCAUGAGAUAGGAUGGGGGAGGAGAAACCGAGGAAGAGAUCGGGGCCGUUGAGUAAGGGUAGGAUAUCAAUGCUUUUCAAAUUUUUAAUGAAUUAACGUUGUCCGCAUGCAGAAUUUUCUGACUCAAGUUGUGCAUUCGUUUGCUUUGUAAGGUGAAUUAAACUAAGAGAGCAACAACGACUAAUAAAGUCUUGAUCAAACCUCCUUAGAUUAGAUUAGAUUAGAUUAGAUUAUAGGCGGGGUUCAGACCUCAAACCUUCAAGGCUUCAACCAAAAAAAAAAAAUUUAAGAAUAGUAUUAUAGCAUUUUUUUGAUUUAGUUAAAUCUGUAUACUCACUAAUCUCUAACACAUGCCUCCUUAAACUUUCCUUCCCCUUAAAUAAGAAUAGAAUAGAUUAUACAAUGUAUCGUUACUGGCACGACAAAAAACGCAGCCCCCAAUUUGUUUGGUGAGAUUUGCGUCUGCAUGACAUAAAUUUUUGUUUGCAGCUCUUGGAAUAUUUGCUAUGCAUUUCAUCAAUCAACUAACUAACGGGUCUUGUCUUGAAAGAAUGGCUCUAAAAUUUUAAUAGACCAAACAUAAGUGGUCGUUGUAGGAGAAAAGAGAGAACAUAGGUGGAGUCGGCGAAAUGUUUUAAGAACAAAUCUAGGGAUAGUUUUCGCAUCCUGUACAAAUUCAACCUCAUUGACUAGAAAAAGUUGAGCCGCCAGACUCCACCUACCUCCGUAUCCAAUCCACCAUUUCUGUUAUUGUUUUGGCAACCCUUCAAUGACUUAGAGGCCAUUCAGAGGUUGCUGAGCUAUAUAUAUAUAUAUGCGUAGGGCAAAAAAAAAAAAAUGGGUGGGGGGUUAGAGUAUAUGUCAUUGGUUCUGUGACCUCAGUCCUCUAUAGCCGAAAGUCAAGCAUCUUCUAUCUCUUAGAAUAAAACACCUAGAAGGCUAGAACCAAUACGCAAUAAGUGACGCAAUAACUCAUGUGGGCUUUUGGGCAUACAAGUGACGCAAUAAUAAGACAACAAAAGUAGAAGAUGAUGAUCUUCUUCAACAAAUUUGCAACCAAAUAAGAAAACCUCAAAGCACCCGACCCGAGGACAAAAUUUUCAUAAAUGAUGAAUAGGAUCGAUGUUCAACACAACAAUGAGGCUAAUCCCUUUAGCGGGCGUGUAGACAAGCAAAACAAGCCCUAAUAUCAAAAGAAAGUACGAAAGUUAGAGAACAUAUUGCAUGAAAACAAAUAAUAAUAAUAAUAAUAAAAGAGUACCCCAAAAAAGGCUGGAUUUUGACAUGAAAAAUUCUUGGCACCCUGGAGACUAGAAGUUUGCUACUCAAAAGUCAGCUUCAGAUUAAACUUCUGCAUAUAUGCUCAUCGUGCGCAAGUCUAGCACGGAGUCUGAAGGGCAAAAGCUUGUUCAAACAAGGAAUGGCAGCUAGUAAUUUAUUUUUAAACGACAAAGGAUGAAUAUAACAUCAAGAAAAAUACACCAAAUCUAUACUCGUCAAAUGCUGAAAAGUUGACUUCUAAAUUUUCAGAUGUAUCCAUGGUACAUUACAAAUUAUGUUGUAAGAACAGGUGUUCUCGAAAGUUCUGAAGUCCUUGUGAUGGGGAUAAUGGAAGGAGAGAUGACUAAAACGUUGAUUUUACCACCAGACGAUUUGAUUCAUUGUCAUUCAGCCUCAGACAACAAAUUGGUUCUAUAAUUACAAAGCUACAAGGAAACAAAGCACCCCUGCAUUGAUUUCUAGGGAAUCAGUAUAAACUUACAUCAGUUUGACUCGUUUACAGUUUGAAGCCAAAUUUCGGAUCCCUCGGCCAGUUACAGCAUAUGGAGCAGAUGCUGAUCGAAUAGAAGGUGACUUGUCAAUGUGGGCAUAGCGUCCAUUGCCAUUCCAGUACAAAAUGAUACGAUUUGUACAAGCAUGUGACCAACUAUCACCUGCCCAGCAAGAUUUAGGAACUCAGAAAAGGAUAUGUCCCUGAUGACCAGAAUCUGGAAUCAGGUUGGAUGAAAGACAAAGAGGGAGGAAAAAUUAACUAUAAAAACAACAGUAGCAGAGCACCCAAGGAAAGACAAGUAUAAGAAAAUUAUUCUUAAAGAAGACAGAUUCUUACCUAGAGCAAGAGUCAGUUGAAAUGAACCUCCCGAAUACUUGGUGGUUACUUGAUUCAACAAAAUAACCUGUAUUAUGAUGUCCUCUGGUCAUUAGAGUGCACAAACAUGAAGUAAUGCCAUUCAGUUGGAUAAGAAGGAGACAGCUUAAAGAAUAUGAGAAGGAAAAGAGAUAGUCUAAUUCUUACCGCUAGAGUAAAUUUCUUUGCAAGUUUCAUCAACUUCAAGGCCAUUCCACCAAGUAAUCGAGUUCUAAGUGCCAUGUCAUCAAAAUCUUGACGGAAGUGAAAAGUAAUGCUGUCAACAAUAACAACCUUGAUCUGUGACAGUAGAGGAAUGUCAAUAAUUUACAACGAAAAUUUGCAUAAUGCAAGCUCUCAAUGACAUCACCAACAUCAUUAAAAGAAAAGAAAAAAAAGAACUUAAAUACUACACCUACAUCUUUAUGCUCUGAAAUGAACUUCUCCAAGUAAUUUAUCACGGCGAUUUGCUCUGUGUAACUGCAAAUGCGAAAGUAGUAUAUAUUGGCAAGAAAAUCAUUUGCCUGCAGAUUUACUUGACGGGCUGGCAAAUCUUUACGUAGAAAGCUAUCAUAUUCUUGCAUGUCUUUGAUGCAUGCUUCAGCAACUUGCUGAACACGUUCAACCAUAAAGCUGCCUUCUGUAUCUAAAAAAAGAACUCAUAGAAUCUUCAGUUGAAAUGCCUUUGGAGAAGCAGUAGCAGAUUUAGUCACACCACCAUGAGUAUUUUGUGUACCGUACUUACCAAUAUAAACUGCUUUCCCUGCAAGGCCACCAUAUUCAAGUGGAAUUUGAACAUUGAUGGCAAGUUGAAUACUGCAUGCUAGUAUAUGUCUUAAUAAGAACCAAAAGGAACAGAACAAAAUUUGUCAAUCAACUGUAAACAGGAACAAAUUCUUACCCAAGUUGUGUUUUACCAAUUCCUGGCACUCCACCUGACAAAAUAGAAAGUGAUAAAGCUUGAGAUUGUCAGCAAUUUGUAGAUGUCCUCUGUCUCGUUCUCUCUCUCUCUCUCUCAAUGAAAGUGUUUAAGGUACCAAACAUGGUAGGAACCACCAUAGAGAUGAUAAAAGACUAACCAAUUUCAGUAACUUCUUUGCAACUUAUUCCUCCACCUAGGAUGUCAUCAAGAUCUGCACAUGAUGUGGUAAUUCUUCUGCAUGAUUCCUCCUCAUGCAACAUGUCCCAGGCGGUCUGUGCCCCUAAACAAGAAGAAAAAAUUAAGAUUCAGUUAGCCGAAUUUUGUGCAUCCCUUGUAAGAGGCCGCAUCUAGCAGACAAAAGAAAUAUCUUACACAACAAGAUCUAUGGUUAACAAAUUCCUUCAUUCACAAUCCUCAGUAAACAAAAUUUACACACACACAAUCGGUGAUACACUUUUACAACUUACUGUGUUGGCAUGCCAGUAAAAUGGUAGAAAAACAAGAAGAUAUUCACAUAUUCACCUAAAAAAAAUCUCAAGUACAACAAAAGUGCUAAUUCGGCAUAGUAGGUGAAUCUUCAGACUAUAUAUUCCAUAACGCGAAAUGUAACAAAGCAAGAAAAAACUAAACAAGCCCAGCAUAUCACUGUAGAUUUGCCCUCCUUAAAAAUAAUAAAAAUAAAAAUUUUGUAGCUCCACGAAACGGAUACAUCACACCUAUUUGGUAAAAGCAAAAGGAAAAGAUUACCAAGUACAAUCCCUUUAUGAUGAUAGUCAUGACUCAUGCAUUAGUGAAGUAAAACAAAUAGAACAACUCCACAGCAACAUCAAAUUCCACAGCAACAUCAAAGGCCCCCCUCAAAAAAAAAAUCACAAUAAUAAUAUAUAAUCAGCAUUGAUAAAUUACUCAAACCAUCAACAAUAGAAUGGUGACUUGGAAUGGUUCUCUCCGGUCCACCCCUUUGGGAUGCCACCUUCAAAAUCCCAGUAGCCUCGUUCUCUGAAAUCCCCAAAUCUAGCCAUUAAACAAGAGAAACCCGUCAGGGGAAAUGUUAUAAAAUAUUCAAAAAUUUAACUCACACUCAUUUAGCGCAAAGAUUAGCUAUUAUCCAACAAUGAGAUGUAUUUGCAAUCAAAUACGAGUACACAAGAAAAAAGAGAAUAGAUGACAUAACAGCUCUAGUAAUACCAACAAGAAGGCAUACCACGGGCGAGGUGGGCGGCGAGAUAGAGCUGAGGGAGGAGAUAGAAAUGUAGCCGGCGGAUAUCAACUUUGCUCUAUGCGAAGCUGAAAUUGGGAGACUCGAUACUUCCAUUCUCUCUCAAAUUUGUCUCAGUGUGUGACUGUGUGUUUUUGUUUAGAAGCUUUUCGCGGUUUUUGUUCAAUUGAGAAUCUGUUCAAAGGGUUUCAAUUUCAAUUCAAGUGCUGCUGCAAAGGAAGCAUUCACAAUACUUAAACGCUGCGUUUCAGAAACAUUAUAAAAGUUUCUUCGGCCCAGAGACUCUACCAAGCUGGCCCGAAUCCGUUGAACUCGUCUUAAUUAGAGAAAGUUCUGGUUUGCUGUAAAAGGUUGAUAUUGAUUUUGUUUCCUAUCGUUCGGCCGCUGCUACAUACGCGCAUCGCAGCAGAAGGCUUAUUUCAUUGGGCCCGAGUUUUAUUCACUCUUGAGUCUUGACCAGUUUGAAUUCAUUCAUCAUUUAGGGUCCGUUUGGUUGGACUGACAAUAUUUUCCCUAGGAAAAUAUUUUCCAUCGAAGCCACUUUCCUGAAAAAUCAAUUCCUUCCCCAAAAUUUUCCAGUGUUUGGUUAUUAAGUGAAAAUAUUUUCCAAAUUCCUUUUUUAUAAUUUUUCAGUGUUUGGUUUGUCAAUCAAAAACCUUAUUCAUGGUACAGAAUUAGAACUAUUGGUACGUAAAAGCACCCUAAUCAAGUCUAGAGUGACUCAAAUCCCUGCUUUAAAUGUUGUCGGCCUCAGUUGGAUCAAAAAUCUGGAACAAUUCAAUACAUACAGAGGCAAAUAUAUGCCAAAAUAUAAAAUAUUGCUCAACAAAAACAAAAAUCACAUCUCCAAAUGGAAAAUGGUCCCAAAAAUAUCAGUUGCCCAGGCAGUAAAUCAUGGUUACAUCAUUAAUAGCACUGAAGAUUAUGUCCUUAAUAGCAGAGAUCUUCUGAUCUGUGACCGAUUGUGGAGAGAUGUAUCCCCUAUCAAUCUGCAUGUCAAAAAGAAUACUAACCAAGUCAUAUUUAAAUCACAAUUAUCAAGUAAACAAAACGCAAAGCAGGGGAAAAAGAUUUUCAUAUCAAGACUUGGGAAAGGCAUGGGGAAGCAGCUCGAACAGACCUCCAUUCCUUCCUCCACAUUGACUGUAGUCUCAAAGGAAGAGGAUGACUCAAUGGACAAGACACCAUCAGGUCCAACCUUGUCAAUUGCAUCAGCAACCAUGAUUCCAAUAGUUUCAUCAUUUCCAGCAGAGAUAGUAGCAAUGGCUGCAUAUAGAGGAAGAAAUACAUCAAUACGAAUUUCUCUGGUGACAUCAAACUAGGAACUAAAUGGACAAUACAUAUGGAUCCACAUCAUAAGAGCCAAAAGAUAUACCUUUGAUAUCUUCACGACCUUUAACUGGCCUGCCCUUUUUCUCUAGCUCAUCAAUCAAACCUUGUGCAGUGGUUUUUGGGCAUGAAGAAUGAGAAUCAUGGGACAAUAACUUCACUCAUCCAUGGUUAUAACAGGCAAUGAUAAAUUUUUAGGAUUGUUAUCUCUGCAGAGCACUCCCUGCAACGGUAUUAGCAUAUAGAUACAGGGGCUGCUAAGACGUGGACGUAUCAAAGAGCGGCAGAAAUAAUUAGACACGAUACAAAAUGAACAAAAACAUUUAAUAGCUCCAAUGCCUCUCACGCAAACAGCUUUUCAGUACCGAUAGUUAAUAUUUGGAUGCCAGUACAACCAUAAAUAAUACAAAACCAUGACAGAAAAGGAUGACCAUAUUCAAUAUUACAGUUGAGACGAGAUUUUACAAGAGCGAAAUCUCAAAUGUUAAAAAGUUACAGCUCAACUGAGCUUGAAAGUGCCCUGCGGGUACUAACAUAAGCCUCCACUAGCAAGAAACUGCUGACUGAGAGUUUCAUUUCAAGGCAGAUAUCUAGUUUAAUAUAUACACUUCAGAAAGAUCUGUAUUCAAGUUCAAAAUUCUUCGAUCAACUGAGUUCCUAGCUAACUAACUUACAUCCUUUCGUCGGUCUAUUUGUGCAAAUAAACUAGCCUACUGUGUGACUAAGAAGCUACUAACCAGUUUCAUGUCUUAAAUAUCCAUCUUGAGUACAAUAUUGUUGACAUUGCUCUCCUGUAAUUUCUCCAGCGCAACAACCUCAGCCCGAUAAGCUGCUGCUGCAGCCGCUGUCCUUGCCCUCUCUCCUUGAGGAAGUUCACAUGCUUCGCUGAGAGAACCCAAUCUCAACUCAGCAGGUGGAAUGAAACACUCUCCCGACAGACCAGGAGCAUUAAAGGCUACUUCCUCGAUGGUCCAUGCUUCUUCCAUCCUGGUUUUGGUAUGACUCAUUGCUGUAUCCCGAACCUGAAAAGGAUAACCACUGAUCGCCCAGAGUGAGCAAUCACGAUCCCCUCAACAGGCUCACCAGAUUGUAAGAAAACACUACCCUACCCUACCCUACCCGGAUUCUGAUUCCAAGAAUCAUAAAACCCCCAAAACUCAGCAGCCAAAUUAAUUCAUUAGCAUCAAUCAAAUCAGAUUUAACACUAAUCAGAUAAGAACAAACUAAAACAAAAGCAAUCCACAAAUAUUCAUUCAAAUCCAACUUCAAGAAUCUACACCAGUAAUUCUAGACAAUUUUUCAAAAAAAGGGAAAAGGGAAAAAAAACUAAUAAGAGAUCAUCAUACCUCUGGAAAUACUUAAGGAGUCUUCACCUUUGUUGAAAAUGCUAUUGUAGGAACGGGAAUGAGAUGUCGCUGCCAGAGUGGGAUGAGCCGUUGAUAUUGGCCGCCGUAGUUGGAGAUGCCGCCGGCGAAGAAGGGAUUUGUUUGCUGAUGAGAUGUCGCUGGAGAUGGUUUGUUAUCACUGCCCCGAAGAAGAGACUGGUCUUUCAUCGAUGGUUCCUUGCUUGAGGCUGUGAAAAGAAGACUGCUUUUACGAGAGUGAAGUUAUUUUCCUCUCGUAAGUGCAACUUAUUUUUCUCUCAGAAAUUAUUUUUCUAAAUUAAUUGACAACCAAAUAAUCAAAAAUAAGGAAAAUGUUUUCCAAAAAACCUUUUUCAUCCAAACAAACAGACCUAAAAUUGUUGUUCAUAUGGGCUCUUUUUAUUUAGUUAACAAGAAUCAUAAUCAUAUUAGUAAUAGAAUUAGUUCAUAUGCUUUAAGCAUCAUUCAAAACGAGAAAUUUGAAUUUCUUAGUAUCAGCAUCAUUCAAAACGAGAAAUUUGAAUUUCUUAGUAUCGAAAUACACUGAUUGUAUAAUUUCAUCGAACCUUUACUAGAAACUGUAAAGCUUUUGUUAAUUUAUAAAAUCACUUACCGUUCCGAAAAAAAAAAUCAUUUCCAGCGAACAUGUCUUUUUCUUCUUUGAACACAAUUAUUCGUUCGUAUACGUCCACAGAAUCCCUGAACAGUUUAAAAUACUCAAAGGUUGUCUCGACAACUUUGCUGAUGCUAGAUGACUCUGUUUCUUCUGCAAAAGCUGGGAAGCUUUCUAUUCCUUUGCUGUUAGAGUACAAAUACUUGAUGGUAUAUUGGUAUUGAUAACAUAACGCACUCUAGCAAUAUCAAUUCCCAAUGCAUAUGUCAACCCGGUAAGGUAUUCUGUAGCGUACAAGAACUAAACAAACUGAUAUUGAACUUGGCAGAAUUAUCUCUAAUGCAUGCGUUGCAGUUUUAGAUUUCCAGCGUAGCUAAAAUGCAAUUUUCAUCUCUAAGUAAGUGAACGUUUGAUCAAUUGAUACAACUGCACAUGGGGGAAAAUUGCACUCUACAAACCAAAAUUUAUGAAGCAUUAUGCUUGUGCAUGUACAGAAACACAGUGCAGAUAACUGAAUAAACUCUUUUACGUCCUGAGAUGAAAUAAGACCAAGUUGUUUAAAUUGCAGAGAUCCGGGGCUUGUGUGGAUUUAUAUGGUACGAGUGUUAGCUAGUUAAUUGAGGGCAUAAAAGCACAAUACCAAGAAAUGUUGAUGGUCAAGAGGAUUUCAUUUUCUUCAUGAAGUCUUCAACCCUUGUAGCAGCAUCAUGCUCUUGUUUUGUCUAAGUUCAUCCAGGAGCAAGCGACAGGUAACAUAUCGAGGGGUUAUGUCUUGAGCUAUCAUUUUCGUGAAGUAAUUAUAUGCCUCUUCAGGUUUAUUUACUUUGCACAGCCCAUGGACCAGAAGUGCAUAAGUUGACAAAUCAAAACUCAGAUGAUGCUUGCUAGACAUCUCAUCCAGCAGCAUACUCAAGCGAUCAUCUUUGUUUCCACCUUUAAAGCAUGCCUUGAGCAGAGGAAAAUAUGUCUGCACUUCAGGCUUACAAUAAGUCGACUUUUCCAUAUCCCUGAGAAACUCCAACGCCAAUUCUUCUCGUUCCUGCUGACAAAGCAUUGAAAUCAUUGUAUUGUACGUUGAUGUACUUGGGCAACCCCCAUCUGGGGCAUUUCUACCUUGAAAACAUGAAUAGCAUCACUAAUUCGUCCAGCCCUGCCUAAAGUAUAAAGAAAAGCAUUGUAGAACAGUGUAUCAGCUUUACAUCCAACAGAUUUCAUUCUAUCAAUUAUCCGCAAGGAUUCCUCAAGUGCCCCAGACUUCGUUAAUGAAUGCAUGAUUGUGGUGAAAGUCACAACAUUUGGGGUGCACUUUUGAUCUUUCAUUUCAUCAAGCAGCUCAUACACCCUACUGAAGUUAAAUUGAUGGCAGUAGAACUGAAUAAUGGUUGAGUAGCUGAUAACAGUGGGCCGAAAACCAUGACCUUUCAUCUCUUCAAUUGUCCAGUGUGCCUCUUCGACCCUAUUAAUUUUGCACCAACCAUGAAUAAAUAUGUUAAAAGUACGAGCAUCUGGGGGGAUGUGCGAUUUAAGCUUCAAGAAAAUUUCCCGAGCCUGCCCAACUUUUUUCUCUUUGCAAAGUGUGUCAAAUAACAAAUUCAUGGAUUCUGUAUUCUUCUGCAACCCGAACUUUUCCAACUCAUCAAAUAUCCUUACAGCAUCUUCCCACUCUCCUGCACCAGCAAAUCUUCUCAUAACCUUUGCUAUGGUACUAAGCGAGACAAGAUGAGCCAUGUUCAUUUCAUCUACAAAAGCACACAUCUUUUCCAUCUGUUUCAUUCUUCCCAAUGUGUCCACCACUUUAUCAUAUAAAUUUGGCAAGGGCUUAUAGCCUCGAUGUAAUUCUGCCCAUCUGAAAACACCCAAUGCAGACUUCCAAUCAUCCUUUAACCUGUGCAGCAGCCUAUUAAUAAGUUCAUCAGUUAUCUUUGUAGCAUCACAAGCAGGGUCUUGCAUGAGAACCUGAAAAACCUCAUCUUCACUGUUUACACCAUUAAUUUUAUGCAUAAGAAGAUGAAAAUCGAAAUCUCUUUUCAAAUCUAUGCAUUCUUGUCCCUGAUCAAAAUCCCUUUCUCGAAUGAAAUGGUACUGCCUCACCAGAGAGUGACUACAGAAGGCAGAAAAACAGCAAAGGUAAUUUCUAAAUAUAACAUGGGAAGUGGCUUGGUUUACCGUUGCAAGUAAUAUAUUCUUCCUGGAAAUGGUGCUAGACAUAGAAUAUCACGAAGAAACGUGAAAAAUUGUCUUUCUGCUUGUUCAAUCCAGCAACCCUGCACACCAAGAAAUUAGUUAUUUAAUGAUCCUCAUUUCUUAUAAUCUGAAUACUUAUCAAAUCAUACCACAAACAAGAAUAUUCACGAAUUUAUCAAUCAAAGUGUACAAUUUAACCAAAAAAUGUACAAUCAACGACAUGCCAUUGCCAGCCGAAUAAGGUGCACAUUUGCUAUAUGUAAAAGAGAAGGGAAAUGGAAAAACAAGAAAUGACCAACUUUAAAAAGUGUAUAUAUAUUCCGUAGAAUGCUAAAAUAAAAACAUGAAAACAGUGAUUAGCAACUUGUUCUUUCUAAUGGUUAAACCUAAAACUUCUUACGCGCCAAAGAAACCACAAGGAAAAUGCAGGCAUUUAAGGUGACAUUUCCACGCCGGAAAACAAUAAGCAAUGCUUAUUAUUCAGCAAAAGUGGUAAACAUCUGAAAAGAAAACACAAUAAUGCCGAAGAAAUUUCAGAUUUAUUAUUUCUGUGGACUAACUACAGAUAUCCUCCAAAGUAACAAUCCAUAAACGAAAAGAGAAAAUUUGCAGCCAUUUCCUUACGAAAACUUGAUUAGGACAGCUUGUUAGCAAAGCUAAUAACAAGCCAGAAGUGGAAGAGUAAAUUCAUUAAUGAAAAUGCAAUGGAAGAACGGAGGGAUUACAACCCGUAAAGAUCACAUUUUUCAGGCACUGGGGUUGAUACAGAAGCUAAAAUAAGUAUACAAGCUGUUUGAUCAUAUGCCUCGGACCAAUAAAAUUGGCGAGCGCAUGAACUAUCACUGACACUAAGCUGGCAAAAACUGACAGCUUUGAAAAAUUUAAGCUCGAAAAGUAAAGAGCGGCGGCUUCAGACAGUAGUUUAUUCAAUCGAACGACAGGAAAAAAAAAAAAAGAAAGGAAAACCGCACUUCAUGGCAAUUACGGUUUGCAGAAUUGCAGCUACAGCCACAGCCCCAGAGAAGCAGAGGCAAUGACGUCUGAAAACUUCAAUUAGUAUACCUUGGGUGAAAAGGGAACUACGUCUCCGUAGGGAAUGACAACGGACGGAUUGCCGGCGGUCGCCCGAACUGUACCUUCGGUGAGGAAAUGAGGAAGAGUAUAUUUGUUUCUUGAUGGGAAUAGAAUGUAUUUGGGACGAACAUAAAUAAAAUUUACACACACAGCAAAGUAUUAAGGGCAAAAAGCCUUCUCGAAUUUUAACAAUUUUAUAUUUCUAACUCUUCGACUAUUAGUUGUACAUUUUUUUUGCCCUUGAAUUAUUAAAAAUGUACAUGUACAUCGACGUACAAGGUUAAAUGGAAAGAAAAAGAUUUUCUAUCGAAAUAGUAGAAAGAGCAACUUCAAAUUAGAAUUUUAAACUUUUCACACUCCAAGGAAUAUUUUGGUAUAAAAUUUAAAAUAAUUGGUAAAUUAGUGAUAGAUCUGCUAAUUUUAUUCAGUGAGAUUCAUUAAAAAUAGAGCCAAAUUUGAAAUCUACAUGAAAUCGAAGGCUUGGAAUGUAAUUUGAUCCAAUUUUGACAAUGAUAAUGAUAUUGAAUAAUUAUAGUUGUCAACAAACUUGAUUUGAGAAGGAAUAAUGUCAAAAUGACUUUAUUUUGGGCUAGUCUCAAUAUUUUGAUAUAAAAUUUAAAAGAAAUGGUGAAUGACAAGUAAAAUAAUUGAUAAAUCUACUACUCUUUAUCUAAUGAGAUUCAAUAAAAAUGGAGUGCAAAUUUGAAAUCUAUACGAAAAUCGAAGGUUUUGAAUGCAAUUUGAUCAAAUUUUGACAAGCCAGUGAAGAGUUGCACUUGAUUUGUACGAGAAAGGAGAAUAUAUAUAUUAAAAAAAAAACAUCGUUUAUGAGAUAGUUUCGUUAGAAUUAUCGGGUUCAAAUUUACGAGAGGACUAUAAAUACACGCUUUUAAUAGUUUAUAGGCUAAAAAUAUGCAAAUAAUAGUUAGAGGACUAAAAUUAUAAAAUAGUUGAAGAUUUUGAGAGCCAAAUGGACUUUUUACCCAAGUAUUAAUGUACAUCAUAUGACGUAAAACUAAACUGCACAAUCGUGCAAAAACAUUUACCUGCUCCAAAUCCAUAAUUUUAUAAUACUCAUGCUAAAGUUGACAUCUCCUUUAUUCGUACUUAAAAGGAUAUUUUUUCUAAUGAGCUACUUGGGCCUUAAAAGAUACUAGAUAAAAGGAACAUACACAUGCAUAUUGUUUAAUUUUCUAUUUUACAAUUACCUUUUCUAGCAUUUUUUAGCCAAAUAAUUUUUUUGGUAUAACUAUACAUUUGCAAAUGAAAAUUUGCAAAUAUGAUGCAGCAUAUCAUCCACUGCACGAAUUGUUGAAGAGACCUUGUUUGGAUAGUCAUUUUCCGUCGGAAAAUCACGUCGUUUUUCGUGAUCACAUUUCCCUAUUACCUUUUUUCCUUACAUACGUCAAAUCGCUACAGUAAUUUUUCUAAAAAAAAAUCCUAGAAAAUGCAAUCCAAACACUACCUUUGUCUAAUCUCUAACAUUUUGGCCGCACAGCAUUGCUCUAUAAUUAAAAAGACCUUCUAGGUCCUGUACAAUCCAAAGAUAGAAGGAAGAGUGUAAUAGCUCACUUAACAGAAAAUUGGCUUAUGUUCAUUCUAUCUAAGUCUAAACACUGGUACACAAUGAGCAUUGAAUAACUUAUGCCGUGCUCUAGAAAAAUGUUCCUUGAGCAGAAAAUCUUCUAGGGUAUCAGCGAAUCCACACAUUUAUAUUGACAAGGGAAUACCAAGAACUGUCCCCGCAGAGCCAGUUUCUUGAUAAAAUUUGAAAACUCUUACUUGAUGCAAACGUUCAGCUGGCGACAGUGUGGAGUUGCAAGCUAUAUCCUUCAAAAACAUUAGGGCUUCAGCCAUGACAUCAUUCAUUUGAGAAAGCACCAGUAACCUUCACACUGUGGGCUUUGGCUGUCCUAACAGAGAUGCCUGAACGAGAGAUGUCAGCGACGGAUGAAUCCGAGCCUUUCUCAUUGAUCGGGCAUCACUUCUUCCUUCCGCAUACUCCUCACCUAAUGGCCACCUUGGCCGCAAAUCAAGCUGUUUCAUGCACGACAUUCGUCAACAUAUUACUAUCCAAAAAAAGAUAGAAGCAUAGAUUCUUGCUACUUUUCAAAAUGAAAAUCCUCAAGACCACAUGAAAACAAAAGCAAUGAACCCAACCACCUGUAGAUACUACAUUUCCAACAUAAUUCUUUCAAAAAAUGGAGUUCCUCCAAUCUCCACUUAAGGUAGCCUGAUCCCUUAAUUUGUAAUCAGUUCACGUUUAAACAUGCAAUUCAUUUGUCCAGAUUAACUAAAUAGAGGAAUUUUGAGGAUUGCUUUACAAACCACGUUAACCAAACCUGAAGUAACACAUUUGCCCAAUUCUUUGCUUAUUCAAAGUUCAAGAGAGCAGAAAAUGGAAAUUGACUAAGCUAAUUAGCAUUACGGCAGCAAGUCUGAUCCAUGCGACCACUUAACUUUUUCUCCAUCAACUAAUAGGUUUUGGAAACCCAUAUGAAGUGAGAAGUCAUGAAUUAAUCAACUUCUUCUUUCAUAUGAGAAAAGAGGCAGUAAAGACGAAAAAUAUAGAGCUUACUCUUCUAUUAGAGAUAUAGCAUCCAAAUCAAACAAAUUCUAGCCAAAAAAAUCUUUAAAAAUCCAAAUGAAAGCACCAAAAUGACAAAACCUGGGCAUCUUCAGGUUCAUUGGCAGGUGGUGGAGGAUCAUAUCUUCCUACCCGGAAAUGUUCCACGCCGGUCCAAGCAAUCAUUACACCUUUCAGAACAAGCCAACAUUAUUCUUCAAGACAAGGCCCAACGUACUAGCUUUUCAAAGUUCAAAUAAUUUAGGGUUAAAAACAAAAAAGUCCCCUGUGAUAUACCUAAUAUACAGAAAAGGCCCACAUGGUUUCAAAACAUACAAAACGACACCUCAUGUUUUGAACUAAAUUAUAAACUAACAGAAUUUGUUAAACUUAACGAAAUGACAAUUUCGCCUGUUAAACUUAACGAAAUGACAAUUUCGCCUGUUAAACUUACCGGAUUCUGUUAAGUUUACCGUUAGCUUUACCGAAUUCAGUUAAAUUUUCAUUAAGUUUACCGGAUAACGAUUUCGUCUGUUAAACUUACGGGAUUCUGUUAAGUUUACCAUUAACUUUACCGAAUUCCAUUAAAUUUUCCGUUCAGUUUACCGGAUUCCAUUAAGUUUAACGAAUUAUAUUAGUUUACAAUUUAGUUCAAAACAUGAGGUGUCGUUUUGUAUGUUUUGAAACCAUAGGGGGUUUUUCUGUGUAUUAGGUAUAUUACAGGGGAUUUUUUUGUUUUUAACCCAAUAAUUUAACAUUACCAAGAUUUGGGCAACUUUUCCACAGAUGCAAAUGAACCCCUACCAGGCCUAAAACAAAUUAAUUAUGUUCUCAAUGAUGGGUAGAUAUCUAACAGAUUACCACCAGAAAUUGAAUGCCGAUGCAGCUAUUCAAUUGAGACUAGCCUAUUCACUUUAUUUUAAAUUGCAAAAGUAUUGUCUGUAAUGAGCACUUGGAUCCAUCCUUAUGUUGUAGUACACGAGCUUGAACCACAGAAACCACACACAAUCUAUCUACAAGUUAUUUGUCCGAAGUUUGUAUUUUUCAACUGCCAGUUAUUAAAAUCAAGUACCUCUGCAAAUUAAUCACUUUUGCAUUUUCUCAAUGUUAACUGAAUUAGCAGGAAAAACACUUAGCACCUUACCAUUAUCAGUACAGAGGCUAGGAGGAGGGCACAAAAGUUGCAGGGCAUUCCUUUCCACUACCUGAUUAAGGCGAGAGCGGACAAACUUGUUUGAAGCAACACCUCCGGAAGCUACCUACGAUGGGAGUAUAAAGAAAUUGCUCUGAGACAAUAUUCAAACCAAUAUAAAGCAACAAAGCGCAUGAAGUCUAGAAUUCGAGAGUACAACAGCGUGGAAGCCAAUUGGGAAUCUUAUUUCACGCACCAAAUACUUCACAGAAGGCUCAAUUUUCAAUGCCCAUUCAAUUGCUCGUUGGCAUUUUUCCUCUAAAUGUAAUACUGCAACUCGCUGCACAAAGAUACUUCGCCAAUGUUUAAAAAAGAGUAAAGCAAUAAAGAAGAAGAUGCUCAUUGAACACUAUUGUUAUAUUAUAUUUAAAGAAAGCAGACAUGUGGAACUAUAUGUUAAAACUUGAUUUUAUUUUCUUUUCAUGAAAUAAAUGCCAAGACCAUUAUCACCUGGAAAGAGGCAGCAAUAUUUGCCCUUGCACCUCUAUCUUCACUACUAGCUGAAGAAAUGGGGAUUUCAGCAUUGCUGCAUGCACAACGUCCAAGGAACAAAAUAAGGUCAGAGGUGAUGGAGAGAAGAGGAACUUUGAACAUCUAAAUGUUGAAAUGAUUGAUUGCUGGGUUAACCAACAAUAGCUGCAGGGACAGAAAUUGUUCCAACUACACGAUUAAUACUUUUUCCAAGCAUAUUCAACAUGAUUGACACAGCUAGAAAAGAAGAUUCUUUUAGAUCUUUUGGCAUAUUUUCCCAGAUAUGCUAUAGUCCACAGCUAAUAUUUCAGCAUUUUAUAUCCAAAUAGAAGAUUCAAAAGGAAGAAUCUGGGACAAGACGUGACCUUCUUAUCAACAGCAAUAAAGACAAUAUUUCUUCAUGGGAAAAACAAUGUUUUUCAUAGGCUAAAAGCACCUACAUAUUCUGUGCUUCGAUUUCCAACCUCACUUGAUUCUUUAGCCCUGCAUAUGAGAAGUUGCAGUCUUUGUGUUGUUUCAUAGGAACCUAACAAACAACCACUUCAAAACCUGAGCUCAAUAUGAAGAUCAAAUUCUGGUCAAACUGUUUCAAAAGAAAACAAAUGACACUUGACAUAAAAUUUCUCCAAACUUACUCUGAAUUUGACUGCUUCUGCAUCUCCCUCAUGAGCUAACUCCUCAAUUGCAGGCCCUCCACUCCUCCUCAUAUCAAGACCAAGCCAUUUUGCAGUCUUGUCAUAUGCCUCCCCAAUUGCAUCAUCAACUGUGGUACCAAGUUGUAUGUAAUGGCCAAGAUCCCGGGCAAGAACUAAAAGGUUGUGUCCUCCUAAUGAUCAAAAUGUUAAAAGUGCAUUGACUUAAUAAGUUCUUCCCCCCAAACCCCCCCCCUUCUUCCCUCUAAGCAAAUUGACUUAGUAAGUUAAACUAGUAACUAAGUUAAAAGGGUCGAAGACUCAAUCCAGUAAAUGACCAAAAUCAUUUCACCUAAGACCCAUGUGCCACUUUACAAAAAACAGUACAGGAAAUGUGUUAGAAUAAUGUAGAGCCCUCUGGAGCAUAAUUCAAGAUUUCUUAAUUUUCAAUCCAGGUAAUUGGUCCUACAGCACAGCUAAUUACUUUUUCUAUUUUUUUUAGCAGAACUCUAGUCUGUCUCAAUUCUUCUUCAAGUGUGUGCGUACUGUAGCAUUGAUGCACAUUUGAAAAUGGGAAAAUAAAUGUGACAAAUUUAAAUGAGUGCUGUGAUUUAUCAUACCUGAGAUGAGCAGGGCGAGAAAAGGGAAUUGCAGUUUCUUUUCUACUAACCUAGAGAGGGGAAAAAAAUUGAAUAAGGCAAAUGAUUUUCAUGAUAAGUUGAAGCUCAUACUCUUUCAACUUUCGACGAACUGAGCAUAGUUGCAUACAAGAUUUUUGAUAGUAAUAGCUACAGAUUUAUUAUUAGAAUUGGAGUGCAAAUUCCAUCCACGCUUUAAGGCCAGAUCUCUUUAUGUUCACCUUUACAGAUGAGGCACCGGAAGACAAACUAAUUGGAGAAAAACCUAAAUCAAUAGUACUUUUAAGUAUCAGGUAGAUUUCCAAGUGAUUUUCAAUGCCUCAUUUCUUCACAAACCAGUUAAGUUGACCCUCACCAUAAGACAAGAAAAAUGAAAGUCAUAUCUCAUUAAGCACAUUGAGUAAUAGAAGUCUCUUAAAUGGACAAAAGAAGGAAACGAAAAGGUCAAAACAAAGGUCUAUCUUGUAAGCUUUUCUUGCAGAGCUCACAUCUUGCCACCAAAUACAAUUUUCUCCUCAGUUUAUUUAGUUCGUCUUUUCUACCACAUCAAUCAUAGCCAUUACAUUACUGAAUUCUCAAUUAGUGGCUGAAAUCAUGAAUGAUCCCCCCCCAACCCACAAAACAAAAAAGAAGAACCCACAAAUUUUCCAGGAACAUGCAACCAAAAAUCAAACUGAAGCCAUUUAGCAAAGGAAAUAGCAAGAAGAUGCAAAAUUUAUAUAUUGGCUUACAAACAACACAUAAAGCUAUUGUAUUUUACUCAACUAUCUGAUAAAAUUUCAGGGGAAAAAAGGCAACAUGGCUAAAGGGCAACCAUGGCAUUGAAUUCAAAAAAGUAACACUCCUAAUAUGCUUUUAAAACAAUUUACAGUAAUAUCUUAAAAAAUGUGAUUUUGAGUAUGAAUUGAACAUGUAUUACCUAGCUACUAAGGCAUGUGCUUCCAUGUGGUGCACCCCACUAUGGGUAGAUUCAAUCUGCCAGCAAUUUUCGAGCCUUUUGCACACCAACUACAUGUGAAUUGAAGAAAGGAUGUUUAAGGAAUUUUAUCAUGUUGCUCUUUGGCAAACAAACAUCUAAAUAACAUGAUAGAAUUGUCAUUUGACAUCUUAAACAUACAAUGAUCCCUGACAGGGUUUCACAAUUUCAUAUGGUCUAAGGUUAAUGCUUAGGGAAACCAAAUGGUUUAUCAAUUAGAACCACAUCAUCUCCAGAAAAUUCAAUCAAGUUGAGUUCUGGAGUUUUAAAUUAAAAAAAAAAAAAAAUUACCACGCAAACAAAGGCUUAAACCAGGACCAAUAGUGACUGCAACUGCAGUAAGCUCCUUCUCAGUCAGUUGAGCUUUAUCUAAGGCUUCCUGUACUACCUGCAAAAUAAAUUAUUAUACUUGGAAGAACAAACAAGAAGAGUAAAUGAAAGAGUUACAACUCUUAUUUGAUAAUACACUUUAAGCCAUGGAUAUAUCUUCUUUAAAAUUCAAAACUGAAGCAGGAAAUCCUAAAUAGAAAUUCAGAAACUAAUUCAAAGCCACUUAACUAUUAUCAUGAAAAUAGCGUAAGGUAAGAAAGAUACAGCUAGCAACCACAAUCUCAAGAAAGCUGUUCUAGUAGAUCAUGGAACUAAAAGGAAACAAAUCAAUAAUGAUGAUGAUAUAGUUCUGCAACAAAAGCAAAACUGAAGAUAAACAUAAUUGCCAGAACGCUGACAGCAGUAAAAAAGGCAACUCCAGUUAAAGACAUGUCUUUUAAUUUUUUUUCUUUUUUUUUGGUUGCGAAUAAAAUCAAGCAACAAACUUAGUUCUUCUAUUACAUGAAACACAAAAGCAGAGUUUGAAAGCCAGAAAUGGCAAAUAUCAUAAACUACACAAAAAACACAGAGAAGGAUUAAAAAUCAUAGGCAGCAUACUCAUGUCUAGAUUCUGUACCUGAUCAAUUACUUGUGCAUGUGCUUGUUCAGCCAUUUUAGGUGCAACCCCCCAUAGCGAGCAAGCAGAUCCGCCUUCAUAUCAUUAGAAUUCAUAUUCAAUACAACAGAUACCACAGUUGCAAAAACAAAGGAUGGUUUGUAUUGCUUGGGAAUUUUAGUAUAAAGAACACACAGAAAAUUUGUUUCUACUAUUUGGGGAGUAAUGUACAUAGACAAUAGUGACAGCAACUUGAUUAUAGUAUAAACCUGCACUAAGUUUAUAACCCAGCUUUCAUGAAUUAAGAUUAAAUUUUAUUAUUACAAAAGCUAACUUAUAGUACUUUGUAUCUUGACAUGAUUAAGCACAACAAAAUGUCAAGAUCUAUACGAAGCUUAGAGUAUAACAACUAUCAAGAAUAACAAUACAUUUACAGUAAGAACAGAUAUAUGUACUUGUACUAAGAUCAGCUACCAUCAAAGUUUUAUUCCCGCUAAACAAGAUCACAUUUUUUAUAUUAUGAAAGUAGCAAGAGCCAGCAGAAUCUUUCAUGCUUCUCAAUAAUUCUCAAUCACAAGCGCGUCAAUUGAACUAAUGCACAUAAGCAAAAGCCUAUACUUUUACUUACACAAACCUAUAAGACAAUACCUGAGAAGCCACAACUUGGCUCAGAAUCUCACCACUGCUUCGAACCUGAAAAUCCCAAUAAACAAAAAACAUGUUAUUUAUUCUGUAAACAUACAGAACCCCCUUCAAAAAAUGUUGCACCAUACAAAAGAGCGAAAAGAUAUUCAUAACCUACAACAGCAGCCGCAGUAUCAUCACAGCUGGUUUCAAUGCCCAAAAUGACUAAAUUAUCAUCUGAGGAUAAUGGGUUUGCUUUUGGACUGCUGCUGAUUUAUUGGAAUACGAGGAAACUAAAUGGGGCGGACUAGAAUUGAGUGGAAAAGCAGAGGAGAGAGGUGGCAAUACAGGUCUGCUUGGAAUUCUCAAAGCUUUGAAGGCUCUAAUUGUUACGUAUUGAGUGGUUUUGUGAAGUAGGUUUAGGCGCCAAGAAAUUCUUGAAGAUAGGGUCGGUACCAACCCCGUCAUCUCCAAGUCCCGCCCAGGUAGGGUGAGUGAGUGACCUGAUCUUCCUUGGUGUGCCGGUGACCCCAAAGUAGGACGUAGAUUUACAUCUGGGCGGAAUUGCAAAUUUCCGGGUUCAUUGGUUUUAGAAGCAAAUAAUGCGAAUUUUACGAUUAAACCUCUGUCAAAGAGCUAUGGCAAUUUUAAAAUGAGACACUAACGGCAUUUCAAUAUUGUUUAAUUUCCUGUCUGUUCUUUUUUUUUUUUGGUCAUUGUCCUUUUCCUUUCACUUUUUCUUACUUUUUUUUUAUUGUUACCUUUCAUUACUAGAGAAUUUUUCUUUUGAAAAAACGAAAAUUCUAGCCAAGUUCACAUUUUUGCUCAACUAAAACUACUGUGUCACAGAAAAAAAAAGUAUUAUUUAGACUUUUUUGGGACAAAGAGGAAUACUAACAAUACCAAAAAUACGUUGAAUUUGACUAAAAUAUGUGCAAUUUUUGUUCAAUUUUACUAUCAGUGUCUUAUUACUGUUGACAAUUCAUCAAAAAAUUGACUGAAAAAUCAAACAAAAACAAUUUUAAUACAAUCAAAUUGUGUCAUUAAUUAGAUAUGGUUUAUUGUUUUAAACUAACUAAACCAUUUCAAACUUAAGUUGUAUUGCUCGAUUUUGGUUCUUGACUAUCAAAAAUUAAAAGUUUGAAAAACUAAAGUUCUUUUUUUUAAAUAAAAAUGCUGUAUUUAAUUUUGUUUUUCACGAUGCACUGGAAAAAUAUAGUGAUUUGAGUGCUAUUAGGUGUUGAGAUCUUUCCUUAGAUAAAUUAGAAAUAUUUGCUUGGAAAUUGCAAUGACGUAAUUUGUGAGUUGCUCUCUAUUUUUAGGGAAUUGAGAAAGAUCGCUAAUUGUUAAAAAUAAAAAAAUGAAGAAAGGAUAGCAAAAUGACUUUCAAAAGCACUAGAACAAUAUGCAAACUCAAAGGAGUUUUCUGUCAAGAAAUGAGGUUAAUGAAACAUUCGAAGUUGUGUGGAUCUUUUACAAGGGUUUUCGGCGGAAUGGUAUAAAAAGUAGAAGUGGUCGAUUAUGUCGCCAAGCCUGUUUUGAUUGAUCAAUAAGUAAAGGCUGAAAAACCAAAUUAAAGUGCUAUUGCAAUGGCUGAUGUUAUCGAGUUAUUGUUAAAAGGAUUAAUCGCACUUUAUCCCCUUUUAAGUAUAGGUCAUUUACACUUUAUCCUUCAACAUUUGUUUUUUGUCAGUCUACCAAAAAUUAAUGGUCAACUCUAAUGGACAUAAACAGAAUAUUGAAAAGACAAUAAUAUCCUUAUGAAAAUAUUGAACAACCCAAAAAUGCCCAUAUAUAUUGGUUUAUGAAACGCAAGUUUUCAAAAUUACCCUGAAAUAAUGGAGGAAAAUUUCCUUCCAUUUGCACGGGACAGAAAAAGAAAAAGAAAUUAGGGAACACAAAAGGUUCCCUUUUGUUAUUGUCGGGUCACUUUCUCUUCCUUUUUGCCAUUGUCGGGUCACUUUCUCUUCACUUGUGCCCGAAGCCUCAGCAAAACCUCCAUUAAAAAACUUGAAAAUUCACCAGUAUCUUGAAUGGAAAAACGGGCAAUCGAUGAAGUUGUUAGCUGACGGCAGAAUUGAAUUUGAAAUUGUGAAAGGAGAUUCUGAGAGCUUGGGCAACCCUUAAGGUUAGAUUUUGCAAUUUUUUCUCGAUUUUAGAAAUUUCUAAUUUUUAAUCAAUUGUAUUGCACAAAAACAACGAUAUGGUUUUUUUAAUGGCUACAUGGGCUUUAACGUGUAGACAAUUAUUUGUUUGAAAUCUAUUGGUGUGUCCCUUGAAGUUCAUAACAAGUCAUUAUCGGGUUAUGAUGAAAAUGAUGGGUUUUUAACAACUUUUGUUUUUUUUAAUUAUUAAUUUGCUGGAUUCUUUGUUUACUUUGGAUGGUUAUAUGUCAGCUGUUACAUAGACAAACUAGGAUUUUUUAUUUUUGUGGGACAAUAAAAGAUGCCUGCUCUGUAUUACCUGUGCAUGCACUAAAAAAGUUGCCUUUGUGUGAUUACAGAAGAAUGGAUUUUAAAACCUAUGUUUUAUAGGUUCACUACGGAGGCCAUUUUGCCCAUGUCCCAAAUUUACAGUGUGUGCGGAAGAAUUUGCUAAUUUUGAUGAUGUUGACCCUGAUUUGAUGUCAAUUUUUGAGUUAAGAGAUGCUUUUAAAGACGUUGGAAUUUCACAUGAAACAGAGGUGUGCUAUAGGGUUAGGAAUCUUGACCUUGAGGUUGGUCUUAAACUGUUAAACAGUGACCAGAUAAUUCUAGAAAUGUUUGAGGCAAAUAGAACUCAAAGCAUCAUACAACUUUAUGUUGGUGAGAUCCCUGAAGAAGAUUUGCAUGCUGAUGGAACUAUUGUAGAGGAUAAUAUUGAGGUUAAUGGUGAACAAAAUCUAAAUCCUAAUACUGAACAACCCCAAAAUGAUGAGGCCGAAAGUGAUACUUCAGAUGCUUCACAUAAAGGUGAUAGGGAUGGUUGUAGGGAAGUUGAAUAUGACUCUGACUUUGAUUUUUUCCUAGAUGGGGAUGAUUUAAAUGAUACAUGUGACUCUGUAGAUGAUGUAGAGAGGGAUGGUGGUGAAGUAAAUUGUCACCUAAAACAGCCUGAAUAUAUUAAGUAGUGGAACUGAUUAGUGAAGAAUAUAAUGCAUACCUUAACUCCAAAGGGAAUGGAAAACUGGUCGAUGAUGACGAUGUUAGUGAUGAUGAAAUACUUAAACCAGAUUAUGAUUCAAAAAUGAAGGCAUAGAGCAUGAAUUUCCUUGAGUUUAACAUGGAAAGGGAUCUAAAAAAUCUUGAGUUGACUGUAGACAGAAUUUUCACCAACAUUAUGAUUUUAGAGCUGCAGUUAGAAUAUAUUCAAUUUUGAAUGGGUUUGAAGUUACCUUCACUAAGAAUGACAAAGACAAAGCUGUGAUUAUAUGUGCAAAUAAAUGUGGAUGGAGAAUAUAUGCUAGUGGCUAUAAUGGAAGCAAAGUUACACUUCAAGUGAAGUCCAUUAAAGGCGUACCUCAUAGAUGUCCAUGGUCUUUCAAGAACAAGAGUGCAAAUUCUAGGUGGCUGUCUAGGAUGUUUAUAGAGGAGAUUGCUGAUCAUCCGGAUAUGAAAGUAAAAGGGUUCGAGAAGAGCAUAAAAAAAAUAUAUAACCUGAACUGUACAAACUCUCAAAUGCAUAGAGCAAGAGAGAAAGCAGAGGAAGCACUGAAAGGGUCAUGUGCAAAGUAGUAUGCAAGAUUAAGAGACUAUUGUGCUACACUUUACAAAGAAAUCCAGGUUCAGUGGCAUUUAUUCUAACUGAAAAAUCCCAACUUUGUAAAAGCCCAAUCUUCAAGAGAAUAUUUGUUAUUUUACGCACAAAAGGAAGGUUUUAUAAAUGUAUGUAGGCCUGUAAUAGGAUUAGAUGCAUGUCACCUUAAGGGGAUCAUGGGAGGGCAGCUUAUGUCUGCAAUUAGUAGGGAUGCUAAUAACCAAAUGUUCCCAAUUGCUAUGGCUCUUGUUGAGUCUGAGUGCAAAGAUAGUUGAGGUGGUUUUUGGACAGUCUUACUGAUGCCAUUGGGACUCUAUGAAAAGGGUUGGGUAUUUCUAUCAGAUAGACAAAAGAUCAGCACACUACAAUCUGAUUUACUUUCCUUUAUUCCUCACUCACUCCUUUCACUAAUUCUGUGAUUUAUGUUUUUAUGUCAGGGAUUAAUUGAUUGCAUUGAGAAUAAGUAUCUUGCAGUGGAACAUCGAUUCUGUGUUAGACACAUGUAUGCUAACUUCAAACUGAAAUUCAAGGAUAUACCUAAGAGAUUUAAUGUGGGGGCAGCUAGGCUUAUUUACCCUGUCACUAUGAAAGCAAAAUGAGAGAGUUGCAAUUAGUAAUCCCAGAAGCACAUGCAUGGCUUAGUUCCAUACCAGCUAACCUAUGGACCAGACACACCUUUUCUCCAAGGACAAAAUGUGACCUUUUAAGUAAUAAUAUAUGUGAGAGCUUCAAUCAAUACAUUAAGGAUGUUAGGGAGGAACCCAUUUUGACUAUGUUUUGAAGCCAUUCAAAGGCAAAUAAUGUGCAAAUUUCAAGAAAAAAAGACUGGAUUCAAAAUGUGAAGUCUCAUAUUUGUCCGAGAAUUUGUCAGAAAAUUGAAGAGAGGAAAAAACAGGUAGCUCAGUUUGAUGCACUUGUGUCUACAAGAGAGGUGAUGAGGGACUGGUAUAGUAGGAACUUUUGCUGUUAAUGCAAUUCAAAGGUCUUGCACAUGUAAUGAGUGGGAUAUGACAGGAAUUUCAUGUGUCCAUACAUGUGUUGGACUUGUGCCAAGACAACAAAAGCCCAUAUGCAUAUGUUGAUAAUUGUUACUCAGCGGAAACAUAUAAAAAGGCAUAUGCUAGUGUUAUUAUGCCUAUGUCAGACCAAACAAAUUGGGUGAAUGCUAGCAAUGACACAUUACUCCCAUCUCAUAAGAAGAUAGCCCAGGUAGACCUAAAAAGUUAUAAGAAGACUCUAUUGGAGGACUUAUAUGUUGGAAAGCUGUCUAAAGUAGGGCUGCCAAUUCAUUGUAGUCAUUGUGGUCAUAAUGACCACAAUGCCAGAAGUUACAAGGUCACUGAUUGUUCAUUUGUGAGGCAAAAAAAGCAAGUGAAUGCUCAGGUAACUUCAAUCAAUAUAUGCUACUUGGUUAUUUUCUAUCUACAUCUGACUGUCAUUUUUGAUGUGUCGCAAGGUACAAGGGUCUACUAAACGAGGGAGGAGCUCGUAGGACACUCUAGAAAUGCUGAUACUGAUGUUGAGAGAAAUGUUGAUGCUGAUGUGUAGAGGAUGCUGAUGGACUAAAUUUACUACUGCAAAAGGCCCAAUUAGAGCUAAAAUGAGAGCGUAGAGUUACAGGCAGGGGUAAGGGUAGGGAUUCAGACCAUAAUAAUGACCAAACUAUGUGGCAUUGGACUUUGGAAUGGCCAAGGGAUAUCAAUAAGUAAAACAUAUAUCCCAUUUGAGUCUAACAUGGUGAGUUUCUUUUUAUUUGUAUGUAACUAAUUUAAUUUUAGACACUUGCACUGAUUAAAAACUACUUUUAUUAUGCAGAUUCCAAGUACUUCAAAAACUGGCCAGCCCCCUCCAACCCAACUGGUAAGCCUACAUUUUAAAACUCUGCAUGCAUGGCCAUUUUAUACAUGCUCACUUAUUGUUUCCUAUUGAUGAUAUAAUGGACAAGAACACCUACAUCUGGUGUCAAUUUGAGUACAACUACUGCUGUUGCUACACACCAUUCAAAAGCAACCACUACAAUAACAACUAAAAGACCAAAAACCAAGUUGGGUGAUGCUAAAACUGAAAGUUCUAAAAGCAAUUCAGGUGCUGCUAAAACUGGAAUGGUGAGUUCAAGUCUUUUGACUAUGUUUACAUGCUACCACCCCUAACAGUAGUUUGAUGCACUAAGAUACCCCUCAUCCAUGACUCUAGUUUCAAACCAAGAGUACUAGAUUUGGAGAAGCUGUGUUCUCUACCCAAGGAUCUUCAACUGCAAAUGGACGUUCAACGUUAUACGCAUACCUGAAUGUGUUUUGAUGUGAAAUAGUGUUGUUGUUGCUAUUUUUGUCAUUACUAGUACUUGAUUGCUUGUUUUGCAACAAUGUUAGAAAUUCUGAUGUUGUUUUUCUUUUGCCAUUAUUUGACAUGUUCUACGAUCAUGUUUUGGUUAGGUUCUACUAAAAUGGCCUUUGUUUGGGUGGCCAUGCAGACACAUGCUACGAUGCUAAUCUAAUAUACAAAAUGCUUUUAAUUUAAUAUAAUUUUCUUUCAUAUAUAUUUGCUUACAACUAUGGUAGAUAAAACAGAUUUUUGUUACCUUUGGUUCUGAAAUAGAGUACAUAUACAUAAUGCUAGCAAUCAGAAAUGUAAUGGCUAAUAUUUUUCUCCAUGAUGAAGAUCGAGCCAGCUUUGACCAUCAUGUAUGUUAUUGUAGCUGUUGGUUUUCAACUCGUAAGACAUAGACUUCUGUUUCUAAGGCUUCAUAUCUGCUUUUCAAUUUUUCAUGCUCCCUUUGUAAGUACAUUAGUUUCUCUCUUUUCGCUCCACCAGUUUAGAUUGCAGCACUGCACUUACUUCUUUUGUUUUGCUACAAACUUCAGAUCUACCCAUGAAAAGUGUCCACAUGCGUGUCGGAUCAAAAUAAAAAAAAUUAGUUGUUUAAACUCUUUCUAACUUAUUCAGGUAUAGAGCAAAAUUAAAGACAAUGUUAAAAAUUAUUAAUGAAAAAUUUUUACAUUGUAAUUUGAAUAGUCUUAAAAUUUUCUUCCCGAAUUUUUAAGUGUCCAAGAGGCAAGAGGUGCACAAUGAUGUCUCUUUCCACAUCCACAUAUUUUUUGGGGUGAUCUUUCAACAUUAUUUGAAGCACUUUUGAUAUUUUAUGAUGCUUUUGGUUGACAAAGAGAAAUUUUAGGAACUUUGAAGAGAAAUUUUAGAACUUUGGAAUAUGCUAAAAUGUAUGACAAAAAUUGGCUGCAAAAUACCACCUUUAUAGAACCCAACCAACGGCUUUUUGAGGGAAAAGUAGGCUAAAAGCAUCAGACACCAUUGAGGGGCAUUUUUGUUAGCCAAAACCAACAGCCCUUUUCGUAUAGCAAUUUCAAAAUCUUGAAAUUUUUAACGGUGCAAUUGCUGACGGAGGGAGUAAACUGACGAAAAACAAACGUUGGGGGGUAAAGUGAGAAAUGACUAUACUUAAAAGGGAUAAAGUACGAUUAACCCUUGUUAAAAUCCCCCAGUCCCUUCAAACCAACUGCGCAAGAUUGAGAUGUACAGAUCCAACAGAGUCAAUAUCCAAGGAAACUUAUGCCUGCAAGUGACGGAGUCAGGAUUUUUUUGGGGGGCCAAAUUUUUUUCUAAUAAAAUUAUUUUAAUAUAUUAUGUUCAAAAUAAUUUUCUUCUUUUUAAAUAUAUGACAUCUAAAAAUAUCAAAUAUUAAACUUAAUUAUAAAGGUAUGUUUAUUCAUAAAAUGCGGUAUACUCAUAACAAAAAUUAAUAAAAAAAAUAACUUUUGAUUAAAUAUCUUGUAACAUCACAAACCAUCCAAUUUGCACAUUAUGAGAAGAUGCUCUCCAAUGUGUCACCUAUGCAAUAUAUAUAUAUAUAUAUAUAUAUAUAUAUAAUAUAUAUAUAUAUAUAUAUAUAUAUAUAUAACCAUGUAAUAUAAUGUAACUAUUUUCAAUUGAAAAAAAUAAAAGUUAUGUUAACAUAAUUUGAAAUUUCAACAUCUUUUCUAAGAAGUAAAUUGAGUUCUACGCUCUUUCAUAGAUAGAACUAAAUGCAUUUAUAAUUGAAUCACUGCUAAAUUUUUCAGCAAUUUCAUUUUCUAUAUACACAGUUAAACAAUCAUUCAAGAAAUUAUCUUCCAUCUUGUUUUGGAACUUUAUUUUGAUUAUUUUCAUAAUUGAAAAUACCCGCUCUGUAGUUGCAGUUAAUACAAGAAAGUAAGAACACAUCUAAUCAAUCUGUCAAUAAGAGAAUAUAUCACUGAUAUUCUUGUCUUCACCAAGUCUUGACAUAACUCAUGAAUACCGAAUAAUUCUUGCAAUUCAGGAUGACUUGGAAUGUCGAGUUCAAAAAUAUUGAAGUUCUAUUCUUAGACGUACUAGUUCUUGCUUUUAACAAUUAUAAAUUGGGUCUUUUUAGCCCAUUAACAAUUAUGAAUUGGAUCUUUUUAUUCUAAUACAUCACAUUGGGUCAAUUUACUAUGGAACAUCAAAUUAUAUGUUUAAUUUUUGAAAGUUAAAUAAUUAGUACAAUAAAAAAUAAAUAACUUUUUUUGAAGAAAAAAAUUAAUUCAAAGAUGACUAAUUCAUAUAUAUAUAUAUAUAUAUAUAUAUAUAUAUAUCAACUCUCAUAAUAUAAACUAAAAUUGUAAAAAUUUAGGGGGGGCCAAUUUUAUUUUGCACACAUAUUUACAUAUCAUGAAUUAAAAUUUUCAAAACUUAGGGGGCCGUGGCCCCCUUUGACUCCAUCAUUGCCCGCACCCAUUACAGAUAUUACUCAUAAGAACUUCAUAUAUAUGUCCCUUUUCUUUCCUUUUUGUCAAAUAAGAACUUCAUAUCAUUUGACAGUAGUAUUAUUUGCAUGCAUCUCCAUUAAUUUUUAUAGUUUUUUUUUAAAAAAAUUCAAUAGGUUCGACUCUAAUUACCACUAUAAAUUAGAGCAUGCUUCCAAAAUCACAAGUCACUUAUAAAGAUUAAUACAAUAAUGCCUACCAACACUUCAUAUUGAUAUGUAGUUACUGAAAUCAAUUGAUAUGUAGUUCAUAUUGAUAUGUAGUUAAACAUACGAUUUUGUGAGAAAGUACCACAUCCUUGCCAAUAAAUGGUCCACUUUGUAUUAGUUAAAAGUCAGUUGACUUAGCUGAACAAUCUACUGUGGUCCAAAAUCUUCCAAAUAGACAAGUAUCAUUAGCUAGCUACGUUCUUUAUAGAAACAACAGCAACAUUUCUCGUAAUGCAAUCAAUUCCCACAUUCAUUUGAAAAUCUUCAUAGCUUCCGACAAUCAAACAGUUGAUAACCAGAACCUCUUGAUCUAACAACCCAAAAGGGGCAAAAAAAAAAAAAAGAUGCUAAAGUCUUCAAAAAGAAACAAAAAUUGAGCAGAUGUAGGCCGUACAUCCCCCAGGCUGUAGCGGUGGAUAUAUACUGAAACCAAGUACAAUAGAAAAACAGGAAGAAAGAAUGAAGUGUUCAUUACACAAUACACGCGAAUAAGUCACGCUGAAAUCUAGAACACCGUUUUUGAUUCACUGUUUCUCGAAAGAGUCAUGUAGUAUUAAUUAGUCAUCAAGUUAAGUUGAGGAAGAAGGGAACAUAUCCGGCAUAUAUCACCGGCGGCUUUGCAUUGCAAUUGCAUGGCAACCACGUAGUUAAACCACUAGAUACCAAGUUGGUAUUUACCAAUUCCCAUGUCCCGAUUAUCUUCUUGCCUCCUCCUAUAAAUUCUCUCUCGCCACUUUCUCGCUUCUGCUCCCCUUCUCAUCAGUAAGAUAAAAGAUGGAGAUGACUCAACAACAUAAAAUGUAUGAGAAUUUUAACAUGUCAAUCACCAGCAACGAGUCCAAAAUGUACACUCUUUUGUAUAAUACGUCAGAUUUUCUUCUUUCUUUACCUAUAUUGGGAUUAGAAAUUUUAGAAAUUAGACUACGUACCAUAGAUAUCAUGCUUCUAAUUAUUGUCCCCGCUGCAGCACAGAAUCUUAUCAGAAAACUCAUGAAAAUCUACUUACAGCAUUUUUUUUCCUUCUAAUUUGGUUAAUUUUAGUUGUACUGUAUUCAUCUUCUACAGGUUAAUGUGGCGCCUUUAAUUCUUUUCCAUCUAACAAAUGAGUUUCCUCGACCAUACUAAAGGUGGCAAACUUCGUCAUUAAGUUUCAGUACGAAAAUCAAGACGUUGAAUUCACAGAACGAGUCUCAAAGUUCAAGCCAGCCCUUUUAGAUAGACGAAGCAAAUAUAGAAACGUGGGGAAGCUAAUGAUAUUCAUGAAGAAAAAAGGAAAGAAUACAAACAAAAGUAAAAAGAGAAGGGAUGCAUUGCAUGUGAUGUGAUACUAAACAACACAAAACAAAAACAAAAACAAAAACAGUAAAGGCAGCCACGCAUGUGAUCCCUUACAGGAAAUUUUUUUUAGUGGCAUAGUGAAGAAAGUUUUUUGGGGUGAAAAAAGAGUCUUUUGGGGUAAUUUUUUUUUUCUACAAUAAUCGUGGUCUUCCUGGCACGAGUUCAUCAUUUAGGCAUUUGCUGAUGUCUGUAUCACCAUUGUUCCAAAGUUCACAGCAGAGGAACAAAGCGAGCGACUUCUAAUUAUGUUGUCGUGUUAGUGAAAAUCCAUAAUUUGUGUCUAUCCUAAAAAAAUAUCAUAUGCAAUAAUGUCCCAUUUUGACAGUCAAAAAAGAAAAAGUAUUUAAUGUCACUUUUUCUCUUUCGGUGUGAUUAAUGGAAUAUGAUACUUAACCUUAUCUAAAUUUUUUUCUUAUUGGUGGGGUUAGUGAAAUAGUAAGUUGUGUCCCAUUGAAAUCGUAGGCUGUUCAGUUUCUGUAUUCUACUUUGAUAAGAUACUUAAUUUGCCAUUUCACUCACCAGCUUUGGACAAGAUUUCUGAGACCGAAUUUGGUAAAACUCGUGUACAUUUUGGAACUAGCAUUUUCAAGCCAUUGAUAUGUGUAAUUUUGCUGGACUGUAAAGUUCUCAAAAUAAUCAUCAUGUGAAUUCAUACCUUUCUACUUCAUAAAAUGUGCUGUAAUUGCCUUCGAGUUUGAGCUAUUUAACUUCAGUAAAGCCAUCCAGUCUUAUACAUUGCAACUAUAUGGUUUUACUCAAGACUCUCAGGAUUCCACUUCAAUUUUGAUAUUGUUUGUAGUGAAUUUAAAAGAAUAGUUCAUAAGCUCUUUACAUCCAUGUUAUACUUUGGGCCCCUGUACAAUCAAACAAAUCUCUUCCCAAAGAUUACCUUUCAAAAGAAUGAUACGGCAUGUACAAGCUAUUAUAAUUGCGAGGUGUCUUUUAUAACAUUAGAGUGAAAGCCAUAUCAUAAAGGGUAAAUUGUUUAACAAAUUUUAGAACUUUUUAGAAAAGAAAAAAAUGAUUCUGUCUUUGGACCAUCAAAAGAGUUCUUGAAGACUCUCGAUUGCUGAAGGGACGUAAUCAUAAACUGAAAUUUAGGUACCUGUUUCUAGAUAUUGUUAAUUUCAAGUAGUAAUGAAAGUGGCUUCCUAGAUAUUAGGAUUUAGGAGUAAAGUCCUUUUAAGCUCAGGGCUUUAUUUGGAGAUUAGUUCAACUGUGUAUUAUAUAUUUGUACUGGUGAAAGUAUGUUUCAUAUCAUUUGGCCACUGGAAUUGAAUUACUAUCUUACCAUUAUUGUAUGGUUCUUGGAAAAUUUCAAGAACUGCACUUUUCUUUGAAAAUAGAUGUUCUAGUAUAACAUCUUUAAAAUUUUGAAAACUGCAAGAAAAACGUACGUUCUAUACUUUUAAACAAAAUUGGUGUUAGGUGGGAUGAGCUUGAUCUCCUAUAAUGCAGGAUGCAAGAAAUAGACUUCCAAAUACUUGCACAAAAGAUGGAUCUUUUGACAGGCAUGGGAAACCAGCGAUUAAGGAAAAAACUGGUGGAUGGAGAUCAGGGAUGAUUUUGCUAGGUACUUUUUACGUUUUCUUGUUUACUACACUCGCAAUCUUGGUAGCCUUAGUACCCGCUUAUCUAAAUUAAAGUACCAAUGAGAAGCCUGAUUGGUAAGUUUACGAUUAAUUGGCUAAAGACAUGCCGCAAUAUAUAUGUGUUGUUAAAACAUCAUUUUAAUGUAAAUGACACAUUUUCCUGCUCAUGGCUUGUCUAGUCAAUGAAGGACUUGCUGCAGUUGCAUUUACUGGGGUGGAAGUAAACAUGGUUCUUUUUGCAAAGUCAGUCCUCAGGCAAUCAAAUGCAGAUGCAGCCAAUACGUUCAGUCGGUGGAUGGGAACCCUCAACAUUUGUGCUCUUAUAGGUGCAUUUCUCAGUGACUCCUAUAUGGGCAGAUAUGUCACUUGUGUUGUUUUCCAGACCAUAAUGGUGCUUGUAAGUGAACAUGCCAGAAAUUUUCACUAGUUCUUUAGGUAUUUCCUCUUUUCUAUACAUUUUGGAUUGCUUCUCCCUGUGAUUGGUAAACUUCAUUGUUGUUGCAGGGUUUGAUUAUAUUAACUCUUUCAACGCGCAUAUUUAUGAUUGAACCAAAAGGAUGUGGGAGAAUAGGAGAACACUGCGAUAUUAAGUCACCACUUGAAACUGCAAUAUUCUAUAUAUCAAUCUACUUAGUAGCUCUUGGUAGUGGUGGAAUGGAACCAGCACUUGGUACAUUCGGUGCAGACCAAUUUGAUGAGGAGGAUACAGAAGAAAAGCGAUCAAAAACUGCAUUUUUUGGCUAUUACUAUGUCGCUUUGAAUCUUGGAUCGUUGAUUGCUGAAACAGUCUUGGUUUAUAUAGAAAAUCUGGGGAUGUGGGAGCUGGCCUUUUGGAUUUCAACAUCUGGUGGUUUUUUUGCUUUGAUUUUGCUGUUAUGUGGGAAUUCUAGAUAUAGGCACUUUAAGCCUGCUGGCAAUCCCGUUUCAAGGUUCUUUCAGGUAUUUGUGGCUUCUACAAGAAAAAUGAAACUCGAAGUUCCCUCAAAUGGGAAGGGGCUCCAUGAACUUCAGGAGAAAGAUGAAAAAGACAGUACCAGAAAUAUAGUACAUACAGAUGAUUUCAAGUAAGUUUCUUCAAGUCAUAUGCCUAUCAAAUAUCAUCAGUGUACAAAACAAUGGCCUCAUCUGUACUUCUGCAGAAAAUUGCUAUGCACUUUUACUUUCUAGACUAACUUGCAUUUAUGUCAUUUAAGAUUGUAUGAUAUGAAAAACUCGUAUAUGCACUCAUCGAAUUAAAAACUUGAGUUUAUCCAAUCUGACAGUUUCAUCAAAAAGAGAAUAAUAAAUCCAUUUUCAGGUUUCUUGAUCGGGCAGCUUUUGUGACAGCACCAGACAUGAUAACCAUAUUACCUGGCAAAAGCCAAGCUCCAAAUCCGUGGCGUCUCUGCACUGUUUCUCAAGUUGAAGAAGUAAAAUGUGUGCUGAGGCUAUUGCCAAUAUGGUUUUGCACCAUUGUUGCCUCCAUAGUCUUUGUACAAGUUCUUUCUCUCUUUGUUGAGCAAGGAGCUGCAAUGGAAUCAGUAAUCUUGGGAUUUCACAUCCCUCCAGCCAGCAUGACUGCCUUUGACAUUAUAAGCACAUCUACAUUCAUCAUUUGCUAUGAGAAGUUUAUUGUUCCUUUUUAUGUGAAACUGACUAAAAGGAAGCCAAAGACUCUAAGUGAAUUACAAAGAAUAGGAAUUGGACUGGUGAUUUCGAUUGUAGCCAUGAUAAUUGCAGGAUUUGUCGAGCUGCACAGACUAAGACAUGCAAUCCAAAAAGGUCAAGAAACUAGUUCCCUGAGUAUUUUCUGGCAGACUCCUCAGUAUGUAUUAGUAGGAGUAGCCGAAGCAUUUGUAAUUGUUGCCCAGUGGGAGUUCUUCGCUUCACAAACACCAGAUAGAUUGAAGAGCUUGGGGCUUGGUUUAUCGAUGUCUUCUUCUGCGUUAGGUAGUUACUUAUGCAGCAUAGCGCUGACAGUGGUGAUGAAUAUCACAUCGAGGCAUGGGAAGCCAGGAUGGGUUCCUGCAAAUUUAAAUGAUGGCCAUUUGGACAGAUUUUUCUUCCUUUCAGCAGCUCUCAUUGCACUUGAUCUGGCAAUGUUUGUCGUGGUGGCUAAGAGGUACAAGUGCAUAACAUUAGAGAAGCGAGAGGGGGGAGCAGAAGCAGGUGCCAUACCUUGAACUAAUCAAAUUGCUUCUCAUGUCUAUCUCUAUCUGGAUCACAAGUACUUGAAUGAGCAUUUUUGUAGCAAGAUCAGUAGACGUGGAUUGUAGAAGUGAUGUAAAACGCAAAUAUGACAACUUCAUGACGAAAUAUAGUAUUCUCUUUGUAUUUUUCUCAGUAGAUCCUAUAUAUAUAUAUAUAUAUAUAUAUAUAUGUGUAUGUGUAGUUUAUUAGAACUCUCUGUGAUGAUGACACCAGAAAGUACAGCUCAUAUGACCCCGUUUACAAGCUGGUUCAGCAACCAAUUAUGGUAAUUGCAGCAGUACCUUGUGCAGACAAGAAUGGUAUAAACAGCCACCCAGCCAGAUGGAGGCUCAGAUCUGGAAAGCCUCCUCGCCUUCUAUAACGCUUCUGGCACAGCAUUGGGAGUAAAUAAAUCUGCAAGAGGAAAUAUGAGACACAACCAUAGCGUAGCGUCUAACAAAUAAAACACCAUGUUAAAGUAAUAAAGAAAAGGCAGAAGACCUCUUUGGAUUAAACGAAAGAAAUAACUCAACAAGAAGAAUUUGGACUGAAGACAUUAUUCAUUCUUAUUUUUGUUCUCCACAAUAAUGAAGGAGAUUAUAAUGCAUGUAUGAAUUUUAACAUGGCAACCAACUAGUAAAUGGAACAGGAAACUGUGACAGUUGAAUUCCUUUUCGAGCUAGCUGCUCUUCAUACAACACUAGGGAGUGAAAAAUGCUUGGUGUGCUGCUUCCCUUAUGAAGCUUUUGGGCUUCAGUGUAGCUCUUUAUUGGCAACAUCUGUUCAUCACUUUGAUAUCUUUGCAGUGAGUUCUCUUACAAGCUUAGCAGCAACCAUUGCUGUCAUCCCAUCAACAGUAUCACGCUGGGGUUGAAUUCCACCACGUCUGCAGCAAUAACAUUACCCUGAAGAUUGUGAAGUAUGUUGAGAACAUCACGGAAAGAGAGGCCUCCAGGCUCAAUGUGAGACACCCCUGGGGCAAAUGCUGGAUCAAGAGAGUCCACGUCUACUGAAAUGUAUACACCCUUCACCCCUUCACCAAGUUUCUGCAAAUAGAGUAGACAUUCAGAAUAAGGUAAAUUGAGUAUGAACCAGAACACCUUGAAGAGUAGACUUGUUUGUUUGCUCUAUAGCUCCCCUUGACCAAUGCAUAAGUAUUGGAUGAAAUGUAGAUUUCAGUUCGUGAAAAGGAACCCAAGCAUUUGACAAUGUCUAAAGAAUGAAAAUCAGCUUUGUGACAUAGGGAUUUUGUUUUGGGUCAGCAAAACUUGGACUCCAAGACUAGACGAUAAGAUGACAGAAACUAUGCAUAUCAAAUCUUUUCAAUUUGAGAGUUGCUAAUGAUGAACCUCCGUGAAUUUGUGUGUCUGUGAGAGAGAGAGAGAGAGAGAGAGAGAGAGAGAGAGAGAGAGAGAGAGAGGGGGGGAGGAGAGAGAGACCAAGUUCUCCAAUAUGUGACGGUCUCUGGAAAAGGUUCGCAUCUCAUAUUGCUCCACACCAAAUCUUUUUCCUUGUUCACGGCCUUCCUUUGUAAUUGAUCUAAUUCCAACCUGUGCAACAAGCAAGCGCUUUAGCAUUAUACUUCUCAGACAUGAAAUGUCCGAUUAUCUCCUAUUCCACCAAUUUUUACUCAAGAGCAGAGCUCCACUCAAUCUAAACAUACAGAAAAGGACAAAUGCCAUUGAGCCUUCAAAUACCUUUCUAAGAAGAUAAUGAGAAAGAGAAGCUUAACAAUUUUUUAAUAUAUUUGGAAUCAAAUAAGAAAAGUUAUUAGACAGUCUAAAGCUGAUAAAAACACCUUAGAACUAGCGAAAUCAAUUUGCGUUCCUAAAAAUUAAUUACAUCAAAAGUGAAUGCUUUUCUCAUAUCAUCACCAAAAUAUCUUUGACCAGAGAAAAAAUUGGAAGUUUGAUUUUUCAAAACAAAAAAAAAAGCAUGUAAUUCAAAUGGCUUACAUAAUAAACCUAAAGGAACAAGUUAGAAGAAAAAUAUCAUUCUAAAGACUACCGCUAAACAGAAAGUAGAUUUGGAUACUAAGUUAAAGAGGAAUAUCAAUAAAAUAUAUAGCAAUGCAUUCAAAUGGCUGGAUUACUUGCAAAAGCCGGCGAGCAUAACCACCCUCCAUGAUGCGUGCAAAAGAAGACGCAUGAGAAUAUUUGUUUCCUUCAAAGGCAUGAUAAAUAUCAGGAUGGGCAUCAAGGUGAAGAAUAUCCACAGGACCUCCAAGCUUCUCAGAAACGGCUCUCACAACAGGGAAUGAUAUAGAGUGAUCCCCACCCAAUACCAAAGGGCGCAAUGGAUCCUGCAUUUACAAAAUGCAUACACAAGAAUUUCCAUUUAAAACAGUUGAAAAUCAGUGGAAGAUGCAAUUGAGCAGACAACAAAAGGCAUACUAUUGUCAUCAAGAGGGGAAAAUAUUAGAAUCAUCUGGAACCAUUCAGAAUCAGGAGAAUCAAGGACAAUGCAAUUUCUCAUACUCCCUCCGUCUCACUUUGAUAGUCCUAUUUUACUUUUUCAUCUGUCCCAAAUUGUAGUCCACUUUCUAAUUGAAGAAUGUAAUUGUAUUUUAAUUUUCCUAAAAUACCCUUAUUCAAUGUAAGUUAUUGUUACUAUAAACCUACCCCAUUUAAUAAGAGUUGAUUCUUUUUUUACCAUCAAUUCAAGUUCCCAUAAAGUUGUACUCUAAUUAAUGUGAGGGUAUUUUAGAAAAAUAACUAUCUAAAUUGAUUGUUCCAACAAAGUUAACUACUUUUUCUUAAACUGUAUGAAAAAAAAAUCAGGACUAUCAAAGUGGGACGGAGGGAGUAGUAUUUUCCGGGUAUCAUGAGAUGUAAUUAGAACUUGUAUAUAGAAUCUGCACUCAACACAUGCUACUUGGAAAUUUUACUAAUGAAAAAACAGCUAAGAAGAAAAAUAAUGAGGAUUCUAUUUCAAUUAAAAAAUAUACGGAUCUUAAACAGAAGACCAUGGAUCUUAAUCAGCACACAGAAUUGCAUCUUACAAGGGCAUCAAGUGAAAAGCUGUCCUAAUGAUGACUAAGACACUAAAAGCAGGCAUCUGGAAGGGAAUGAAAUCAAGUUGAAACACAGUAGAGGUUCUUAAAGAGCCAAUCUUUGACUACAGAUGAAUGGUUUGCUUUCCAUAUAUUUGUUCAUCAAGAGGGAGAUGGAUCACAUUAGAGCUAUGGGAUCAGUGAAAAAAUUCAAUUACUUAAUGUAUAUAGGUCAAAAGGUAACAGUUCAAGCACAUGCUGUAGCUAUAUAAAUAUAAACACAUAAAAAGAUGGAACUCUUUCAUCUUUGAUGCCAAUCUUGUAUUUCUUUUUCAGAAAACAUAAUCUCUAAAGUUUCAUUGUCACUCAUCAAAUAAGUCCCUCUACUGCAGAUUCCCUAACAGAGAGAGAGAGAGAGAGAGCUUCUUUCAUACAGUACAUUCAUCUGUCUACAAAUCUUCAAGAAAAUUAGUGGCAAAGCAGGAAAAAGUUUCUAGCAUUGUCAUCUCUAAGCUAAUUCAAAUACAUCCUUCCUUCUCAGAAACAUCAUGUUGGCCCUAGCAUUCAUGCCUCUACAGAGAGAUAGAGAAGAGAGAGAGAGAUUCACUGUUAAAAACCGGGAAACAUUAUAACCAAAAUAGCUACAUCAGAUGAGCUCUUUAGCUUGAUUCUACCAGAGAAAACAGUGUAAUACGUAAUAGAAAAAAUACGCAAAAGGUGGGCUUACUUCUUCCAUUACUAGCUUGACUGACUCACUUAUGAUACCCAUUAAUCUAUCAUCAUCUACACCACAAUCUCGGAUCUCUUGUACUGGAACAUCACCAACGUCAGUUAAUACUCGUGGAUCAUUCAAUUCCUUGCCUGCAUAAGACCAAGAUCAUGAUAGAGGGAGAAGAUGUAUUUUUCAAAUAUUUUCUAGUAGAAAGCAUCAGCAGUGUAUAUUUGUCCAAAUUUGUUGACAAUGCAUGAAAUUAUGAUCAUAAUUAGAGAGAAAACAUAGUAAGCUACCAACAUUAUUAGGGGAACUGAUCCUACCUAUCAGAUGAAAUUUAUCUCCUAGCUUUGAGAAAAGUGUUAAGGUAAUUUCUCGAUUCGAAUAAGGAAGUAAAGAUUGGCAAAGGCUCAUAGAACAGUAGGCAGCAACAAAAUAAUGGACCACAAACAAGCCAAAAAAACUAUUAAUAACAGAGACCAAAUCCUACAGAAAGUAAUAAAAACCACUAGCAUCACAAGGGAAGGGGUUUGUUUUCCACCUCCUUUGGGUGGGGAAUUGAUGGAGGCUUAUGAUGAUGUCCUUAUUUAUGAAAUGAAGCCAAGGGGAUCCAGUAGAUGGCACAGCUAGAAAAUGAUAUUGACUUUUUUUAGUGUCAGUGCAACAAGGAAUAUUAGAUGUUCCUCUGCAACUGGUUAAACAUAAAUAAGACAAGGAACCCAUAAUCAACAGUCAAAAUCCUUAUCAAAUACUAAACUAGGUUAAAAAGAGACCAGUGGCAAGACCGAAAUGAAGACAUAAAAUCCUCUUAAUCACAAUGAAACAUUUCUAACCCUCUUAAUCAAAGCCUUAUGCACAACGGUUAUAUGGAGGCAUUCAUGGUUGCCUGAAUGCAAACACUAAUCAUUUCACAGAUAAUUUUGCUUUGGACAACAUGGAGCUCAACAUCCAUAUGUGUUUACGUAAUACUAGCAUAAAAAUGGCUUCACCUUCUUCAGUUGUGGAGUUUGUGCUGCCACACCAGAUAGCCUCUCUUAUACGAGGGGGAGCAAAUGCAGGCCCCUGAAGGAAUGAAGAGUUAUGCCCUAGAGGAACUCCAAGAAGGGAUGCUGAUGCUACAGCUCCUCCUAGUGCUCGUAAAAGUUCUCCCUAACAUUAAUUUUAAAAUUAUUCUCAUAGAACAAAGGAAAACUUGAAGAUGAAAAUUUUGACAGAGAUCAAAUCAUACCUUGAGCUUAGCUCUCUCACGGAUAAAGGUAAGAGAUGCCUCCAUAACGCGAUUCUGCCCCCUCUCUAACAAGUCCUUGGGCACAUUUGCAGCAUUUAGUUUGUGCAAAUAACGAAUUCCCAUCCUCCCAAGAUUCUUCAUAUUGUUAGAUACUGAAUACAGUGCCAAAAACAAUCCCUAGCACCACCAUGUACAAGGUAUUCAGAGAUUAUGAGUGUAGCAUAAAUACACAACAACACACCCUUGUGCAAAAAUGGUAGUUUAGGGUGCUAACUUGAAAAGGUUUUUGAGUAAUCCAUUCCAUCCCUAUAAAGUUUUUGAGUAGUGCCUUAGAUAGAGGUUAGCAGAAGCAAUAGGAAGUAGGACAAUAAUUUUCAAAUAGUCAUAAAAACAGUUAAAAUCAAAAAGCAAAACAAUGCCUUCCCUUUUGAUUGUCGUCCAGUUAACUAUCGUCAAACAAAAGUUGCGCCCAAACAAUCAGAGCCCACAAUUUCAUUCUUUUACCCCUGUUUCUGCACGAAAAAUUUCGGGGUCCUUGGAUACAACGGCAAAAUCCCGUUUUUAGGUAUAUUGAGGUGCCCAAUUCACUAUUUCUCUAGCUUUUAUCUCUGCGUCCAUCUUUUCCGCUGGCAAGUGUCAACCAAAUAAAAAUAUUUUUGUUCUUUAAUGGCACUGGAGUGUAAUUCUGUAGCUUUCUUUAAUUUUCUCGUCUUGGCAACCAAUAUUCACAAUCAACCAUGCAAAGUUGAAAAAAGGAAAACAACAGCUUUUCUCUUUCACUAUUCUAAACAUCAUCAAGACACGAUUUUUCAAAAGAAUAAAGACAGGACCAAAAAACCAUAGCAACAAAAAAAGUCAAGAACUCGGGAAACUGGGGAAGAUGGAAAGAACAAACACUUACCAGCCCAAAAAGAGACACAGAGAAAGAGAUUUGCAGGGAUGAGCCUUGGGAAUUUCAAUGGUUGAAGGGUUGUUUGUGUUGCAAAGUUUUGAGUUGAAUUGAUACAGAAAGAAGAAGAGGAAGAGACGAAAAAAGUAAUGCAGGUGUUUGGAUUUUGGUGGGGUUUUGGUGCCAGUGCUUUGAUGACUAGUGCUGCUGUUUUCUUGCCUGCUUGGCUACUCGCAGCGAAUGGGUUACGGAAAUGGAGCCAAACUUUGUGAAUAUUGAAUUGGAUAUUUUAAAGUAUACUCCAUGGAAUGGAAUGGGGAUUUGUGGAAUCGGAUUAGAACGGUUUACACGUAAACAGUACGAGGUAUGAAAGUGUUUGCAGUCUUGUACGCCACUUGCACUGCCAUUUUUUCACUUUAGCCACUCCAAACCCAGUGCAAAAAAGAUUUCCCUUUUUUUCUUUAAAGAGUGAGGGUCUUCCUUGUGUUGUGGCCUGUCGGAAGCAGCAAAAAUGAGAGCUUACUCGUACUGGGAAGCUCAGCUGAUAAAUCAGUGCUUAGCGAUCAUUCAUUUUGUCAUAAUUAUAAUUAAUUAAAGAAAAGGCAUUCUUCACUCUCAGGAGGCACAGCACAAAGUGAGCAAAUCGACAAACGAACAGUUCCAGAUUUGGAACGUGUAGCAGCAGUCGCAGUGGUAGCAGUAUUGAUUUGGGCACCAGUACUCGUGGAGAUUUUUUGCGAGCCAUCAUCUCAUAACGACUUGUGACACGUAAAUGAAUAUCUUCCUAUAAAACUAUGACUAUUGCUUAGUUUCCAUAUAAUAGUACUUGAUUUGCUUGCAUAUUAAACAUAAGUUACGAAUUAGAAAUAUCCUAAUAUGAUCUCACACACGUUGCCAUCUUUGUUAUUAAAAUUAUGUUUGACAAAUUUUUGUAUUUGGAUUGCAUUUUUCAUGAUUUUUCAUGAAAAAAUUACUGUAGGGAUUUGAUGUAUGUGAGAAAAAAAGGUAAUCGAGAAAUGUGAUUACGAAAAACGACGUAAUUUUUUGACGGAAAACAACAAUCCAAACAAUAACUAAACUUGUUAUUUUAAAGAAUUAACAUGUUCAUCACUCACAGAGACAUGCAUAAAUACCACAAGUACAGAGCAUUGAUACGUGAUUAUUUGAACUUGCAUCAUGAAUAUGUUUUCUAUACUCUUCUUUAGAUCUAUUCAUCUGUUAAAUUCGUACUCUUUUUAACUAUAGUAGAUAUGUAAUUUAUAGUGUGUGUUUAAUCUAUCAUUAAGACAGACAGUGAUGUAAUCAAAUUGUGUUGGACAAUUUCUAAAAAUCUAUUGUAAUAAAUUUGUUAUCAAAAAAAAAAAGUUUUCAAUACUCUUUUAAUCUUUCUAACCAUCUUUUAUGUCACGUGCAUCAGAUUAAAAAAAAAGUAUCAUAACAUUAUUUAAAAGAGGCUUUUUGUAAAAAAAAAUUCUAUUCAGAAACUUUAUAGUAAUACUUCUAAAGAAAGACUCAAAACCUUACCGGAAAAAUCUAAACAUCUAAACAGCUGAACAAAAAACAUGCAUGCGUCAUGCGCGUGGUACCGAUUGAUGGCUAAAUGAAUUGAGGUGGGUCGCAGAUAGCAGGCCAAUCAAUGCAACAGCCCGAGCAACAUCGGGCAGGAUGAAUGAAUCUCGGUUACAGUGUUGGGCUAAAUGUCUAGAAGCUCGUCUGUUUAUUUGGGACUUAUUAGCCCAAUACAAUAACACAAUCCAUUCCAAGGUUUCGGGCAGCAACCUCCAACACGGUCCCGAUCUUGGGUUUGGAACCUUCCAAAACGUUCUUUGUCCGCACCUCCCAAAUUCCAACUUCCAGAAGCGCCUGCUUUUCAGCAAGAAUUUUCACUUUUAGUCGAUUUUACGCCACUGCCUAACAAAACAGAGGCAGAUGGCCGAGAUGCCUCUGCUUCACCAGAGACUAGCUCUGUCCCUCCACCACCAUCACCAUCUCCUCCUCCUCCCGCCGCCACCACCACCACCAAAAGACUAUCCCAAAGAAUCCUCAAAUCACCAUGUCCACGGCAGCUUCAUCACACUCUCCAUCCACCCACCAACACUCGUUAGACCAACAACAACAGCAACAAAAGAUCAAGUCUUGAGUACCAUAACCAAACAAAACACAACUUCAACAACUAUGCCCGUGGCCUUAUGGCCUUGACUGGGCCAACCAACCCAACCCUUUUCGCCGUUACGUAUCUUCCCACUCCUCCCUCUUCUGCACCCUCCCUCACCCAAUUCUCCCGCUACCACCCGGGACGGCUCUCCUCCUCCUCUGUAUCACACGGUUUUCAAUUCUUUACCGUCCCCAAAACCCAUUUCCAAAACCACUAUUUCUCAAUUUUUAUGAUUCUUUAGCCUUAUCAGCCUGGAAAACUACUGGCUUCUCCACUUGGUCCCUCAGGGUUAAUCCCAGCAGUGGGAAUCUUCACCCACUGAGGCUUACAUCAUUGCACCAAUUGAUUCUCUGAUUGAUCACUCAUUUGUCGCUCAUUAUGCUCCGAAAGAGCAUGGUUUGGAAAUUAGAACCGAAAUUCCAUCUGGGUUUUUCCCAAAAAUUUCCCCAAGAACUUUUCUUAUUGGAUUUUCCUCUAUUUUCUGGAGGGAAGCUUGGAAGUAUGGUGAGAGGGCCUUUAGAUAUUGUAAUCAUGACGUCGGGCAUGCCAUUGCCGCGUUUCGAUGGCCGCGGCGGCUUGGGUGGGAAGUUAAGGUUUUGGAUGGUUUGGGAUAUGAUGAAUAGAGAAACUAAUGGGACUUGAUGUUUUUUCCCGAGUUCAAAAUCCCGUCCAGGCCGGUCAAGGGGAAGAUGCCUGAGAUUGAGUUUGAGCAUCCUGAUUGUGUGCUUCUGGUUUUUCCUAGUGGAAGUGAUUUUGCGUGACUAUAAGGGGUUGAGUUUAGCUAUAUCCAGUUUUCAACAUUGGAGUGGAAAGGGAAGCCGAAUUUGCUUAGUAAAGAGCAUGUGUGUUGGGAUAUUAUUUAUAGGACCGCCGAGGCAACAAAAAAUCCUUUAAACAUAUUCAAUCAAUCCAUAGUUGCUCCUUUCUGGCAGUGGAGACAUUAGUGAGAGUUCUUAUAAAGGUUUUAGUUUGAGGGAAAUGGUUAGAAAGAGAGGAGUGCAGUAGAUAUGGAUGGUUCUACCACAAUGGCAAGAGAGACUUUUUAUCAGAUUUUGCUGCAUUGUAUGCCUUCGGGUUUUGGAGUGGAGAAGCAAAGGAAACAGUUAGCAUUGCCAUUUAGGACGCUUUCAUGGAUUGUGAAGUGCAUGCUGCCCUUUUUGUUCAUAGAGUUGUCGGAUUGCCCAAGGGGUUGUAUUUUUUGGUGAGAAAUGAAGAGCAUUUGGAUGAUUUAAGGAAAUCUACAAGGUCUGAAUUUAAGUGGACCAAACCAGAUGGUUGUCCGGAUGAGCUUCCUUUGUAUGAACUCGCAAAGGGUGACUGUCGGGAGCUAUCAAAACGCCUAUCCUGUCAUCAGGUGUGUAUGUUGACGACAUUCCUGAUGGCAUUACUACUGAGCUCUUGACUACUAUCGCAAUUCAUUGUGGGAUACUUGUUAUUUGUGUGUUGUUUAAUGUCCAUUUCUAAAUUGUAAGUGUCGUAGUUUUACUUCGGAGGGAAUUUAUCUGCAAGGUAGAAGAUUAUAUCCAAGCAUAAAAGUAAGGAACAUGCGAGUCAUGGAGAGAACCAUCUAGUGCCACAUACUAGUUUUUUAUGAUAUGUUUCGAAAAGUAAAUAGAAAUUAGUUUCAGAUGGACUAAAAGUAAAGCAUAAACUUAAUUUGGAGCAAAGGACGAGUAUCUUCUAAAUGCACCUGGCGUCAAAUUUCUGAAUUACUAAGUCUGGAGUGUGCUUCACAAGUUCCUACUUAGAUCAGUAAGCAUAGGCAUUCGGCCUUCUUUUUGGUUCAUGCUGGGAAAGUGUUUAUAAUUAUCAAAUAAUCAUGAGAAAAGAAAGUUCUCCUUUAAACUUUGAUGCAGGAUGAAGAUGUGUUCAGUUUUUUCCUCACUUUAUACCCUGCACACUUCUGUACUGAAUAUCGCUAAUUAUGACUAACAUUUUAAUUGACAUUGGAGCUUGUUUCUAUUUGCAAAUCAUGAGGAUGAUGAGGAGUUUGGUUGCAUUUUAUGUUUCUUUAUUAGGUGUUUGACAAUAUUGGAGUGCAAACUAUAGGUGGAUCUGCAAUACGUUAUUUUUUUUCAGGGCACAUGCCCUUUUGGACAUUCACCUUGCAUCUUUUCUUUUUUAUGGCACUGGAAAAUGUUAUCAUAGAAAAGUUACAGUAAAUGUUCAGCACAGUUAGUAAUUUUGACAAAGGUUUUCAGCAUUAAUUGUCAUAGCAAUAAGACUAUAUGGCUUUGUGAAUUCUAUAAUAGAUAACAAUUUGACGUCUUCCCAGACACAUUGAAUAUAAGCUGCCCCACGGAGAUUAUGUUUUGGCAUAACUGCUACUUUGACUCUGCGCCACAAGCAGUGGCUGUAAAUUUAGUUGUUUAUGUUUCUGUAAAGCAGGAAGGUUGAGAUAGACUGCUUGUGUUAGAAUUUUGGGGCUACUUGCAUAGAGUCGACUUAUCAUCCUGAUUCAGAGGAUCUAUUUAAUGGACUUCUCAAACAUGACUAUCUAAUUAUAUCUAAUUACAGGACAUUGCCAGUGAUGGUUGCUUCAGUCUGGGUAUGGUGGCUCAUUUGGAGCCUACCUUGCAUGAAAAAGGUUCAUGGAUGUAUCCUCGGUUAUUUUGGGAGACGGGGGUCCUUGGCCAGGUCUUGUACCUUGAAGCCCAUGCAGUUGGGAUCUCUGCUACUGGAAUUGGUUGCUUUUUUGAUGACCCUGGUAUAAUUGUCUCUUUGACAUCAUGUUUCAUUUGGAUGGUCUACUUCGUUUUGUGUGUGUGCAUGUUUGUUAUGCAUCCUCUCAUUCAAAAGUUCCAUUUCCGAGAUCAUGCCAUCUGUAAUGGAUGAGCUUCUUAAAAUCCGAGUUAACACAUCACUGAACCAUAAAUCAGGGAUCCAUAUAUGGGAUAGUUUGUAAUUGUAUCCGAACUGCAGAAUUUGUAAAGGCAAAAUGCUCUAUUUUUGUAUUUAGUCCAAUUUCAUCUAUGAGGUAUCAGCUUUAUAUCUUGAGCACCCUACCUAUGGACACAAGAAAAUCCACGAUUCAUAAUUUCCUCCCUUUAUUUUUGACAAAAGGAACUUCACUCUUUCCUUGAUGUCCCAUUGCCUGUAAGUUCUAAACCUUUCCUCGACUUCUUGUACCCAAGUUUCUGAUACCCCGUACUCUACCAAAUGUCAUUAAUGGUUGCUUACUCUUAAAGUGUCAUCUUGGGGCAUUACAUGUCUCUCCUCUCGCUCUUAAAUUUUCCAGCAGAGGAGGGUGGGACUCAAGAAGCUUUUUUUGUUUUUUUUUGGUUUGUUUUUUGUUUGGGGGGGGGGGGGUCGUCUGAACCCACGACCUUUAAUUCCUGGAGUUUCAAGCUUAGCCACUAGACCAAUGCCUCGUCAACCACCUCUCAUCUCUCGGCCACGAACUCUGCUAAAUUACAUUACUGAGAUUAUGAGAAAAUUUGGUCUGGUUAGCUAAUGUUUUAGCCUUCAUGUUAGGCUUUUCUUAUUCAGGGUGAUUUAUUUCCUUUGAUUGUCCUUGGCCAGAUUAGUAUGCUAGAUUUAUUUGAAAUAGGUUCGAAUUUUGGGAAGAAGGAAUAGUUUAUCUUGGGAUGUUUCUUUGACGCUGUUUUGUUUCAUUUAUGUCAGUACAUGAAGUUCUUGGGUACGAGGAUCGAAGUAUCAAAGCCUUUAUCAUUUUACAGUUGGAGGCCCAGUUAUUGACAAGCGUAUAAUGAGUUUACCAGCAUAUCCUGGCCCAGGCGUUGAUGCAUGAUGAGAGGAGAUUAGAAUGAUACUCAGCUCACCCCUUUCUGCAAACCUUAUACAUACUACUGAGAAAAAUCUGCAUUAGGCAGUAUUGUUGAUUCUUUCCCUCUGUAGUUAAGCUAUCAUUCUCCUCAAUUAUUGUAAAUGAUGUAAAUUUAUAAUGUGUCUGGUCAGUUUAUUCACAUAAACGAAGAUGAUCUGCAACAAGUCUUCUCCUACGAAUUGUGGUUUGCUGCACGCAUACUGAAUUGUACUGGCGGAGAUGGUUGCCUUGAGCUUCCCCAAAGGAUGUCAAGAUGGUUUGUGUAUGGCAAGCAAAUUGCAAUAAUUUUUGCCUUUGUGACUAUCAGUACGUAAAAUUAUGCAGGAAGCAGAUUGCAAUGAAACAAAUAAUGAGAAAGAUACUUCCUUGUACUUUGAUACUUUAGAAGGGUUCGAAAGUCCACCUGAUGCUUGGAGCUCGCAUUGAAGUGUUAAUCAGACUGGAAAAUUUUUGAAGGAAUACGGCUUAAAUAAAAUCCUUCCAAGUUACUGCUAACAUUCUGUUAAAUGGAUUAGCUUCAAUUAUUACAGCACAAUAUGCCAACAGGAGAGUAUUUAAUGGAAAAUUUCCCAUGAGAAACCAAGGGAUCUCCCAACGACCUGACUUAGCCAGAAACGAGUUGGAGAAGACAUCGCAAGUGGCUAGCUAGGAACACUCGACCUGUACGGGUUUAUGACAUUGCCGCCUCAUAGGCUGGAGCUUUCACUACAUCGCACAAUUGAAGAAUUAAACCAUUGCAGGACAUUUAUCAUUGCCCGUGCCUGGGGGUUUAUUGCAGGGACGAGGACAUGGUUAAACAAUAAUGAUGAAUUUAUUGAAAAAAUAUGAACAUAAAGAAUUGCGGAGAUCGAACGAGUUUUAUUGUAAUUGUAUGUUCCAGAAAAGAUCCUAUCAGUAUCAGCUCUGCUGCUGGAAAUCAUAGAUUUACAUAUGGGAUGAAAGCUGUACUAGCGUCAUCUUGGUCUGUUACUGUUUCACCUCCAUGCUGUGAGUAUCAAUGCCUAAUCAAACAACUAGCUUAGAACUCGGCAGAGCUCAUCUGCUUCUAGCUACCAAACUGUGGUCGCAUCCUGCACGGCACUGAAUGAUUGUCUAUAGUACACUUCAACAAGAAAAGAAGGAUUUUGUUAUACACCUUUUUCAUUUUAUAGGCUUAGACUACCCUUUCUGCAUGGAGGCUGAGGAUGAAUAGGUUAAGCUGUUGAUAAUACUCCUCAAUUCCCAUAUCCCAGCCAAACUGGAUUUGAAAGUUAAAAAUUGCCUCCUUCCAAGGCUGACACAGGAUAAAUACUCAUCUUUAAGACAUUAAAUCUCUACCACACACAGGACCUUGCAUGUUGAUUUGCAGAGGAAGUCACCAGCUAAAGAAAAUCCAUCAGUCUUGGCCCGAAAGAAAUUGCAGAUGUGUGAAUCAUAAUUGUCCCUGUCCUUUAUGCAGAAAUCAGAAUUUAACAAAAUCAGUGUUUUUUUUUUUAAAAAAAAACAAUUAAAAUGAUUACUUACCUCAGGUAUGCCAAACUGAUACUUCAGAGAAAAAACAGGCGAGAUUCACAUGUACGGCAAACUACAUCGUCAUUCUUCUGAUUCGUGACUUCAACAAUUCUGAUUAAAUGUACUGUCUCGUUACUUGUAGAUCUACACUUAACACUGUCAGACAAGUUGUUCUACCACCAGGAUUCAGCGCCUUCCAUAAUGAGGGCAGUUGGUUGCAAGCUAUCUUCCCAAAUAUCUUCCUGAUUAUUCAUUAUGUUUGAGCAUAACCAGUUCAAUAGCCCUCAUCAAGAAUGACAACACCCAAUGAGUGGAAAUAUGUCCAAUUGUCAAGCGACUGGCUUCAUAAAGAGUCUGAUGUCUCCAUCUAGUACUUGAAGGAAUCAAGAAAAAGACCAAGAGAAAGUCCAGCUUUCCAAUAAUUAAACAUGAUGAUUAAGCCCCUCAACUUGCCAAUCAAAGGCAGAGAAGCUUUAUACAUGAGAGCUCCAAUUCCCUCCACUACAGCAACGGCUAAUGCAGCAGAUAGAAUAUCCCAGUCACCAGUUUGCCCAAUAACAGUGGCAAAGGCGUUGCACUGUAAAAUCCCACCAAGAAGAAGAGUAACUUCAUACGGGAAAUUCUUCCUUAACUCCCUGAUUCUUGUUUCUAACUUGACCCGAAUGGCUUGGAUAGCCCUAACAAGUCGAGUUCCACUGCUGCUAUCAUCUGUAGGGGAAGAAUUUAGCCUGUCACCAUCUGCAGCGCUUCUAAUAGACCACUCCCAACUCCUACAUGAUUAAAGUUGGAAUUUUUAAUUACAUGCUAGAACUAUGUAAAUUCCUCAUGGUAUGAUAAAAGUACAUACAACGUUUACCUAGUGACCUCAUGCCAAAAUGGAGCAUUUUCUACUCGUUACAUCAAGAGAGAUGAAAGAAUCUAUAUGCAUGCCAAAAUUUCAAUAUCUUUGAGGAGUCUAGCAUGAAAGACAUACAUGCACACAUCACAAAAGAAUGUUCAUACAUUGUAAAUGGCCAAGUCAGAAAGUAAUAGUUAUGUGCGGUUACAAAGAAACUCACAUGAAAUUGUUGAAUACAGAAGGACGUGCCAGGUGAGAGAGAGGGAAAUGACGAUAUAGAGCAUUCUGCCAAAAGAAAAGGCAGUUUUAUUAACACGAAGACCAAGGUACACACCAGGUGGCUUGAUCUUGGGUCUUUAGGAGUAAGAAUUGUGGAACUUGUAGGAUAGCCAGUCGAUGGUAUUUUCCUGGCUAUCAUGGAGAACCUGCAUGUCAAACCUAAAAUGACCACAUCAGUACGAAGAUAAUCAUGAAUAAGAACUGAUGAAUGGGAUCGAUCAUUUCUAAAAGAUUUCCUUUCCCACCUGAUGAUGGUAAUAGAAGAGAACAAUUGAGAUCAUUUGCGAUCAGAAACAUGAAACUGACAUUUCCGACUUAAAUAAGAAAAAGACACUGACAAACGCUUUGGAAAGUUUGACAUAAUAAAUGCAUUGUAUCAGAAAAAAGUUGAAAAUUGUCAAAUUUUUAGGAGUAAUGACUUCUUAAAGAACCAUCUGCUGUAUACAUUACUGUUGUGCUCUCUUCUCCCUUAUACUUCAUAUAUAGAUGAAAUCAAUGGAUGCUAUGUCAAAAAGAUAUUACAAAACUGAGAUGCCAUUUGACAAAGAUUUUUAGCUUCAAAACUUCUGCUAUAUACAAUUCAGCAAGCAAGCAGAUGAGACAAAGGAUGGCAGCUAAUCAAUCAAUAAUCAGUUUCUCAAAACAUAGGAAUGCAAACCAAUGCUGAAUCCUUAAAAUUGCAAGUUGUUUCUGCAACAUUCUUGGUAAUUUUGGACAUGCCUCAGGAUCCUUCAGAAGAUUGCAACUCAUUCAACAGUUUAUCACCAAAACCAAGUGAACUCAGUAGAUGUCAAUGGGCAUGUCUUGCAAUUAAUUGGCUAUUAUUCCCUUUGAGAUAUAAAAAUGAGAAACCUCUAAAUACAGUCAGUUUGAUUUGGGUUUUUUCUUCAUUCCUCAUACAAAAUUUGCAUGUUUUAAUAGCCAAAUUGGUUCUUACAUCAACAACCGUGACAUUAAGCAAGAAUGACAGAUGUUAUGUAACUUCAGUUACCAAAAUACACUAGCACUCACAAAUGGCUAAGUCAUUCAUCCUCUUCAAAUCCUAUCAAUCCCACACAUCUUCCGGUAGCCUCCAGCAGAAAAUUCAGAUCCCACUCUUUCUGAGCACAAGAAUUUACUCUCAAACUCCCUCAACAUCACUCAUCCACUUAAAAAUUAGGAAUAAAAAACAGCAUAAACCCAUGAAGACUUACUUAAAAUGCGACAUCAAUUUGUAAAAACCUGUUCUUUAUUAAAUUCUUGGAUUUCUUCUUGUCUAUCAAUCAGUUAAUGUUCCUCUACAAAUACACGAGACACAGGCAGAACAAUUCGAGACCAACCGAAAAGUUGCAUUGAUAUUAAGGAGCAUAUAAAGCGCCUAACUUUACACAGCUUUUCAAAAACUUGGCCAGUCAAACAUUGAACCGAAUUGCAAAAGUCUUUAUCUAUUCUGUCUUUAAUGAUAAGGUACAAAAGUUCAGACAUUAUAAUUGCAUGAAAAACUUACAGACUUUACGGUGGGAAAGAAUGGUAUAUAAACCUUCUGCCACUUGGGUUUUGGCUCCACUUUCUGUUUUCCUCUGUGGGAUUUGAUAAGAGAGGAGAGGAGCGGGCGAAACUGAGAACUGAGAAGACCACCAGACACCACCUCUGCAUUUCUAUUUCUUAAACAUGCCCCCCACCCCCUUCUUCAUCUUAGAUUUAUUCAUAUUAUUUAAAGCUCCCUUUACAUUUUAGAAAUUCAUCACUUCCCCCUGAUAGUUACUGAACUGAUCUUCUGUAUAUGGCAUUUGAAAUUUUAAUUUCAGCACUCUUAAGUCUCAAACUGGAACUAAUUUUCAUUAUCAUAAUUGAGUGUCUGUCAAUUUGCUCAAAAUAUACUGAUCGGACAUCAAUUGAUUCGUACAUAUUAAUUUUGUAUUUUUGAAUAAUGUGGUCAGCAUUAAUUAAAAUUUUUACUUAAUCUUGAAUUCAUCAUAAAUAGACUAGGAUAUUAAUUGAAUUAAAUUAUAUAUUAGUAGACACCGAUAAACUUCAAAUUUCAACUUUUAGUCCUAAUCUAGCACGAGUUUGAUCUUGGAGUUAGAAUUUUUAACUUUUUUUCUUUUUUAGAAUCUAUAAACCAUAAUAAGUAAUCAAAUCAAUAUCAAAGUAAAAAUAUGGAGCAUUAAAUUUAGUGGAUUAACGAAUUUGCCCUUCUUUAUCAUUUUUCUUCAUUUAUUUCUUUUUCCUUUUUAGUUUUUAUCUUCAAUCGACAACUAAUCUUUCUUGACUUUUUUUACAAUUAUAUUUAUAAAUGAACUUUUCUAUUUAACCCUAUUUUCAUUCUAUUAUAAAAUUUAACAUGUUAUUUGAUUUUUAAGAAUCAAUUCAUCAUCAUGUGUUCAUUUAAUUUGAAUACUUGAUUAAGUGGGCCUUAAUCUAAAGGUGAUGUAUUUUCAUUGUAUAUGUACUUUUAUUGAACAAAAUCCAAAGAAAUAGAAAGAUCAAAAUAAAAUAAUUUAAUCUAUUUCCUUUCUAAGACAUUGAAAAGGAAAUCUUAGUAGACGAAUCAGUAUCACGAGAAACAAAAAAAGAAAAAGCAGAAAUUGACAUUUUUAGUUACAACAUAAACAUUUUCUACUAACCAAUAAAUCAUAUUCUGAAAGUUUAACUUAUUAUAUGUGAUGAAUCAAUUAUUUCAUAUGAAAAUAAAUUAACUAAUAAAAUUGAUUAUUAUGAUUUGGGAAAAAUAUACAGAGUACUCCAAAUUACAAAAAAAAAAUAAGAUAGGAGAGAAUGUAGCGACAUGACAAAAUUGAGAAGGCAAAACAAAACGAAAAAGGAACUCAGCUAGUCCAAGAACUAAAUUCUUAAUGGUAAAUAAGACUAUUUGUCAUGCUUUGACAAAAGUUAAUCAAUAACUGACCCAUUAAUUUUAGGGGCAAGCUGAUGAUAAAAUAAUGUCAGAGAGGCAAAGCACAAAUUACCCUAAUUGUGAGGAGUUUUGUGCAAUUGAACUUUAAGCGAAUAAUUUUAGAAAACCGAAAAGAAACAGGCGUGAAAGGAAAGUAGCUUUGCUCCGUUGAUUGCUCCUGGGCUGUCUGGUGGGGUUUAAAUUGUGAUAACUUCUAGAACAACUCACAGAUCAACGCCCUCGAUUCCGCCUGUGUUUCUGCCACUCUUCACUCAGCCAGCGGUGCAUAUCCGAUCAGGUACUCGCACCGCUUUCUUCUUCUCCGUCAGUUUCUCUGCUCUACUGUUAUGAUAAAUGAUGCAUCGUUUUUUAUGUUUAUGUCAAGUAUAGCGAACAAGUUCAGUGUAAAAUUGAGUUGAUGUGCGACUAUAUUGACAAAUUGUGGAAUUAUGGAAUUGAAAAUGUGAAUCGAAGGCUUUUAUUUUUACUUUAUUUUUAAUUUGAGUGAGAAAUUUUGAUAGGAUAGCUGAAUGGUUCAGUGGAAAUGAAUACAUUUGACAAAGUAAUUAUUCAAGAAUUUGUGUGAAACAUAACAUUCAGCUGAUAAUGGUACAAAAUGCUAUCAUGAUAUUUGAACGGGCUUGAUGUGGAUUUAACUUAAAGUCGCUUGGGAGUGAUUGAAAGGGUAAAGAGUUUCAAAUAGUUGUGCUUGCAGCUUUACUGUACAUUUAUGUGGAUUUAGUUUCUGAGGUGUGCUAACUAGUCUAAAAGGUAAAGGCUGCUUUUUUUUUUUUUUUAAUCGUGGACAUUGUUUUGGGCUAUCACCAAAUUUAUUUUUAGGGCUAUUACAAAAUUGCUUAAAUAGAAGAAUUAAUGUUCUAGCAGGUGUCCUUUAACACUUUAAACCUUAUUUAUAUGAUUCAGAAGAAACCUACUAGAAGGAUUAGUGGAUUUAUUUAUAAUAAAUAAAAACAGGAAUGAUUUGUCAAUCAUGCAAAGGGACAAUUCAAUGGCUGAAACUUGAGGUGACAUCAAUUGAUGCGCAUAUUAAGAACAAAAGAAGAGGGAGAGGUGGAAAAGUAUGAUGUCAACUUUGACAUGUUUGGAAACUUAGAUUGGAGGAUUUUUACCCUUGUUUUUGAGAGAAUUUAUGGGGAGAUUUUUGUUUUGGAAGCACUUAAAUUUCAUAGAAAAUUAUGCUUAGCUAUUCAGCACAAGUUUAAUGAUAUUGUCAUGCAGUGAACCCAAGUCAGGGCUGCAAAAAAGGAAAAAAAAAAGGUUGGAAACUUUAGCUUUUGGCAUCUUCCAAAACAAUUUUGACACAAUUCCUGUCCUGGUUUUCUUCUGCAAUUUUUUGGAAAAUGGAGUUCUUUCAGAGUCAAAUGAGCAAUUUUGAGAACAAACUUAAAAUACACUGUUUACUCUCGCAGUCUAACGUCUUUCAUUCAAGUAAACCAGAGAGGACAAGUUACCCAAGAAUGUCAGAUUUAGAGAGGGCAAAGAAAGAGAGAGAUAGAGAGAAUGAGAGUUGAGGAUUGCCAAAAACACUUGAAUGAAACACUUCUGUUGACUUACCUUUUCCAUGUAGUCAUUACUUCUCCUCACUAGAGGAGAAAUGGAAGGACAACAUGAUGAGGUCUGGGCUUCAUUAGUGGCAGAUGGAAUUUCCUAGGUGAGAAACUGAUUUAUGUCAAGAUUAAUCGCAUAUGAAUGGGGCUGUAGAAUGUUGGCUUAGAACCUCAUCAGAUGUGAACCAAUGAAGUUUGUAAAUGACCUCAUAAUGUUGUCCUUCCAUCUUGUUUGUGAUUUUAAGCUUUCAUGCACAUUCUGCAUUAUGAGGCUUUUGCAAUUCUAGAAAAUGAAUCAUGUCUUUUGCCCUUAAUACAAAAUUGUUUUGCAAUUUGUCUGCCUUUGCGAGAGAAGGGAACUUACUUUAUGUUGGUUUCAUGCUUUUACUCCUUGGUGGCAUCUUGCAUCUGAAUUUUUUGUAAGACAGUUGUCUGAAAUGGUUCCCCUCCCCCUGUCCCCAAAAGGGAAAAAGAAACAGAAGCCCUUCCAUACAAAAAACCAUUUAAGGGCUGUGGGUACCAUCAAUUUUGUAACUGAUGUAAUUGUCAGUUUUGGCACAGAUCAUGAGACCAACAAUGUUCAUGCAUACGCUUGCAGUGAAUCAAAGUAUAUUUCCUCUCAUCUCUUUUUUGCCUGAUAAGCUGGAUUGGUGGUUUUCAUUGUACUGUAGGAAAACGUAUUGCAACCUGUGGAAUUUGGCAAAGAAGCUCAUUUUUUAGUUCUCUAUCAAGGAGAAAGUUUAUUAUGCUUUCAAAGCAGAUCCAACUGCAGGUACGUGAUCUUUAUAGGUGUGCUUUUGCAUGAGAGACUCAUUUAAUCACUCCAAUGUCUGCUUAUUCUUAUUGGGAAAUAAAGUAUUUUUCAGGAAUGGUCUAGCACAGCAUCUGCAAUAGUAGUCUGUGUUAAAAAGAAUAUAUUUUGUUAUCACAAUUUUGUUAUAGUAGAGGAAGGAUGACAUUUUGGCCUUAAAAAAAGGAACAGAAAAGGAAAAGAAUGGAAUAAUUGUGAUCUUGACCAUCGUGAACAGUUCUGUUGUUUAUCAAUGUUUAAAAAAGUGUUGUCUUUUCUGUGUCCUGUUCUUAUCAGGUAUUUCUGAGACUGCAUAUUUUCCCUCUUCAUUAGCUUUAUGUAUUAAUGACUGGAUGUCAUCAUUGAUUUUCUCUUUGCAGGCAGAUUUUGCUGCUACAACUUUUUCUUAGGUGAAGAGUUCUUGAAUUUAGUUCCUGUUGGAGAUAGAUAUGCAACCCACAGGUGGUAAAGAUACCCAACUUCGUGAUAACAAUAGCCAGAAGGUCCAUCCACAACCCAUGGAAGAGGCCAUAAAUCAAAAUCCUGAAGCAUUGGAAGCACUAAUUUCUAGGAUUUUUACAAACAUUUCCUCCCUGAAGUCGGCCUACAUUCAGCUUCAAACUGCUCAUACUCCCUAUGACCCGAUAAAAUUCAAGCUGCUGAUAAACUUGUGAUUUCAGAGCUGAAGAAUCUCUCUGAACUCAAGCACUUUUACAGGGAGCAUAAUCCAAAACCUGUUUGUGUCUCUCCACAGGACUCUCGCUUGGCCGCAGAGAUCCAGGAGCAGCAGAGUCUAUUGAAAACUUAUGAGGUUAUGGUGAAGAAUUUCAGUCUGAAAUUCAGAAUAAGGACUCUGAAAUAAAUCAAUUGCAGCAGCAGAUCCAGGAGGCAAAUCAGAAGCGAGUAAAACUGGAAAAGAAUCUCAAGCUGAGAGGCUUGUCAGCCAAAGAAUCAGAAGGCUCAGGUGAUGAAAAUGGUGUCUUUUCUAUGGAUUUGACCCCUGACCUUAUCAAGUCAGCUGUGGAAGCUGCUUAUAAAGCCAUUCAUGAUUUCUCUAAGCCGCUAAUCAACAUGAUGAAAGCUGCUGGGUGGGAUCUUGAUGCAGCUGCAAAUUCCUUAGAGCCUGAUGUUGUUUAUGCUAAGAGAGCUCACAAAAAAUAUGCAUUUGAAGCCCAUAUUUGCCAACGAAUGUUCAGUGGUUUUCAGGAAGAAAGCUUUUCUCUGAAACUUGACAAUGUGACCAUGGAUAAAGGAAGUUUUUUCAACCAAUAUCUUGCCUUACGUGAUAUGGAUCCUCUGGAUGCUGUUGGGCAAAGCCCAGAUUCCCCUUUUGGAAAGUUUUGUCGGAGCAAGUACCUGGUGGUGGUUCAUCCAAAGAUGGAGGCUUCAUUUUUUGGCAACCUGGAUCAGCGAAACUAUGUGAUGGGUGUGUGUCAUCCAAGGACACCUUUCUACCAGGCAUUCUUGAAACUAGCCAAGUCUAUCUGGCUUUUACAUAGAUUAGCAAAUUCCUUUGACCCUAUGGUUAAGGUUUUCCAGCGUCAAGAAGGGGAGUGAGUUCUCUGAAGUGUAUAUGGAUAGUGUAGUGAAAAUUUUGUUAUUGAAGACGCUGACCAAAAGCCUAGGGUCGGUUUAAUGGUUAUGCCAGGAUUUUGGAUUGGAGGCAGUGUGAUACAGAGCCAAGUCUACUUAACAGGUGUGAUGGUUGCAGAAUGACUUUUGUUUGUACCAGUUGGAGUUCUGUCAAAACCUGCAUGUAUGUGCUGUGUUAAUUUCUGUGUUAUUUCUGUAUUUGGUAAAAUGUUUCUGUUGUAUUAUCUGCAUUUGCUAAGUUGAUAUGAUAUGUGAUUGAAGUUACUAUAUUGAUAUGAGGUGUAUUUUGGUCUUCUGCCAUUUUCUGAUUUGACGGCGACUCUUUUUCACACACACGCACAACAAGAGAGAGGCUAUUUACCUUCUGAGCGUUGGCAGUUAGUUUUGUGCUUGAUGUGGAGUUUCCAUUCCUAACUGGUAGUAUUAUGCAGAAAAUUCGUGAGCAUGCAUUUUCCUUCUCAGAUGUUUUAGACUUUAGAGAGCUUAUCAACUUGAAGUAGCUGACAAGGUAAACUUUGCCAUGACAUGAAGAAUUAGCAUUCUUAGCUAGUGAGGUUAUACGGACACAAUCCUAUUCCCAUGCUCUGAAUGUUCUUUUCCUGUUGAAGAAUUGCUACCACAUGAAUAGGUAAACUGAUUAUUUUUCAAUGCUCGAGUUUGAUGCAUGCUAUGUCGAUAGUUCCUUAAAUCUUUUAAAACUACUGCAACAGCUAUGCUGUUAAUAUACUCCGUCUCACUGCAUGCGUGGGUGAUUCCUGUGAAAUUUGAUCCAAUUGAGCCUUCUGAGAAGAGCCUCAUCAAAUUAUUCAGCUGUAUAUUGUUUCAGAAUUGGUACGAUUAAUCUCUCUGGUGUAACUGCAUGAGACCCACCGUGUGCACCUAAACUAUGAUUUUAAAGCAUGGGAUCUGUUUCCCCAGAUAUUUCUGAAAAAAGGGUGAAGAAAAUUGAUGAAUUGUCUUGUUGGGAGGGAUCUUGUUGCCAAUCAAGAGUCAGAAGCGAACGUCCUCUGUCAAACUCUCUAGAAGAACAGAAUUGCAAAAGUUUCUUAUUUCGAUUUUUAGGCUACAAGAAAUUAUUGACCUAGUGCAAGAUGCGCUAUGCAUGGACCAUGGUGUGUGCUGCUCACAGUUUUGAGCACAUGCUACAAAAGAGGGUCAUUAAUUAUAAAACCUCUAAUUUGGACGGGUUGAAAAAACUCCCUUUGAUUACAUCCAAAUCAAGCAUGAAAGCUCUUUUUUAACAGCUGACAAUUCACGAAAAGAAUUGGAAGCAAAGUUAUGUAGGGCACUAAAAUUUGAGUGAACAUAUUAUCCUUAAAUUAAUCCUACCUUGAACCCUUUUUUUGGUUUGAUUUUUCUGAGCAAAUCGUUCUUUGAACUUAUAUGGCAGUCAUAUUAGAAUAAGAGAGUCGCAAAUUUACUGUUAUAUGUAAGCUAUGAGUUUAUUUUGAACGUCAGUUAGAAUGAGUUUAUGGUACAAAAGAAAAUGUACCACAAGGGGAAAAUUAAGUCAGGAACAAAGAUUAUUGGGAUUUCUUGGGAUUGAGAACUUGAAACUUUACGCUAACAAUAAUAUCUUCUAUUGCUCAAGGGCCAGUUAAGGGACUUGAUUUAAAAUGAUUGGCAGCUGCAAGCUGAAGCCACUGGCCAAAUAAUCACACCAAAGCCAGCAAGAUGUUUAUCAAGUAAAGCUCUCUUCCUGUGAUAUUCCUGGCGCCGACAACUUGCCGCAGGCAUCGAUGGCGCUGCUUAGCAUUCAUUCUUGGUCAAACCAAACCAUAGGCGUUCAAACAAUAAUAUAAUCUAUAGCUAACGCCAUCGUUUUAAGAUCACUGGGAGAAUUAAUUAAUUAAUUUCAAUGACAUCUACAGCAACGGAUAUGCACUACAGCUGUUGAGUCACAAUUAAUGUUAAAUUGAGUACAGACAAAAUAAAUGCAGGAAUUAAUUGAACAUUUGAGAUCUCAGAAUUUAGAGAUUUUGGAUUUGAAUCGCAUCUCCUUUCUUCAUUUUUUUAAUUCCACUCCUUUCCUCCAAUAAACUACCAUGUAACUUUUGAUUCUUUUAUCUUAAAUGAAUUUUUUCAUCCCUUAUAUUCCCUCCGUCCCACUUUGAUAGUCCUGUAUUCCUUUUUCAUCUGUUCCAAAUUAUAGUCCACUUUCCAAUUGAAAAAUGUAGUUGUAUUUUAAUUUUUCUAAAAUACCCUUAUUCAAUGUGAGUAGUUGUUACUAUAAACCUACUCCAUUUAAUGAGAGUUGAUUCUUUUUUUACCAUCAAUUCAAGUUCCCAUAAAGUUGUAUCAUAUUUAAUGUGAGGUUAUUUUAGGAAAAUAGCAAUCUAAAUUUACUUUUCCAACAAAGUUAACUGCUUUUUCUUAAACUGUGUGAAAAAAAAAACAGGACUAUCAAAGUGGGACGGAGGGAGUAUUAGUAUUGCAUUUAUCUUGUGUAUACAUACACACAUACAUAAGUACGUACCGAUUAAAAUUUUUUCGAUAAAACUUUAAAAAAAUUUUCUAGCUAGGUGAACUUAGAGUAUAAAUGCCUAUUCUAACGCUAGGACAUGCAUGGAUGUGCACGUGAAUCCUAACGACAAUCUUGCCAGGCAUGACCUAUUUGGUCCAUUCGAUCAAGAUAAGCAUCAAUUUCAAACAGAUCAGAUUGCUUAGUUACCAGUGUACUUGUACUUAAAUCAUGGUUUCUGCUGCUGCUGGAGCCCUAUUCUCAUCAGCUUCCUGGAAGCUCCUCGCGCAUGUGCAAGGACCGGAUAUUUAAAACCCCAAACGUAAAGAAAAUAGUGUAGUAAACUUUAAGCUAUGACUACACGAGGAUGACUUGUGAGACUUCUAUAUAAAUUCUCAAGUCUUCUCACAUUUUCCCAUCACGAAAACCAUCGAAUCAAAUCGUGCUGGAUUUUUUUUUUUUUUUUUUAAAAACAUGGCAAAAAUUAGCUUCUCUUUCCUUCUUCUCCUCUCUGCUAUCUCCAUUGCAGCUGCAAUCGAGCUGACUUCAAAUCGAGGCUCUGGUUUCAGGGCUUUCAUCGAGCAAGAAUGCCGAGGCACCCAAUAUUUCCAGCUAUGCGUUCAUUGCCUUUCAAUUUUUGCGCAUUCCACUACACAAACACCAGAGCAAUUAGCCCAAGUUGCAUUGAAGGUGAGCUUGGUGAGGGCAAGAUAUGCAAGAGCUUAUAUAACCAAAGUUGCUCAAGAUUUGAGGCUAAAGAAGACCAAAGAUUACCAAGCCGUGCAUGAUUGCCUAGAGCAAAUCAAUGAUGGUGUGGAUCAGCUCACGAAUUCGGUUAAGGAGUUGGGAAGAAUGUCUAUAGCUACUGAAACUGAUUUCUUUUGGCAUCAAAGCAACGUUAAUAGCUGGAUGAGCACUGCAGUCACAGAAGCACUAACGUGCAUGGAUGGGAUCUCAGGGCAUGCAAUCGGAAGUAAAGUGAAAUCUACCAUUAGAGCAAAGGUCUUGAACGUGGCACAGGUUACUACCAAUGCUCUAGAUUUUUUUAACCGAUAUGUGUCAAGACAUCGAGCCUCUCAAUCUCAUAACCCCAAUCCCUGAGUAUAGAAACUCCCCCCUAUCUUUUUUUUUUUUUGGGGUUAUGUUUUUCUGAGUCCAAAGUUCCUGCUUUUUUUUUUUUUUCUUUUUUGGGUUUUGUAUUUUAAUUCAGACACGUGUAAGGUGAAAGACAUCUGUGAAUACAAAAUUUUGUACAAGAAAUGGAAUUAUAGAGGUUCUAUUCUUUCUUGUAGUUGAUUUAGCGAAUUCUACUUAAUUAUUUUACAUCUUCAUGUCAUCAUGUUUUUUAGAACUUUUAUUAUAAGUGGUAUUAGAAAAUUAUCCUUCGAGGUUUCUUUUUCUUCCAAUUUGGAGCUAACAGUCUGAACUUUGACAAAGCCUUAGUAGUUUAUGAUGGCAACACAAUUUACUGCUAAACUUAUAUGUGGGGUUGAAUUGGAUCAAAGGAAUCAAUCGAAACAAGUCAAUUAAUUAUUCGUACUAUUUUCCUGUCCACGUGAUUACCGAAACUAACUACGAAAUUCAAGUGAAUUUGAGAUCGUUGUCAAAGAUGUUUGCGAAGGAAACUUAGAUCAGCAGCAGCUGGUUAUGAAAGCUGCAAUUUCUUAAUUCACCUUUUUAUAAUUUCGAAAUUGUAAAAGAUUGAAAAAUUAAAGUUAAGCUUGUAAAUUCACACUGAUACUGGAAGCAUGCCUGCGUAGUGCGUGAAGGCGAAAACUAAGAAGACCACUCAAUAGUUUGAUGCCACAUUUAGAUUCCGUUCGUUUGGUUUCAGAUCAUGAAAGGGAGUUGCAUAGUCUAGCUACAAGAACAACAUUAAUCGAGAGACUUCCAUAUGAGACGCAUAAAUUCCUGGUGCCCUUUGCACCCUAUCAGGUUACGAGUUACGACACCAGUAUUUCUCUCUUUUCCACCCCACCCUUUCCUCGAAGGCAAAUCAUCAUGUUUCCUGAUAGUGUUUUACAUGCUUGUUCAUAAAUAAUAAUGCGCAUGCAAACGAUAUUUUGAUUUGGAAGAAGUCAUCAUCAGAUCAUCUCUCUUCUCCCAUCAUUCUUACCCUCCUUUUUUUCUUCAUAAUCCGUGGGGCUUAGUCUUCGUACCACUGGCUGAAGGUACCGACAACCAAUACAACUAGGUUAUAGUCAACCGCAAAAAAUUCAGUCUUUUGAAUACAAACCUCAUUUUCUGGGGCUUAUGCCGAUCACAUGAGUAGGAUUUUCACUGCCUUGUUCAUCAUGUUCAUUACUACCUUAGUUGGGACCGUUCCCCAUAGAGAGGUGAUAUAUAUCAUGGUUUUUCUGGAUCAUCGUCAAGCCAUCAUGACUUGAAAUCUCUCCAAAACAUCUGCUCUAUAGACAGUUAGUCUUGGUGGAAAGCUGUUGGUUUCUUGCAUUAUGUGGAUUUAUAUGCUCCAAAUUUGUACAGGCGACAGCUGGUUGCUUAGCUUUAGUUGGGAUUUUCUGCUAGUAUUUUUCUUCAAAGUUGAUGGAAGUAAUUUAAGAGUUUAGCUGAAGUAGUAGUAUACUAUUUUAUAUAGAUGGCUCUUUCUCUGUGCUCUUCUUGUGUACAUUCAAGCCCUAUUGAAUAAAUAUUCGUUUUACCUAAAAAAAAAAAUAAUAAAGUAAGAAAUCUAGUGCUUCACAGCGGUCUUACAUUAUGCCUUGAUAUGUCAAUCAGUAAGAAGAUCUGCUAUUUUAGUGCUUAAUUACUUUCACCCUCGGCAGUUGAUAAAUAGGUAUGAAAGGAAAGAACAGGUAUCUAAGAUUUUCUUUAAUGAUUUUUAGUGGCAAUUGAUAGUGUGAGAAAACUCUGCAACAAUGGAAAUCAAACUAGGAAGUAAAGAAGCGCUACUCAAAAUUCUCAUAAAUAUUGACUCACAAGCUAAUAGCUCCACAGCAUUUGCAAAUAUUACCACAUUUCCCCUUCGUUUGCAUUCCUCAAGUGCCACUAGAUCCUGACUGACAUCUGUAUCCCGAACAGGAAAAAUGUCAUUACGUCAAAAAGUGCUAUUGAAGUUUACACAUCAAUUGGCAAUUCUAAGUGCUAUUAAAAGCCAAAAUUUCUUGUAGUCUUUAUCUCCAAUUUUUGCAAAUUAUAACCUUAAUUAAUUCAUACUUAUUUGGGAUGAGACAUUGACCUAAUGAUCAAGGUUGAGACCCCAACAUUAAAUCUCUUGAAAACUAAGCUUUACAAAAUGUGAGUUUACCCUAAUUAUAUGUUAGUUUACAUAUAAUCUGCCACAGCUCCCUUUUUCAGUUUUAACAUCCUUGAGCCGGUGGAAGCAGUCUAGACCCGCCUCUGCUAACUGCUGAAGUGCUCACUAGUACUAGACAAGCAUCUUCGCAGGUUCAUUCUUGUGGACUAUUACAAGUAUGUUAGUUUUCUAUGUAUCUGUGUGAGUACAGAUAAUACAACAUCAACAGCAUAUAACACCAUAGGCAGCUACGUUAUAUGCCAGGAGAUGGACCAACUCUAAAUUACGUCAUUUUUUCUUUCCCUUUUUCUCAACGAUGCAACAAUCUAUACUGCUCGUCUUAUGAGGGAGAGGGAGUUCAACUGGAGCUUGUCUGAAGGUUGUAUUGCGGAUGCUCUAUCAAAUUAAGGUAUAACGAGUAAAUUAUUGUAUCUAAAAUUGCAAAAUGGUAAUUCUCAGGAAGUAUUUGGUAAGACACACUGCCCUGUUUAAGUACCAAUUUUCUAAACAGAAUCAUCUAUAUAUGCAAUUAAUUGCAUAAUAACUCACUACAAAUAUACCUACAAAUAUAGCUACUAAAUAGACAAUAAAAUAGAUCACCAGAAUUUAACAAGAUUCGGCUAAUUUGCCUACAUUCUCGAAUACCAAUGACAACUUAAUAUUUCACUAGAAGAAAUAUUACAAAGAGAGAGAAGGAAACAAGUUAUAAUUCUCUUGCUUGGUAUAUUUUAUCCUAUCAAAGGAUUCUUCUAUUUAUAGUUCACAAAUGAGAAAAUUUCUAACAAAACUAACGCUAUGGGAUGUAGAGUUUGUGCACGAUUGUCAACAAUUGUAACUUUGUACAAUUGAUAAUUGUGGCUAUUGAGCCAAUAAAUCAACAAAUCUUCACCUUGGCGAAAUCUCUACAUCUUCAAUGCCUCACUCUUCUCCAAACAUUCGAUGGUGUAUUCAAAUGCGCUGUUAAGUGUCAAUCUUCAAGUUGUGCACAACAUUUAUUAAAUUCAAACAAUGUUGGAAUUUGAUAUUUGUUGUGCACAACUUGAAGAUUGGCACUUGACAACGCAUUUGAAAACACACCGAAUGUUGGGGGAAGAGUAAAGCAUUGAAGAUGUAUAGAUUUUGCCAAGGUGGAGAUUUGUUGACUUAUUAGCUCAAUAACCACAAUUGUCAAUUAUGUAACUCUACAAUUAUUGACAAUCGUGCAAAACUCUACAUCCCACAUCGUUAGUUUUGUUGGAAUUCUCUCAUUUGUAAACUAUAAAUAGAAGGAUCCUUUGAUAGAAUAAAAUAUACCUACAAAUAUAACUACUAAAUAGACAAUAAAAUAGAUCACCAAAAUUUAACGAAGUUCGGCUAAUUUGCUUACAUCCUCGGACACCACUGACAACUUAAUAUUUCACUAGAAGAAAUAUUACAAAGAGGAAGCUCUACCAAAUUAAGGAAUAAUGAGUAAAUUAUUGUACCUAAAAUUGCAAAAUGGUAAUUCCCAAGAAAUAUUUGGUGAGGCACACUGGCCUGCUUAAUUACCAAUUUUCUAGAUAGAAUCACCUAUAUAUACAGUUAAUUGCACAAUAACUCACUACAAAUAUACCUACAAAUAUAGCAACUAAAUAGAUAAUAAAAUAGAUUACCAGAAUUUAACGAGAUUCAGCUAAUUUGCAUACGUUCUCAAACAUCAUUGACAACUUAAUAUUUCACUAGAAGAAAUAUCAUAAAGAGAGAGACGGAAGCAAGUUAUAAUUCUCUUACUUGGUAUAUUUUAUCCCAUCAAAUGAUUCUUCUAUUUAUAAUUUACAAAUGAGAGAAUUUCUAACAAAACUAACGAUGUGGGAUGUAGAAUUUGUGCACAAUUAUCAACAAUUGUAACUUUGCACAAUUGACAAUUGACAAUUGUGGCUAUUGAGCCAAUAAGUCAACAGGUAGGAGGUGAAUCUCCGGACCAAAUAAGUGCGAUACCGCGCUCUCUAAAUUUCUUAAAAUAAAGGAAGCAUGGUGCUUCCUGUAAUGCACUAGGCAGGCGUCACUUAACUACGUUACUUAGCCUUGAGAUUUUAACACUUAAUAGUUAGUUUAUGUGAAUGGUUGCCGUCCUUGAACCCUUUCAGAUCAUGAGUCAAAAGACUUUUCUCUCUUUCUGUUUUGUUGUCAUUUUCCCCCCUUCUCCCUUGACAAGCUGAAAUUAUAAUGUUUCCUGAAAGCGCUACACACUUUUUUAUUUCAAAAGAUAUUCACAAAUUUAAUUUGAAUGAAGUCACCAUCAACUUUUUUCCCUCUUCAUCCCUUAUUGUAACUAUAAAUACAUGCACAACCUGUGAAGCUUCAUUCACACCACUAGUUACAGGGUACCAAACUAUCAACACAGGUUGCCUAUAAUCAGUGAUGGAGCCAGGGUUUUUUUGGAUGGGGGCAAAAUUUUUUCCUAAUAAAAUUAUCUUAAUAUAUUAUGUUCGAAAUAAUUUUCUUCUAUUUAAAUAUAUGACAUCUAAAAAUAUCAAAUAUUAAAUUUAAUUAUAAAGGUAUAUCUAUUCAUAAAUAUGCGGUACAGUCAUAAUAAAACUUAACAAAAAAGAUAAUCUUUGAUUAAAUAUCUUAUAACAUUACAAACCAUUUAAUUUAUACAUUAUGAGAAGAUGCUCUCCAAUAUAUCACCUAUGCAAAUUUCAACAUCUUUUCUUAUAAGUAAAUUGAGCUCUACGCUCUUUCACAGAGUUAAAUUCAUCUAUGAUUGAAUCACUGCUAAAUUUUCAGCAACUUUCUUUUAUAUAUAUACAGUUGGACAAUCAUUCAAGAAAUUAUCUUCCAUCUUGUUUUGGAGCUUUGUCUUGAUUAUUUUCAUAAUUGAAAAUGUUCACUCUGUAGUUGCAAUUGAUACAGAAAGAGUAAAAACAAAUCUGAUCAAUCUAUCAAUAAGAGGAUAUGUCACUGAUUUUUUGUCUUCACUAAGUCUUGACAUAACUCAUGAAUACCAGAUAAUUCUUGCAAGUCAGGAUAAUUUGAAAUGUUGAGUUCAAAAUAUUGAAAUUCUAUUAUGAGACCUACUAGUUCUUUCUCCAUAAAAUCAUUCGGAUAGAACUUCUCUGCAAGUUUACAAAUAUCAUCAAUCUUGAACAGCAUAAAUCCAUUUAUAGAAUCUAAAGCAGUGCUCAAAACAAGAAAUUCCACGGCAUGAUCAUUAAACCUGUUAUGUAACUCUUGCAAUUGAUAAUCAAUUGUUGCAAGAAAUAUAUCCACUCGAUAAUAAUGCUCCACACUAAUCUCAUCAUGAUGAUUUCGAGAUCUACCACGUCUUGCAAUAUAUUGAGCAUUCAUAUCCGGGAUAUCAAUUUAAUGUUGCUCACAAAAUAAUUUAAUUUUCACCAAAAAAUCAUCCCAUUUUGAAUCUCGAAAAUUCUUCAGUAGCUUUGUUGUGCUUGAGACAAGAUGCAUUGCAUUCAAAAUAUCUUGAGAUUUACGUUGCAAUGCUAUACAAAGAAGAUGAGUAAUUUUCAUAAUGUCUUUUUUAAAAUGCAAAGUGAAAACAAGCUCAAAGGAUAACAACUGAUUCAAAGCAAAAUUUGCAUCUCCACGUUAAGAGUAUGAACCUCCAUUUACUGCAAUGUUACUUAAAACCACACAAGUAGCAUUGAACAUUUUCAGUAAACUAGAAAUAGAAUUCAAAUGAGAAUCCCAACAAGUAUCUCCAACUCGUUUUAAAGUGGCAAUUUGAUUAAGCCCCUUUCCAGUUUCAAGUUCACCAUUAGCAAUCUUAGUAGCAAUUUCAAUUGCUUGAGCCUCCUUUAAUUCAUCAUUACAUUUGCUAGAUGUAAUAACAAUGUUGAUAAUAAAAACUAAAUUGGAGAAGAAUUGGUGAACAGAAGCUACUUCUCUAGAAGCUGCAACUAAAGCAAGUUGAAGUCUAUGGGCUAAACAAUGAAUGUAAUAGGCAUAUGGACAUUCAUGGCAAAUUAAAGCUUGCAAGCCAUUCCAUUCACCUCUCAUAUUACUAGCUCCAUCAUACCCUUGUCCACGAAUGUUAUGAAUGGCCAAAUUAUGUUGAGAGAGAGUAGAAAAAAUAGCUUCCUUCAAAGUUAAAGCCAUAGUAUCACGGACAUGAAUAACACCAAAAAACUGUUCGCGGAUGCAUCCUUCCUUAUCUACAUAUCUCAAAACAAGAGCCAUUUGCUCUCUUUAGGACUCAUCACGAACUUCAUCAACUAUAAUGCAAAAUUUUGAAUUUCCAAUUUCUUGGCAAAUUUUUUUUCUAACCUUAUUGAAAAAUAUAUAAAGAAUCUCCUUUUGAAUUUCAGAAGAUGUAUAGGAGGCAUUGGAUGGAGCAUUUUCUUGACCAACAUUUGCAACCUGUCCAUUAAUAGAGCAUAAUUAUAAUUUUAUAAAGAUAAUAACUAAAUGGAAGCAUAUUAUGAAUUAAAAAGAAUUCUUUUAAGCAUGGAUAUUAUAUAAAUUCAAGAAAGAAUGCAAAGCUGGAAGAAAAUCAUUCUUACCUUAUCAUUAUAAGAAGCCAACAACUUGAUAAGUUGAUGAAAGUUUCCACGAUUAAGAGAUUUUUCACUCUCAUCUCGUCCUCGAAAGGCACAACCUUGAAGUGCAAGCCAUUGCACUACAUCAAUUGAAACUUGAAGCCUUAAUCGAUUAAUCUCAACUUGCUCAAAACUUUGUUUCUCAAUGAAAGUUCCAAUGUGUUGAGAAGCAUACAUCAAAUCAUUGCAUGCAUUUACCGCAAUUCUGUGAAAUGAGUUAGGACUUUUCCCCACAUGUAGUAAGAAAGCACAAUUAUCUCCAUUAUUGACCUUCUUCCAAUUGUUAAAGCCACCAAGAACAAAUGCACUUAAUUCAACUCGUCAAUUUAAUUCACAUUUCAUAAGUUAUAUACAACUCUAGCAAAUUAUCAUAAUAAAUUAUAUAUAUGCAUUAUAUUAGUAUUUCUUUGAACCACAAAUAAAGUAUGGAAUCACAAUUUUAAAUGAUACACACUUAUUAAACAAUAAAAUACUUUAUACAUGUCAAAUUAUUUUUCUUGAGAAAAAUAUACUACAAAUGUAGUAUAAUAUCACAAUUUUGAUACUAGAAAUGUAUUUUACAAGAGCAUAAGAUAAUUGGAAAGAGGGAAAGGUUAAAUUUCAUAAUAAAUUAAUUAUAAAAAGGAAAAGGUUUGGUACAGGUACUAAAGAAUGGAGCCACUUCACUUCAAUUUAUUAGAUUCUACUUUCUAGCACCAAGUGACCAAGCCACGGAAGCCACCAAACGGUCCAAUUGUCCAAACCAAUCACCCGACACCUUUGAUGAAUCUUCUUUGAAUCUUUAUUGUAUUCUUUUCCAGUUCUCUUGUCUUCUUUGCUCUUUUCAUUUUACUUUUGUUGGCAACUACCAAGUACCACCGUGAAAGAAAGAAAGAAAUGAAAAGUGACCCACACUUUCCUUUUUGAUCCGCAGAACAGAGAAGUAGGCAAGUAGCUUACUUUGUAAGCUUUUCUUAGAAUAGUAAAGAUAAAAUAAUUUUUUAAAAUCCUUUAUCCAUUGGGCUAAGUGAUAUAUUUGUAUUUGGGCCAACAAAAUAAUUAUUUUUAUUUUAGCCCAUUAACAAUUAUGAAUUGGAUCUUUUUAGUCUAAUACAUCAUAUUGGAUCAAUUUACUAUGGAACAUCAAAUUAUAUGUUUAAUUUUUGAAAGCUAAAUAAUUAGUACAAUAAAAAAUAAAUAAAUAAAAAAAUUAAUUCAAAUAUGACUAAUUCAUAUAUAUAUAUAUAUAUCAACUUUCAUAAUAUAAACUAAAAUUAUAAAAAUUUAGGGGGGACCAAUUUUAUUUUACACACAUAUUUACAUAUUAUGAAUUAAAAUUUUUAAAACUUAGGCCCCCCUCUGCCCCCCUUGGCUCCAUUAUUGCCUAUAAUCAACUGAAAAAAAAGUCUGUCGAGGAUCAAUACUACCAUCAUCUUGCUGGCAGCGUCGUUGAAGUUGAUUUUAGUGGCCAUGUAAAAGUACUCGCUCAACUACAAAGGUAUUAUUGGGCUUGAAGUGAACUGUCUAUGGCGAUCAAAGUUUUCCUUUGCUUUUACACAUAUCACAUUUGUACCCAUGGAGCCUUUGUUUACCACAACCAACUAUAGAAGUGCACGAGCUAACGAGUCCAUUGUUCUUGCUAACACCUUGAGAAAGAUCAAUCCCAGUGGAGUGGAAUCGUAUUUAUUUUUCUGAUUACCAGUAUUGCAUAUCGCGGGGUUGAACAAGUUUAGGAAGGUGCCAUUCUUUCAACCAUCUUUCAUCCACAACACAUUUUUAAAGCCAAAAUCUUAAUUGAACUUACACCGCUCCAAAUCAUGCAAGAGAGAACUUGUUCAUUUUUUUUUCUUCAAUCUCUCUGUGUUUUUUUUUUUUUGGGAACUUAUGUAGUUCAUUGACUUGUGCACUCCAUAAAUCAUGUGACUUGUCAAAAAGGGUUAGGUGCUAAAGAGUUUGAAUUGUUAACUCACAAUUUUGCCUACAAAUAAUCAGGUCAUCCAAUGACAAAUGGACCAGUUUUUUUCUUGUUAUAAUUAAGAAUUUUAAAGCAAAGGAAGCUGGCGUCCUCUCAAGGUCAAGCAUAGCACAAGCACACUUAUAUAGCAAUUAAUUCUUAUACAUCUUCACGGACUUCACUCUCAAGAGAAAGAGAGGACAUGAAUAUUUGUCAAUUAUCUCAACAUGAUAUACUUCAUUGUAAAUAGUUUGUCCAUUUCUCAUACAUGCUAGUUGUGUAACUUAUUUAUUUUUUUAAUUAAGCAUCAAUAAUUUACACCUACUUCUACUCUUACAUUAUGAGAAAGGGAACAAAUCUGAUUGAAUCAUUAGAAAGUAAAAAUUGGAAGGGAACUAAACUACCUUUGAAUAGAGCUGCUAAAUGGAACGAGCAGCUCGGAAGUUCAAUUGAGUUCAACUCGGUAAGGCUCGAUAAUUGUGAUAAACGAGUCGAGUUCAAGUUUGAAAUAUGCUCGUUUAAUUAACGAGUUUCAUUUGUUAUCCGAGUAAUUCUAUUGGACUUGAUAAAGAAGGGCAUGUAUGUCAUUUCACAAUUCAAAAGAAUAAAAAUUAAAAAUUAUAGAUUUUUAUUGUGGUUAAACUCAUGCAAGUUCGAUUCAUUUGUGAUAAACCAGUUGAACUCAAACUCGAGUUAUACGUCUCAUUUGACAAUCUGACUUCAAACACAUUUUAAAACUUGUCGGCCUAGUCGAGCGAGCUUGAGUCGGCCUCGAGUUUAGCUGGCAAUCAAAUUCUAGGCUUGAUUGACAGCACUACCUUUGAACGAGACAAGUACCCUUCGGCGCGGUUGAAUUUGGAGAAGUCACGUAUGCCAAAUUAUGUGCUCGGCCCAUACUGAUAGGAAGCAAAUUAAUACAGAAAUGAGAAGGCAUCAUGUUGAGUUGAGUCCUGGUGGAUCCGGGAUAUAGAAUCGGAGCAGCAGUGCUAGCGGGAAAUUAUAUACAAAUCAAAUCACAUUUCAGAUUUUCUCUUUUCUUCAGUUGCUCGUUCUGAGAUAGAAUUCAAUUGUCUCUCCCUCCCAAGAAAGAAAAAGAAAGGAAAAAAAAAAAGAGAGAAGUAAAGAGAGAAUGGCGGUGGCGACUAAGGUAGCAAUCGAAGAUGUAGUGAAGCAAGUGGUAAAUGAAGACGAUGACGAACGAGAUACUUGCCACAUCGUUAUGCAGAGAUACUUCCUCCAAGAAUGGAAGAUCGUUAAGUCCCUUCUCGACGACAUCGUUGCUGCCGGACGCGUCUCCGACUUCUCCUCUGUUCGCAAGAUCGAUCCAUUGUAAAUGCUCAAUGCUCAAUGCUCACCUUCACCUCACACUCAUCCACACACUUGAUUCAUAUUAUUAGAAUCGAAUUAGAUUUUUUUUUGGAUGGAAUCAGCUGAAGUAUUCAAAGACAAUCUGAUAUAGGAAAUGGAUGUAAGAAAGUUUUUUUUUUCUUUUUUGGGUCUCGCAAUUUUUGGGAUAAUAACUUGGGGCAAUAAAGUGGGAAUCUUUCGUUGAGAUUCUCUAAUGGAAUGAUUGUCAUUGUACAAAGAUUAUUACUUGGGCAAAAUUUGUAAGUUUCGAAAAUGUAGAUUAAUACUUAUCGACUAGCUCCUGCUAUCCUAGUUGGAUAGAUGGUCAAGUGCUGCUUUCUAAUUGAUAACGGGUGAUUAACUAGUAUACAUAAUUACUUAUGCACGUCUAUCCUUCUUACAGCUUGUUUUUGGAGGAGAUUGUCAUUUGCGAUUACAGCUAAUUUCUGUUUCAGCUGAAUAAUUGUAUUGCUGCGUUCUUUGCUGCAAGUAGCCAACUUUCAGAAGCACCCAGAGCUGCUUCUGGAAACAGCCUUAGUUUUUUUGAACAUUUAAAGGAAAAAUGUGGUUUCAUUUUGUUUUCCGCAGAUUUUCUGUAAACUUCUUAGUCUAUUAACCAAUGGACAGGAUGUCUUCACAUAUUGUACCAUAGUUAUGAUUAUAAGUAAAGUGCUUUUUACAAGAUUACAUGAACUUGUUUGGGAGAAGGGGUAAUAUUCAAUGUGAAGAUUCUUAAGAUGGUUAGGAUAAGGCGGUGAAGAGGAUGUUCUAGGACUAUCUGAAUAAAUGUGUUAGAAUUUCAGUUUCUCAAAAAUUUGUUACUAUAUGCUUCAUAUGUUUUGUACACAUAAGGAGAAGCUUCUAGUAUGGAGUUUGUCGAUUGAAUUAUAGGAACUGUGGUGGACAAUCAGUGAUAAACUCUGUCAGAAAAUUUACUCAUCUAUUGGCUACUCCAGUUUGCGGGAAAAUCAGUACUCUGUCAUCUUAUGUCUAUUUAAAUUUUUUUGAAGCUCUUGUAGUGCAUGGGUGUAGCUAUUCCUUGACAUUCUAGAAUGUGCGCUUUUGCAGCUGGACAAGUAUCAGGAACAAAGUCAACUGGUAGAGCCUUAUCUGGAGCACAUUGUUCCUCCAUAAUGUUUAUUAUUCGCUCUCAAACCGCUGAACUAGGGGUGGCAUCAGAGGGAAUUCUUGAUGUGAUCAAACCUUUAUCCAUCAUAAUUUAUUCGUCGUAACAGUCUGUGGUUAUAAGGCUGUCAUCAAGUUCUUCCCACACCAGGUUUCUGAUUUAGAACUUGCAGUCAGUCUCUUGGAGAAAUGUCACAACACUGAUUCUGGAACAUCACUGAGGGAAGAAAGUACAGGAGAGAUGGAGGCAAAAUGCGUGAUUCUACUCUGGCUUUCAAUUCUUGUGCUGAUUCCUUUCGAUUUAUCAUCUGUUGAUACUAGUAUGGUCGAUGGUAAUAAUGUUGACAGAGGAGAGCUGCCUCCCCUUGUACAAAGGAUUAUAGGGUUUGCAAAAGAUUAUUUGUCAAGUUCAGGUCCAAUGCGUACAAUCGCUGGAUUAUUGCUCUCAAGGCUUUUGACUCGCCCUGAUAUGUCAAAGGCUUUUUCCAGGUCUCUUUCUUAUUUAUAGUAUCUCCACCCACUUGUGUCUUAAUUAAAUGAAAUGGUUUAGGCUGCUUAUUAGAUCAAGUGAUUACCAUUGCAGAGCUCUUGAUUUAUGCUCUCUUGAACUCUGUAAACAAAAGGAUUAUAGAACUUGGAUGAAUUUUUUUUUUUAAUAUUUAUCAGGUUAAAGGCAUUUAGUAUCUGGGAUUAAGAAACCUGCACAAAUGGCAAACACUCUUAAAGAUGUUAUACUGGUUGAUAGUGGACUGGCAAAGGCUAUAGUUAACCUUUUAUCCCCUUUUUUGACUUAAAGGUUUAUUGAACACUAAAAUAGAUCUAAUUAUUUAAUCUUCUAGACUAAACGAGGACAGUAAAUGAUUAUAGUGAGGUUUACCAGUUUAUCUGUUUAAUUUGGUGUUUUGAAGAGAUUUGUUUCAUCUUAGAUUCAAUCAACUUUCUACAACUUUGUUGCUUUUCUUAGUUAUUUAUUUUUUCAAAUUAAUUAAGUUGGUAUUCUUUCUUUGUUUCUUUUCUUUUCUGUUUUUAUUUUUUAUUUAUGUAUUUAUUUAUUUGUUUGCAGCUUUACUAAUUGGACCCAUGAAGUUCUAUCUUCUCAGACAAACGAUGUUACUGAUCAUUUCCGAUUAUUAGGUGCAGGAGAAGCUUUGGCUGCCAUUUUUAAGGUCUACUUUUGGUUCUCUUUGUCACUAUUCUGCAAAUAAAUGAUUUCUGGUUUAAAUUGGGAAUAAAAAAGGAUGUUUUUAAAAGUGUAACUGAUGUUAGCUUUUGGCAUUGAUGUUUCAUAUGUAUAUAAUUUCCAUUUGAUUUUGUUUAUGUCAGCUAGAUGUAUUAAUGCUAUUUGGUUUUGGAUUUAUCUUACAUCAAAUCCUUGGUUGUGGUACAUGUCCUUUUUUCCCUUUUUUUUUGGGGAGGUGGGGGGUGUUGGCAAGAAGGGGUUGGAGAGGCUAAAUUUUAGCUUGUCAUUGGCUCCUUUCAACUUAGUAUCUGCAUCUAAGAUGUUGUCCAUUUUUUGGCUAAAAGUCACCUUUGUGUUGCCCCUUUACAUGGCAUGCAUGUUUCAAGGCCUCAUUCAAUCUUCUUAUUACCAAAGCAAGGUACUAAAAAAUUGGACUUAACUUCACUAACAAGUAGAAAGUGAAUCAAUGCAUAACUGGGGAAAACACCUGAAGAACUAAAUUAUUUGUUUUCACUAAUACAUCUAUCUCAACAGGAACUUGGAUGUUAAUUUUCCAUAGUAUCCUUGUUUGUUAAUAACUGUUUGUAUUUUUGAGUCUUGGGAGUCCUAUUUUCAGAACUUUUUUGAAUAUGCAGACUGGCAGCCCUAAACUGCUACUUGAAGUGGUUCCAACUGUUUGGAGUGACACAUCAGCUUUGAUGAAGUCGAACACUGCAGUUCGUAGUCCUUUACUUCGCAAAUUCUUAGUGAAGCUAUCUCAGCGGAUUGCACUUGCUUGCCUGCCUAACCGUCCACCAUCAUGGCACUAUGUGGUUAGAUAUGCUUCAUUAGUUUUAAAAUCAAUCUAUUUACAUCUUACAGUUUCUUCCUUUGAUUGUCUUUGAGUUUAUGGUGUCACCUCCAACUUUUCUUUCCAUAUAUUCCAUUCUCGAUGUCCAGAAUUGUUUUCAAACAAUCUAUGAAACCUAUUCUCAUCGCUUUCUUGAAUUGCCUCCCAUCCUUUGUUAGUAAAAGAUGAAAUACUUCAAAUAAAUGUAUCCCAUAUUAAGAUUGCUAUGUGGUAAGGGAUCAGAAUGCCUGAUAAUGUGUUGAACUAUUCAGGGGUGGCUUCUUGCACAAGUCAUUGAUGUGACAAGGCAUUCUGCUUCUGUUUUUUGUCAUUGACUACUUCAUCAUUCUUCCAAAAAUGACAUCUAUGGUGGAAUCUUAGAGGCUUUAAUGGUUUUGGGAGCUUUAGAUCUUUUGUCUUGGUUUUUUUUUGGUUCUCUAUUUAUGCUAGUAUUCUGCUCUCUCUGUUGAAAACAAGCUAUUAUUUUUAAAAAAAUUCUAAAGUUUCUGUGUACAAGAAUCAUGUUUUAACUAAGACAUGUUUUGUGUGUAGGGUAGAACUAGCACUCUUGAAGAGCAUAUCCCUUCAGGUGUCCCCAAAAGUGAUCAAGGCAAUGAUUCUUCAAAGAUUUUUUCUAACUCUUGCGACCAAGAUGAAUGCUGCCCUCAAGAGGAAGAUAUGGAUGUUCCAGAAAUAGUGGAAGAGAUUAUUGAACUACUGCUUUCAGGACUGAGAGACACGGUAUGUUUGCAGGGUGAGAUUCUACCAUAAUCUAACAAUUCUUUAAGAGCUGUCUCCAGCAGUUUGUUUGAUGAUGACCUAUAAUUCAGGCAGCGGCUGAGACUGCUGCACUGAGGCAGCUGUUUUCUGCCUUCUCACUCAUUUCCUGAGAAGCUGUAAACACCAUUUAAGUAUUUUCCAAUCAUGAGGUCCUUUUGCUGCCACCCAAGUGCUGGCAAUUUGAAGGGCUUGCAACUCCUGUUUAUAUCCUAUAUUCUCUUUGCUUGUAAUGUUCCUUGCAAAGAUUGUUGUAACAUGCAUUUGAAACUGAAGUUUGUGUCAAAAGUUUAUUAUGCUUGACCCCUUACGCUAAAGUAGCUGUUCUUUUUCCAUAGUGAACAGUAGAUGACUUGAGCUGAGUUUUCAGACUCCCUAUGUAGCUUAUGUACCAGCAUUGAAUGAUGUAUUUCAAACAGACAGUCAUGAAUGACAACCUAUUGGGUUUUUGAGUGGUUGAUAUGUGCUAAUUGUUUUAGUGGCUGGGAUUCUGUAAUUGGAUGUAUGACCAAGCUUCUUUCACACUUAGUAUUUUCUCACCAUGUACACGUGGUUGUGGUAAAAACUAGAAUAAGCAGAGUGGAUUCAUGGUUGACAGUAAAAGUAGAAACACCGAGUGAAGGUUGUCUGGCCUGCUAGAUAGAUUCCUGGUAUUUCUCUCAUACUUGUGACAAUUGCGAGCUUGUUUAGAUUUGAUAUGGUAAGUCAGCAAAUGUUGUUUUCUGCUACAAAUUAGGGCAUUUGCAAGGUUUGAUGGCAGCUUCUAGAAUCAAAGGUUCACUUCUUUCAAUGCAUUGUGUCGUAUCUUGAAAGCAUGCUUAACAAUUGUGACUGCUGAGUAAUAAGCAUCUAAAUGAAUUUUGAGAUAAAUUGUUGGGAAAUUUCCAAAGAAUCAAGUUCUUGAUGAAUAAUGUUUUCAUAUGAAGGCCCCAAAAAAAAGUAUUGUAUAUGAAGUCUUAUGAGUUAAUGUAUCCAUUGAAAUGCUCCUUAAAUUUGUUAUCUGUUACAAGUCAUAGAAAUUGGAUGCAUUCUCUUGCUUCAAAAUUUUGCUGUGUUUUGUUUAUCAAUUUUCCUUUAGUAGAUUGCACAAAGCAUUUCAAGAUGUUGACAAACAGGUAACAUUUAUGGAUAAAGUAAGCCUUGUGAUUUCUGUUUUCAAUGAUGAUGUGAAUGAGUAAAUCUCCAAACCAUAUUACCAGCCAAAAGUGCCAGCUAUUAGCAUGUUGGAAACUCAUAGUUACUAAGGACAACAACAUUGGUUUUGCAUGAGAGUUAUAGCUUGACCAGUUUCAUGCGUUUGCCUUGUUAGUUGGCCUAGAUGGUCAAACCAAGAGCUGGUUAUUCAGCAUCCUGCAAAAGGAGUUGUAAACUUCCUUUCCCUUCAGGUCUACGGGGCCAAUAGUGGGACUGGUUGCCUGCCCACAAACUGAGAAGGUUAAGUGCUGAAUAAAUUCCUAGGUGCAAAUGUUAGGAACUUAAUUUGCACCUGAUGGUUAAAUCGAUAACAUGUAUAAAUAGGUAUACAACAUUUUAUUAUAAUGUGUUAAUAGGAUUACUUUUUUCUAGUCUAUUACAAGCGAACCUGAUAAAAGGAUUUCACUGGUGGUUGCAUGGUAAUUAUCCCGGCUUGCGUGUGUAAAGAAAUUUUUCCCUAAUGAUGUGUUUGAGAUUUAUUUAAUGCUUUUAUGAAUACUAAGGAGCAACAACAUAAAUGGUAUGCAUUUGUGGGCUAAGGCUGUCAGGUUACUUAUUACUUUGGUAUAGUUACUUAUUACUUUGGUAUAAAGGUUUUACACCUUUUACUUUAUCCUUUGAUAUUCAUGGCUUAGAGCUUCAUGAUAUUCUUGACUAUUGCCUUUGAGAAAUAAGCCAUUUUAUACUCUGUAACAGGGUAUAUUUUUUUAAUCUCUUGGCUUCUCAUGUACACAAGCCUUAAGUUUGUGCUCCUUUAUUCAAUUUAUUAGUGCUUUUAUGUGGUUAAGUUUUCUGCAUUUUAAACAUUCACAUUAUUUACAUACAGAAAUUACUUAUCCUUAGUUUCUUCCAAUGUUUGUGUAAGUCAGCUCUCAUCAAGUGACAGUUUUGACAUUGGUGACUUUUUAUGAUUUUUAUGAUGUAGGAUACUGUUGUGCGCUGGUCUGCUGCGAAAGGUAUUGGUCGCAUUACUUCACACUUAACUUGCACACUUGCAGAUGAAGUCCUUGCAUCUAUACUGGAGCUAUUUUCACCUGGCGAGGUAAGCUGAUGCAGUGUUAUUUAGUCUGUUCAUCUACAAUUUAAUAAGUAGGAGCAGUUUUUCAAAUAUAUUUUGACAAUACUAAAGUGAAAUUGUAAUGUAAAUAUAAAUUAAAGGAAAAUAUAGAUAUGUUAACUAAAAGUUUGACUUCAUUAAGGCUUUGUUUGGAUGGAAAGUGUAUCCCUAGGUUAUUUGAAGUGAAGCAAAUAGUUUGCUUUACUUUCGGUGCUUGUGUAACAAAUUGUUGGGCAUUCUCAUGGUAAAGAGUAUGAUCCUUGAUGGCUUUCUAUAAAAUCUUGAAAUUCUGAAAGACACAAUGUAUAGCAAUUUUCUUUUUCUUUAGGAAAUUAACCAUUCACUUUCAUGGAAACCCUGGAUGCUUGCUGGGAAAUUUAGCAAACUUUGCCAUUCUUUCCUUUUCCUUUCCCAGAUUAUUUGUUUAAGAAUACCUGUGGAUAACAAUUAUUAAGUUUGUGCUUGAGUGCUUACCUCCUGGUAAUGUAUGAAUCUAAGCAAACUUUGCUUCAGUUAAUCUCUUACUUUUAUAUGUUAUACUGUGUCCUCAUUUGGUAGGGCGAUGGUUCCUGGCACGGUGGUUGCUUGGCCAUGGCUGAAUUGGCACGAAGAGGAUUACUUUUGCCAUCAAUUUUUGUAAAGUUGUGCCAGUUGUUGUGAAGGUUUGCAGCUUCUGUCAUCUCAUAUUUUUCUCUUAUUGCUUUUUAUCAAGAUCGUGAAGUUGUUUUUUUGCAUUUAACUUAUAAUAUUGUCCAUUGUAACUAUUGUCCCUAUUUGUAGUCCAUUGCUGUUAAAGGGGGAUAAAGAACUACUCUCUCUGUCCCACUUUGAUAGUAAGCUAGAUUUAUUCUUCCAAAAAAGUUAACUUUUCUUAAACUAUGUGAAAAAAAAAACCAAACCUAUCAAAGUGGGAUGGAAGGAGUAUAUUGAAAAUGCCUUAUUCGUCUAAGGAGGAAAAAAUGAAGCUGUUUGUGCUUCAUUAAAUUUGCAAGGAGGAAAUAAACAGCUCAGUUAUAUUUGUGGUUAUGUUAUAUUAUUUUUUUAAAAAACCCAAUAUUGCUAAGUGUUAUCCCUUCUUCUGCCCCAUGUAGAUAGCUAAGUGUUUAUCAGCUGGAAGCUGUAUGAGCAUUGUCGUCCAUGUCAGGUUAUGUGAGAAUAUUGCUUAGCGUUUGUUGUUUUGGGGGGGGGGGAGGGUGUGUGGGGGUGUUGGGGCCUGGCUUUACGGAGGGAGGGUGGAAUGUGGUUGCCAAUUUAGUAUAUAUGGCCCUGCAUCUGAAGUUCUUGGCGCCCUUCAGGAGGCUACUUUUGUGCAUUUUUAUGCAAUCUGUAUAUUUUAAGCCUUUAAGGUGUAGAAUGAUGAGAAACAAAAAAAAUUCGUGAAGUAGUCAUUGGAAAAUUAGUGACUACACCUGAAAACAAAUGAAAAUAGAGCCUGAAAGAAUUCUCAUUGCAAAGAAUUUUGAAUCUUUUUAAAUUGGAUUAAUUGUGUUUAUUUGUUUGGAAGUUUGGAAAUUGAGCAUGAAGAACAAACUGUAAGUGUGUGUGCUUGUGUGUGUGUGUGAGAGAGAGAGAGAGAGAGAGAGGGAGGGAGGGAGGGGGAGAGAGCGAGAGAGAGAGAGAGAGAGAGGAGAGAGAGAGUCAAGGAAAAAGAGAAAUGGAAAUAGGCCAGCAGAAGGUGCUGAGAGCAAUUCUUUUGGGGUUUUGGAAGUGUGUGGGCAGGGUUUGGGGGAUUGGAACAGAGGAAGAAAGAUAUUUUGUUUGAUUAUUAGAUUUACAGAGGUUGUCAUCUUUGCUGACAAAUUUUCAUGCUGUCAAAGUGAACCGUGUAACCUAUUUGUUGGUGAGAUUUUAUGUCAAUCUGAUACAUUCUAUGCUAUUAUAGACAGUUCGACCCUUUUGAUUUUAAGUCAACAAUCAGACACUUAGUAGUCCAAAAUGAUUAUUUUGAAGAAGCAUAUGCCUGAAAUUUACCCUCUGCUCAAUGCGCUUCAGUAUGACAUGUUUUCUACGGCGUUAAUUAUUCUUAAUGAUUUGACCUCAGAGUUUAUUUUACUUGAAUUUUUCUUCUUCUAAUUCAUGCUUUGACACUUUAAUCUUGCUACGCUCAAUUCAGACCAUACUCACUGAAUUAUUGUUUUGGAAGAAUUCUACUUUAGUGCAACCUUUACACCAUUUACAAGAUCUUAUUGGGGGCUUGUGAAACCAUCAUGUGCUAUGUUCCUACUAUUCCUGUCCCUGGUCUCUUGUUUUUCCUUUUUGUCUAAAGUGUAUGACUUUCCCCAGGAGCUUGGAGUGGUUGUGCUAUAUUACUUGAUUAAUGUCAUUGAUAAAAAUACUGUGUAACAGGCAUUACAUUACGACAUUCGAAGAGGUCCACACAGUGUUGGAUCCCAUGUACGUGAUGCUGCUGCAUAUGUUUGUUGGGCAUUUGGCCGCUCAUAUUAUCACACAGAUAUGAGAAGUGUACUUGAACAGCUGGCUUCCCACCUCUUAACCAUAGCUUGCUAUGACCGUGAGGUGCUCAAAUCAUGAUACUGUUUUCUGCUUUUCUACUGUAUUUAUGUUUGUCCUAAAAAGAUACUUAUUCAUUUACUAAAGAUGGUAAAAUUAUGAUUCUAUUAAAAGGUUAACUGCAGAAGAGCAGCAGCAGCUGCUUUUCAGGAGAAUGUAGGGAGACAAGGGAAUUUUCCCCAUGGCAUUGAUAUUGUGAAUACAGCUGAUUACUUUGCACUCUCUUCAAGGGUAAACUCCUAUCUCCAUGUUGCUGUCUGCAUUGCUGAGUACGAUGACUAUCUUCACCCUUUUGUGGAUGAAUUGCGGCAUAGCAAGAUCUGUCAUUGGGUAUGCUAUAUCUUUCUCCAUAUCAAAAGUUGGUCUUCAACUAUCAUUUGCCCUAUUUCUUUAUUCUAAAAGUUAAAUCAAGAAAGUUCUUAUCUGUAGGCCUCUUGUAUGUUUUUAUUAGAUUCCAAGCUUUAAAAGAUUAGGACAAAUAUAGUAACUUAUUUUGAUCAGAGCUAUAUAAUCAACAACCUAGAAAAUUUUCUUCAGAUCUUCUCCUAAUGUUUCCUUGUGCUGCUGAGUUCAUCACAAUUUUGUAAAAUCAGUCAAAAAUCUCAUCCUGAUCGCAAUAUAUUUUUAUUGGAUAGGCCUUUGGAUAGAGUUCAAUCUAGGCAUUUAAAGCAAAUCCUUAUUGUAGGGAGUGGGCCAAAUGCCUUCCAAAUGAACAGUUUAAUAUCAUUUUUUAUUUCCCAAAUUAGUCUUGCAUUGAAAACUAGAGUACAUGUUCAGUGUUAGUUGCCUUGUUUUUUCACUAACUAACUGACAUUCCAGUCUCCUCCAUUUGAGCACACUCAUUGGUUUUGCCUCGAUCACUAGUGCUAAGUUUCUUAUUUUUAAGUAUUUCAUCUUCUUUGACUCCAUUUUGUUCUCCUGAGUACAUUGACCAAAAUGAAAAUUAGGCAAAGUGGAAAGGAGAAGCCUUAGUCCUACAACAGUGUCUUAUUCUACUUGUCUAAGUGGGACAAGAUAGGGAUUUUGCAGAUUUCCUGUAAUUUCCUGAUAGUGCUAUUGUCCAUAUCGAAAAUUACUGACAACUAAGUUGUCUGUUUAUUUUUUUGUGAACUUGAAUCUUGUUUGAAGAACUUAAUAGCUGUUUUGUGCCUCAUAUUGUUGCUUGGCUGGAUAUUCCAUAGAAGCUCAAUUUAUCAUUGCUAUAUACAGGACAAAGGUUUGAGAGAGCUUGCAACAAAUGCUCUUUCUGCCCUUGUAAGAUACAAGCCUGAUUAUUUUGCGGGUGUCAUUCUUGAGAAAUUAAUUCCUUGCACCCUGUCAUCUGAUUUAUGCAUGCGGCAUGGUGCAACUUUAGCAGUUGGAGAAGUUAUUUUGGCUUUACACAAGUGUGGCUAUCUUCUUUCAACAGGUUGGUUCUCAUCUGCUGAUUUGAACCUCACUUUGUCUAAUUGGUUCUUUGCUUUGUCUAAUCGGUUCUUAUCAAGUGUUACUUCAUAGUUUUCUUAAUGCAGUUUUCUUUAAAUUUUUGACUUGCCUUCAAGUACUUUUGGUGCUGGUGUUGGUUUCUUUAACAAUUUACUUCAAUGCCCAUAUCUAGUUAAAGUUAUGAAGAAAAAUUUGUUCAAAGAGUUGAUUUGUCUCAAUAAAUAUGUGUAUCAAUACUGAGAAGUUAGUGGCUGAUCAGCGAUGAACGGUUUAUUGUCAUUUCUCCUUUUAGACUUUGAUUCGACAGACUAAUAAAUAGCCAAACUCAACUGAUACUUGUCUCAUUUGUACUCAAAAGUUGAGAAGCAGUCAACCUGAGCUUGUUUAUCCCUUGUUUAACAAUGCAUCAGGGGUUAUGUUAAUUAAGAAUUAGUAGGAGAUAUGGACGUUCCAUGGCUAUCUGGGGAUUUGUCACACUAUCUUUAUAAGUGAUACCAUCAUUUACAUUGCUUAAAUGAAUGCAUGAGAACUUCAGAUCUGUUAGUUCAUAGGUGAAUUAGUUGGUUUUUUACCUUAGAUGAUGGGAUAAAUUUCUCCUAAAUCUUUUUAAUUACGUAGAGCUUGUAGUUUGUCUUUAGUGUGUUUGUGCUCACAAUGUUAUACCAUAAAAUUGCUGACCCUGCUUCAUUAAUAUGAUGCAGAUAAGCAAAAGCAAAUUGCUGGUAUAGUUCCUGCAAUUGAGAAAGCGCGUCUUUAUCGUGGGAAAGGUGGAGAAAUAAUGCGCUCUGCUGUUUCACGCUUCAUUGAGUGCAUUUCCUUGGCUCAUAUACAGUUGACAGAGAAAAUAAAGCGAAGUUUUCUUGAUACUCUUAACGAGAAUCUGAGACAUCCUAAUUCUCAAAUACAGGUUUUGCAACUUGUGGAAGUAUUAUCAGUGGUUUUAUGAAAAGUUAAUUUCCUGUAUGAACUCUCUUCAUUGUGAUGUACAGCAUGCUGCUGUUGAAGCCCUGAAGCGCUUCGUCUGUGCUUACCUUGUUGGAUUGGGAAAUAAAAGCAUUUAUGACAUUUUGCCGAAAUACCUUGAACAAUUAAAUGAUGCUAAUGUGGCUGCAAGACGAGGAUCUGCACUUGCACUAGGUGUUUUGCCUUCAGACAUUCUUGCUAGUCAAUGGAAAGUUGUACUUUUGAAGCUCUGUAGCUGUUGCGAAAUUGAGGUAGAGAUUACUUAUGUUGCCUCAACUACAGAAAAUCUAUAGAAAGCCAUACCUGUGAUUGAACAAUUCUUGAUGUGCAGAAUAAUCCUGAAGAUCGGGACGCUGAGUCACGGGUGAAUGCUGUCAAAGCACUUGUCUCGGUUUGUGAAACUUUAACUCAGGAAAUUGAGCAUUCUAGUUUCUUCUCUAGUGAAGAUACUGUUUCUUUUCUUUUAUUUGUGAAAAAUGAAGUUAUGCAGAGUCUGUUUAAAGCUCUAGAUGAUUACUCUGUGGACAAUAGAGGUGAUGUAGGCUCUUGGGUUCGUGAGGCUGCCAUUUUUGGCAUUGAAAAGUGUACAUAUAUUCUAUGUCGUAGAAGUUCCUUGGUAUCUAUAAGUCAAUUACAAGAAAGUAAAUCCAUUCCAGAAUGGCAAAACGAAGAUAAUAUUCCAGAUGAUGAGGUCCAAUCAUAUUUUGAUGCAAGUCUUUCAACUACUUUGGUUGGUGGCCUUGUUAAGCAAGCGGUGGAGAAGAUGGAUAAGAUAAGGGAAUUAGCUGCUAAGGUUCUUCAAAGGAUUUUGUAUAGCAAUACGGUACCAGUUCCAUUUAUAGCUUGCCAAGAGAAAUUAAAAGAUAUAAUUCCUGAAAAAGCCGAUUCAGAAUGGGGGGUAAGUAAAGCAAGUUAUUUUAUAUGAAAAAUUCAACUUCAAUAUAUUUUGCCAAACAUGCCAUUUUAUUUUUAUUUGCAGGAACCAGCUUUCUUAUAUCCUCGGUUUAUUCAGUUACUUCAGCUCAGUUGUUACAGUAAAUAUGUGAUAUCAGGGUUGGUUAUUUCUAUUGGUGGACUGCAAGAUUCUUUGAGAAAGGUGUCACUGAGUGCUCUGUUGGAUUAUCUUCAAGGGAAAGAAGCAAAGGAUGGGGAGUUGAGUCUCGCCUCUGAUAUUCUUUGGGUUCUUCAGAAUUACAAAAGAUGCGACAGAGUCACAGUACCAACUUUAAAGGUACUUGGGGUUUAGGGUUCUCAAAAAAUGAUGGUUAUAUUUUGGUUUAUGUCAGUGUUGGAAUGGUCAAUUUACUUUCUGAAUUAUGUAAAAGCAUCUUCUAAUAUUUUGUGUACAAACAUGGCUCUCAAUACUUGAACAAGAAAAUAAACAUUCUCAGAUUAAAAAUAAAAUAGAUGCCUAAAAUAAUUCUCAGGUAGGAGUGCAAUGAAACAGAUGUGGACCUCUUAGUUGGAAGGCUGGUAUAUUUAGAAUCAUCUGCACUUCUAUUUUUUUUCUUCUUCAAGAAGUAAGAGUAAAUAAAGCUUUUUUAUGAUAGGCAUGCUUGUAUGGAGUCAAUAACUUUUGUAUGAUUCAAUUGUAACUGCUAUUGAACCAUGAAUUUAAUUUUAUGCUCAACAGAAGAACAUCAUUUGUUAAAGAAAGAAUACGAAUAAUUUAUUCUUUUAUUCAUUCUGGUGCUAGAAAACACUCAUCCUCAUGUUCUGUUGAUGUCCUGAGAAAAGUGGAGUUGUUUUCUUUUCUUUCUGCAGCUUAUGGUAAGAAUAUGGAAGUUUUUGUUACCGUUAUGUUUUAAAUUUUUAAAAAACUUGAAGAAAUUGAAGAAUGAGACAUUUUGUUUGUUAUACCUGGAUAUGAGGUAGUCUACCUUCAUUUCAUCAUCCUGUCCAUGGUGAGUGCUGGUUAUAAAUCAUGGAUGAGUGAUCCCUUUAGUAGGCUCAAUGCUACGCUGAUAAAUGUGUUGCUGUUUUAAUUGUUAUUUAAACGUGAUGCGUUUCGCACUGCAGGCAUUAAAGAGAGUAUUUAGCCCUUAUUCCCUAAGACCAGUUGACAUCUCAAUUAUAACAAAUUUUCAUUUCCUUUAGAAAAUUGCUUUUCUUAGCUCUAAAUCUGUAUUAACUCCAUUUUGUGUGUUUGAGUGGUCAAUCUGUUGCACUCAUGAUUCAUUUGGCUGUUUUCUUAUCUCAUAAUUUUUCAUUUUUCAUGUUUAUAAUUUUCCUUUUCAGACUAUUGAGAUUCUUUUCAGCAAAAAGGUGUUCUUAAACAUGGAGGUCAGUUGAUUCUCCAUAGUGAAAUGACAUAGCUUUCCGUACUUCAUUUGUAAAUAUACUUUAUUUCUCCCUUCUCCCUAAUAAAAUGGCUUUCUUCCUAAUAAUCUUUUAGGCAUAUACUCCAAUCUUUUGUGCUGGCAUUCUGGAUUCCAUCACAGUAGAGUUGAAAGGAUCUAAGGAUUUUUCGAAGUUAUACUCUGGGAUUGCAAUUCUUGGAUAUAUUGCUUCGCUUUCAGAUCUCAUUAAUAAGCGGGCCUUCACGCAUCUUCUGACUUUUCUCAGCCAUAGAUACCCCAAGGUAUACAGCACUAGAAGGUUCUUAAGAAAUGGUCUAUGAUGUAGAAUUCUCCUACUGUUUUUCCAGUGUUGAUGUGAUUUCUUCUGUGGCUGUUUAUUCAUGCACUGUGAUCACCUUGUGUGUGCAGAUUCGCAAGGCUACUGCAGAACAAGUGUAUCUUGUCCUCCUGCAAAAUGGGAGUUUGGUAGCAGACAUAAAUUUGGAGAAAGCACUUGAUAUUAUUCAGAAACCUGUUGGGAAGGUGACUUUGAUGAAGUAAAACGUAAAAAGUUAGAACUCUGUGAUAUGGCAGAUGUUGAAGCUGGUCAGCUUCCUAAAGCUACCAGUGAACAAAACAACACUGUACAGAGGCGUGAAACACUUGAUGAAAACGCGUCAUAUUCCUCAUUAGUUGAAUCAGUUGGGUUUUAGAUUAUUCAGUCAAAACCAUUUGAGGAAGGAGAAAGAUGGUAGGGGUGUUUAUUAUGUAAGAAAGAUGCUGCGAGGAAUUGAAAUCUAUUGCGUGUCUUUUCUUUUUCAGUAUGUGAGUGCUCAUCCGAUCAGCCACCUUUUAUUUCAAGAAUUCUUGCUAUUGCUAGGACUUUGCAUCAGUCUAAUUGCAGCUUGACCUGCAACUCUCUCAUCUUGGCAUAUUUAAUUUCCUCGUGUUCGAAAUGACUUUGGCUUGGGUGCCACUUUCUGAAAAUAGGCUUGAACGGGCUGUUAUUGAGGCUGUUGCCGCAGAUGGUGUGAGAGCUGUUAUUGAGGUAACAAAAGCUUUCAUGCUGGUGCGUUAGGUAAGAUUCUGAGACUGCAGUAGCGCGGAUGGCAAUUUGGCUGGCAGAGCCUUCUGUUGUGUCAGGUUUCGAAGGACAAGUUGAUGCUCUUAAUGUGAUCUAUAUACUUCAUCGGUCCUAUUGCUGAACAAAAUUAAGGGCUGUAUUGUAUGGCUAGAGGUUAGCAAAGUGUAAAUAAAAUAGAGAGGGAGAAGUUAAGUGCUGCAGACAGGAGUAAUGAGAGUGCAUUAUAACAACGUAAUUAUUGAAUCAGCAUCUUUGAGCUUUCUAAAUCACAUUAUAAAUCUACAUAGACUGUAUUAUUAGCACACAGUCAUUUAACUCCUAAGCAAACCAAUAUUAAAAGCGGACGCUAUAGCAGAUUCUUAAGAAAAAGAGAACUUAGAUCUUUGAGUGGCUUGUAGGUGCUUCUACAGCCAGACACAUUUCGAACUACAAACCUUCUUAUCAAAUUUUCAAUCCAAUAGAUUACAAAUGCAAGUCAAUUUGAUAAAGUAGUGUAAAAAAAUCCAGCAAAAAGGUAUGAUAUUCCCCCGAGAAUGCGAAGCGGGUACCACUGGCUUCUUGUCAAAGCUCUAAAGCACAAAAAUAGGUUGAGAUUGAUCUGGCUGGAUGAUAUCGGUUAUGAGUGUAUCCAGGGGAACACGUUGGGGGAUGUUGGCAAGCGUGCUGUGAGAACUUCAACCCCCGUCUCCGUCACCUGCAAAAUUGCACUUAAUUAUAUUGUGCAUCACUAGUUGAAAUUAUAUUAUCCCAAAAAAAAAAAAAAGGGUUAAUCAGAUGCACGACUUUUCGUUGCACUUGGCAUACAUCAGUUUCAAAGCAAAGAGACCAUGCUAGAAUGAUAAUCCUAGAAAACUAAAUUGUUCUGUUGCAGGGAUGUUAGUAAACACCACAAAUGCCUUGCAACUUUUGUAAACUUUGAAGACUUCUUAGGAGGUGAACCUUGGGUCUAGUCUAUUGCCACUAAAUUAACUUUAGCAGUGAUUCACAAAGGUGGCAAGGCACUUAAGGAAUACAGUCAAGGUGGAAAUGCAUACAUGCAUGAGAUAUUGUCCCUCUUGAAGGAGUCUAAAUUCUCAUGUGGUGUACGAACUCAUUGCAUCACUAAAAUGGACCAAUUUCAUCAGCUCCCAAGUAUAUGAAAGAAUAUCAAGGACCAGUAGCAAACAAAUCAGUAUUAAUGUGUUCAACACUAACAGAUCUCACCAAAAGAGUGUGUUCAAACUGAGCACUGCGUUUUCCAUCUGCAGUAACAGCUGUCCAUCCAUCAGGCCACAUCCGGUCACGCCAAACACCUGUCAGUGGGAAGUAGCUCAAUAUAUAACAUUGAGAAAACCUAAACCUAUACAUAUCGGUUGUGAUAUCCUGUGAAUGAAACUAGUACCUGCAUUGAUCAUUGGUUCUAUAGUAAAGGUCUGGCCAGCCUUCAUUAUACCAACUGCUUUAUUUCCUGCUCGGAGUUAAAGGGCAAAACCAGAGAAAUGGGAAUUCAACAGCAACGGCAAUCAAUCCUUUCUAUCUUCUAUAAUUUAUCUAUUUAGUACCAUUCAGAUUCACUGUACCCAAAGACAGAUUUCAUGGAGAAGCCAUAUUUCAAACCUAAAACUGGGAACCAGAAGGUUUCAAGCGAAAAAGAUUUCAUAAUGUCAAGCAGCUUUUCUCAAGGAUACUAGCAUAAUGCGGAAUAUUUGGUGCACAAUGGAAUAGCUCUCCAAUACCAUGACCACAAUAAGAUUUGACCUGUUUUACAAGCCAGAAACGCAAAAAAAUUUUAUAAAAAAUGAAAUUGAAGAAAUAUUUUAAAUUCUUUAAGCAAGACGUGGGGAACAAGGUACUAGCAGUUUACCACAGAGAAGCCUGACAUCAAAGCGUGUCGAUUGAUGACCUCUCCAACUUCACGAAAUCGUACCCCAGGCUUGACUAGAAGUAGCAAUACAAAGUAGUUUAAAAAAAAAAAUGAUACUCACUGAAUCUACAACUUAACUUCCCAAGAAAGUUGGAAUUUUGUAAGCGCAGCAUUCCAAAACUGAAAGUAAUAUCAGAACUUUGUGGACAGAUGCAAAUUGAAACAUGCAAAACCGGGAUGAAACAAAGCACAUGCAAUAUUACUUCUAAAUAAAUCACAACUUUGUAUCUCUCCUUUAAAGUAACAAUAUUUUUCCAGAUGGAAGAAUUUUUUUUGCAAAGAAAUGAGAUGCAUCAGAAAGGAAAGAGUACACGUCACAGAUAGAAGGAAAAGAGGGAAAGAAACUGCAUAAUAAGGCUACUAGAAAUGUCAAGUGAUGGUAAAGUUCAGCGCUGAUCUCUAAGAAACAGUUCUGGGGCUGUCAGGAGAUGGAAUACAACUUUGAUGUACAAAGAUCUCAAAGCAACACCCACCAAUAGAUAUUGCCUUCUCCAAACACUCGUAUGUACAUUGCACGAGCCGCUGAGAUGCUUCAUCAACGUUGCCCACAAAGAAUGUUUCAUUGAGAUCACCUGCAUACUCAGCAUAACAGACCAGUUAAUCUUGUAAGUUUAUAGUAAUCAGAUUAACACAACAAAAAAAUCAAUAGUACCAAGAGUUUACCAUGGACCCCUUUAUAGUACACAGUUACAUCUACAUUUACAAUGUCGCCAUCCUCUAAUUUCCUGAGAAGAUUAAGUAUAUAGCAUAAUGUAUAGAGGCUCAAUCCAACUUUCAGCGAGGCUUAGAUAUAAAAUAUAACAGAUUGUUACUAGAUCCUCCUUUCAGACUGUAUUACAUAAUAAAAAGCAACAUGAUCCCAAAUUAUAUAUAUAUAUAUAUAUAUAUAUAUAUAUAUAUAUAUAUAUAAGCAAGCAUGAAGCACCUCAUAAAAUGGAACAUAAACUAAAGAAAGUAAGACAAAAAUGCAGUGAUCAGCAGCAUUCUUUUACCUGCCUUCUGAUAUUGUGGAAUGAACAGAAAAAAGAAUUUCAUAUGAAAGACUAAUUGUGCAGAGAGAACAUAGUCAAACAAUUUUAAUCGAUAUGUUAAAUUCAGAAGUCAGAAGACAUGGUUAGGAUCAGCAAAAGGACAUCAAAAGAAUGUACGAUGUUUAACAGAAAAACAGAAGCGACUACCAUGAAUAUGCUUGGUUUCAAGCAGGAGGUACCUUGCAUCCGGAAUUCCAUGGCAGAUUACCUCAUUAACUGACCUGUGACCACAAGGCAGAAAAAUGUCGAAAAUGCAGGAUGAUAACAAGGAAACAUGAAUGUACCGUGCACAAUGUGGAAGUACCUACGUGCAGCAAGAUUUUGGGAAGAAAUGAUAGUUCAGAGGCGAUGGUAUCCACCUGCAGUGGAUAAAACUGAAAGUGUCAUGAAGGUCACGGAUAGUUGCCAUGUGCAAUAUCAUAUGAAAGAACCAAGAAUAAGAAACAUAAAAAUUGCUACAAGUCAAACAACAAGAUAGGACCACCUGUGCAAUAAUAAUUAUAGUACCUAACAAGAAAAGAGAAAAGAGAGGGAGUGGUAACAUCUAAGAAGGGGUAAGAAUUUCAAGAAAAUUUUACUAUCAUAAGAAGGAUCUCAGACUAUCUACAUCACUGAGAAAACUAAAAUGACUAAUCCUAAUGUACAAUUUUAGACUUGUUUGCCUAUCAUAUCAAUAGUUUAUCUAGAUAACCACCAAUCAAAAGAAACAGGUAAGUUUUCUAACAAGAUGUCUGCCUUGCUCAAAUGUGGUAGAAAUACAUGCCAGUGAUCUAAAUCCAAAAAUUGGCUUGAAGCUAACAAUGCAAAAAUGUCUUCCAAACUAAAACAAGGCAGAGAAACAAGUUGGAUUGUUCGCCAACACACAUCUGGAAAAAUAAGUAGCCCAGAUGACAAAUUUAGUGUACCGACAAAUUCAAGUUCUCAAUAUAAAAAUUCUUCUCAAAACACAAACAUGAGUGUACAAAGGCACAUGAGAGAGAAGGAAAAAGCAAUAAAUUUGAAUAGCAUCCUAAAGGAAAAACACCUGCAGAAACAGUAGCUUCAUGAACCACCGCAUCAAUUUCAUCAGUAGUUAUGCCAGGUCGAAUAACACGGGCAGCUGCAUCCAAAACUUCUCUUGCAAUCUGCGGGUCACAAACAAUACUCAUAACCAAUUCAAAAAACUUGUGUGUUCAACUAGCAUCUAUAGUAAGGUUAACGUCAAAUUUUAUCUUUGUCAUAAAAGACUGAAGUUCUUCCAAGGAUAAAUACAUAGAAAAUAAGAUAAGCAAAAUAUGAAAAUUGCAUGGAAGUCAAGAUGAAUCCCCCCCCUCCCAAAAAAAAAAAGUUUUUUCUCAGUCUCAAUCAAGUGUAAGAUAAUUUACUUUUCUUCAUCAGUUCCAGACUACCUUCUUCCUUGACCGAGAUAACAUAAAACAUCAUAUUCAUAUUUCUCUCUCUAACUUCAGAUAAUGUUUUCCAUGAUCAAUUCCUUGCUUUGUCCAUUUUUUGUUCUAAAGAGCCAUUGUGCCUCUUGCUUUUUAAAAAAAAAAAUUGAGGAAUGGGAUUUAAGAAGUGGAGAGGUGGAAGGGGGAUCAGAACCCAGGACUUCUAAGUCGUGAAGCCUCAACCUCAGCCACUAGACCAAGGCCUCUUUGGCUUACUGUGCCUCUUGCUUCUUAAUGCAGAUUAUUUAUAAACAGAGACAUAAAUUCUGCGGCAUGUACUUGGUUGAUGUGAUUCACAACUUAUAACAUAAAGAUUGAUAUCUCAAACCACCAAAUAGAACAAUGUACCAAGUUAAACAAAAAGACAAUUACUUACUCGACAAGUUUCUCGCAUUCUCUCAAUUUGGUCGGGAGUCUUGAUCUUCAAAUUACGUGUAUUUGCAAAACAUAAACAAAACUAAGUCACAACUCUCUCUUGUGCAGAAAUUUGAGACUAAAAUGUUUAGCUUCAAUCAGAGGAUACCUCAACAGUGUGCUGCAGGUCACUAUUUGGCUCAACCUUUGGGAUUCCCUGCCAUGUUAAACAUACGAAGUUAAGCAAACUCAAGAAUUAUAGCAUGAAGUUCCAAUGCAAAGUUAAAAUUACAGUCCACGAGCCUAACUGAAAUAAAGGAUUACAAUUUCCAUAUAACAACCAAGGAGAUAAAUUAGUAAUGAAACCAACUGAUCAUUAAAAUCACAUUCAUUCAAAUAAAAAAACUCUGCAGAAUUUCUGCUCUAUACUUCAAAACCUAUAAGACAAAAACAACAUUUGAAUGGGAAAGUGAAACACUCACAUCACUUGCCCAAUCAGGUUGUUCAACGUGAGCAGGAACUUCACGCUUUUUUGAUAUAGGAUACGGCCUUAGUGUCCUGAGCCAAAACAGAAGAGAUAAUUCAAAAGAACAUCCCCAAUAAAUCAAGGCAUUGGCCAUUUUGAGUCCCUAGUUAAUCCAUUGCUCUCAUUCUAACACUUUUUCUUUACAUGAAAGGAUUACAAUGUUCCUAAAUUUUUGGCGAACCUGAAUCUCAAGCAAAAAUUACAAUGACUUACGAGAGAAGUUGCUAUCACAACAUACUUAAUUGCACUUGCAUAAAACACGUAGAAAAGGAGAAAUUUUUCCUCCAAGAUCCCAACUCUUUAUUCAUUGGAAACAAUUUAUGGAACAUUAUCACUAGGAAAGGCAACUUCUUUAGCAAGAGGAUGAGAAGAAUUGGCCACACCAGGAGUCAAAAUUGAGUAAAAUACCCUGUCCAAUCAAAGUUUGGCAUUUUCAGUGUACGAGCCUGUCCUUUCUUCAAGCAAUAAAGCCAACUGCUUGCAGGAGAGGUAGCAUCUUGCUCAUUGCCAGGUGAAAGUUCCAAUAAUUUCGCUUUCAAGUGAAUUGAUUUAUGAGAACCCCAGGAUGCCUUGAAACAGUCCUGUGUGCUAGUAACAAAUGCAUCUCCGUCAAGGUAAAAUAUAAGCCAUGCCAAAAUAUUAAAUGUUUGAAUACAUUCAGGCAUACAUACAUGUUUCAGCGGCUCUUUUAUUGUCAAAUUUAUAAAACUAAAGAGUAGCUGUUUUCAGAAGUCUUCCUUCCAUUUUUUUUUGUUUCAGCUCUAUCUUUGCUAAUUGACUCUUUCAGGAAGUUAAAACCCAGAAGCAUGAAUAUACAAUUCACAGGUCAGAAUUACAAACCAGAAAGCAGCACCUUCACGGGAAGCUUCAGCUCUACACAUUUGGGGCACCUGCAAGGGAAAAUCCCACUGCUUAUUAUAUAUGAACCAGCAAGACAAUCAUCAAUUUAGUGUAAUAUACACAUGGCCCAUAUAAGAUUACUUCAGUAAGGAAAAAAGAAAACGCAUGAGUUUCUUCACCUUUUCACCAUUUUUAAACAAAAAUGCUUUUACAGCGAUGUGAAUCAUUGUACAACUUUGAAUUUGUACGCAGAAUGAGUAAUGAUUAGUGUAAACAAUUUAAGAAAGUAUAUAGGAUAAAGAUCACUAACUGAAGAUGAGCUGGUUUGCCACAUUUAGCACAGCACAAGGCUGCAGUUUCAACAGCAUCUGCUCCUCCACCCGCCAUAAAAAAAAAUCUGAUUUUUCACAAAUUAUCAAUCAGAUUUUUGAAUAUUUUUCAAAAAUUUUAUAUGGGUUCGAAAAAGAUUGCAUCUUUUUCGGUUGUUGCACAUGAAUAACUGACCUGGAAUCUGGGUUCUGAUCGUUUCCAGUAGGAAGAUUUAGGAAUUUAACGGAGCGAGGGUUGAGCUAGGGUUUUGAGCUCCGUUUUGAAGUUUGUAGAAAAAGGAAAUUUAGUAGCAGAAUAGCAACAAAACGAAAGAGAAAAGAAAAGUAGUUGAACAGGGCCUCUCUUUUCUUUUUCUAAUUCGGGUGUGGAAAUUUUUACCAUAUACAUAUUAGGAUUACUUUCAAUAAGGCCCGCCUCAAAGAAUGGCCUCUUACUCCAUUGUUUUAGGAGAAUUUUCGCUUGUUGGACCCUCGUGGGAAAAUACCGGUUUUCAUCCCUAAACUUUGGGCACAAGACACAUUUCGUCCCUCAUCUUUUGGGCAUGACACAUUUGGUGUCUGAAUUAAUAAUUUUUGACCUAAUGUCAUCCUCAGACAGCAAUUUAACCAACCUUUAACGGACCGUUAAGUAAAUGUGGCUAAUCGAAGCAAAAUUAGGUGGAAAAUGACGUUGUUUUCACUUCCUCUGCAAAUUUCCAAGACUAAGCUCCUAUUGCAAAUUUCUCUGAGAGUAAACCCCCUCUUCCAAUUAUAAAUAUAUAAUUAUAAUUAUAUAAUACAUAUAAAUAUUACUUGUAUUAAUAUUUUAUAUAAUUAUAAUGUAUAUUAGAUAUUAAAUUUAAUCAUUAUAUAACCUUAUAUUCAUAAUAAUAAAUAUAAUUAUAAUUAUAUAAUUUAUUGAUAUUAUAUACACAUAUAUAUUAUAAGGGAUAAUUACAUAAACCUCCCCUAAAUUAGCUUAUGGAAAAAUGGAAAAAUGGAUAAUUUAUGGAGAAAAGCCAUAAAGAGCUGGUGUUUUAUUAGAGAACUGGUUUAUUUUUAUUUUAUCCGAUAAAUAAAUUUGUUUAUGAAAAAAUGGGUACUCUGUUCUUAUAAUAGAGGAAAGCCAUAAAGAGCUGAAGUUUUAUUGGAAAACGAGUUUAUUUUUAUUUUAUUCGAUAAAUAAAUUUAUUUAUGAAAAAAUGGGUACUGUGUUUUUAUAAUGGAGGAAAGCCCUAAAGCGCUAGUCUUUUAUGGAAAAGCGAUACUUUACAGAAAGUGACCGCGAUUUGGUUUAUGAAAUUAUCCAAAAAAACAAUUUAGAAUGAAUUUGUUUAUUUAAUUAAAUAAUUAUUAUAUAUAUUUAUAUAAUGCAUAAUAUAAUUAUACUAAUAUAUUUUAUGAGUAUAAAGUAUAUUAUAUAUUAAUUAUAAUUUUUAGUAUAUAUUAGUAUAUUUAUCAUAAUAAAUAUAAAUAUAAUUAUAUAAUAUAUUAUUACUAUAGACACAUAUAUAUUAAAAUAUAUGCAUAUAUAAUAUACAUUUAUAAAUAUAUAUAAAUAUAUUAUUAGGGUAUAUACCCUAAUAACUAUAAUAUAUUUAGGGUAAUAACUAUAAUAACUAUACCCUAAUAACUAUAAUAUAUUUAUAUAUAUUUAUAAAUGUAUAUUAUAUGUGCAUAUAUUUAUAAUAUAUAUGUGUAUAUAGUAAUAAUAUAUUAUAUAAUUAUAAUUAUAUUUAUUAUUAUAAAUAUACUAAUAUAUACUAAAAAUUAUAAUUAAUAUAUAAUAUACUUUAUAAUCAUAUAAUAUAUUAGUAUAAUUAAAAUUUAUAUAUAUAAUAUAGUUAUAAUUAUAUAUUUUAUAAUAAUAUUAGUAUAAUUAUAUAAUGCAUUAUAUAAAUAUAUAUAUAUAAUAAUUAUUUAAUUAAAUAAACAAAUUCAUUCAAUUUUUUUUGGAUAAUUUCAUAAACCAAAUCGCGGUCACUUUCUGUAAAGUAUCACUUUUCCAUAAAAGACUAGUUCUUUAGGGUUUUCCUCCAUUAUAAGAGCAGAGUACCCAUUUUUCCAUAAAUAAAUUUAUUUAUCGAAUAAAAUAAAAAUAAACUCAUUUUCCAAUAAAACUUCAGCUCUUUAUGGCUUUCCUCUAUUAUAAGAACAGAGUACCCAUUUUUUCAUAAACAAAUUUAUUUAUCGGAUAAAAUAAAAAUAAACUAGUUCUCCAAUAAAACACCAACUCUUUAUGGCUUUUCUCCAUAAAUUAUCCAUUUUCCCAUUUUUCCAUAAGCUAAUUUAGGGGACGUUUCUGAAAUUAUCCCUUAUAAUAUAUAUGUGUAUGUAAUAUUAAUAAAUUAGAUAAUUAUAAUUAUAUUUAUUAUUAUGAAUAUAAGUUUAUAUAAUGAUUAGAUUUAAUAUCUAAUAUACAUUAUAAUUAUAUAAAAUAUUAGUAUAAAAUAUUUAUAUGUAUUAUAUAAUUAUAAUUAUAUAUUUAUAAUUGGAAGAGAGGGUUUACUCUCAGAGAAAUUUGCAGUAGGAGCUUAGUCUUGGAAAUUUGCAGAGGAAGUUGUUGAAUUGAAAGAAAAAGGGAAAGUGAAGACAACGUCAUUUUUCACCUGAUUUUGCUUCAGAUAGCCACAUUUACUUAACGGUCCGUUAAAGGUUGGCUAAAUUGCCGUUUGAGGAUGACAUUUGAUCAAAAAUUGUUAAUUCAGACACCAAAUGUGUCAUGCCCAAAAGAUGAGGGACGAAAUGUAUCUUGUGCCCAAAGUUUGGGAUGAAAACCGGUAUUUUCCCGACCCCGCUGUAUGAAAUUAUUAUUUCAUCCUAAUUUUGUCCCUCUUGUUCAAAAUAUUAGGACAUUUGAUAGCUUAUCUUAUAUGAAAAGAAAAAAAAAAAGAGACUAAAGCGCAUUUCCCCCCUCCUUUCUGGUUAAUGGGCUGCAAAAGGAGGGAAAGAAACAACUAACAUGAAAGAGCGGAGGAUUUUAUAGGUGAACAAACCUCAUUGUUAUUAACAUUCUAUUCUUACUAAUAUGCUACUUCCAAUUAGUAAGGAUGCUUUUGCGAAACAAUUAAACAGUCAAAAUGUCACACCUGAAUCAUAAUAUCGAAACAAAUUAUUGCAUUUAUUAGAUUGACGUCUCAAUUCUCGUGCAAAGAUGAUCGCCUGCCUGCCUCGUUUACAGAUUGUGAUUCUUGAAGCACUAAUAAGGGGCAGUUUUCACUUUUGUUUUUCCACGAUUCAUUGAUUCGUUAUAUAGUACUCAGUUAGGUGAAAUGAAAACUGCAGGAAGGAGAGAUUUUAGCUCCGUUGAGGAUUUUGAUUUUUAGGCUAAUGAAAUCCAAUUAAACUAGCCACAUUCCGAGUGGAAUAUAAAGUUCUAACUGCCAAAAUACAAGUUAAACAAGAAGGAGGCAUAUUGUCAAAGCUCUCAAACUUCAAACAUCAAGCGAAGAUGGUACUCCGGUGGCAGAAAGCCACAGGUCCCCCUGGAUGAAAUUUCUUACAGAAAACCAACUAGCCUCUCGGGGAUCGUACAUUGGAUGAAAUCCAGGCCAUUUCACCCUGUUUGCAGUUGAAGCUCCACGUCCUGUGUUCAUAUACUCCCCAUAAUACAGUGUUGAAAGAGCAAAAUUUCCCGCCCAUUCGCUCCAUCCUCGUGGAUGAACUAAGCCACCCAAGUCUGUCUUAAGAAAUACGGUUCUUGAAUAUUGCUUCCACGGCCGACCAAGGUAACUAUUGAACCUCCCCGUAAAGGGGCUGAAUUCAGAGGAUGGUGCAACUCGACAGUUUAUUAUUGAAAUCCCGUAUACUGAUCUGGGUGAUCCCUCCCUUGUGCAGUUAUCAUGUUAGACUGGUCAUCCAUUGGCCUACGCACGAAAAUGUCGCAAUUUUGGAAGACUGCUGAUGCAUCACCAAAGAUGAAGUCGAUGGUCCCAUGUAUCUGGCAAUCGCGAUAGAAUUGUCUUAGCGAAUGAACCAAGAGGGUGUCUUGGUAACCUUUGAAACUGCAGCGAUAGAAGACCGAGAGGUCUGAGCCUACCCUAAGUGCCACGGCCUGCAUUUUUUGAGGUCCUGCUGUGUUCUCAAACGUUAUGUCUCUUGCCCAAAAGCCGUUUCCAGAAAUACCUACGUGCAGAAAGGGUGAUCAUUCAAUAUUUGUGAAGCUGACAUACAACUAUGUCAGGCAUUUUACGUAUUAUUCUUAAUGGAAAAUAAAACAUCUUUAGCUGGAUCAGCUUUUAAUUUAUCUGGCAAAUUCAGAAUCUGGUUAGUAAAGUCUUCAUGGGAAUAGUGAACUUUAAGAAGAAUACUAGAUUUCAAGCUUACCAAAGGUAGCAGAGCUCAAGGUACUUGCACCAUCAACGACAUUUUGAUUGCCAGUGACAAUUGUUUUGUCGAUACCAUCCCCAACAAACAUGACAUUCUCCAAAUUUCUCGGAUCUCCACCUUCUCAUGGUAUAACCCCGAUUUCACGUAUACUACUGCUCUUCCUGGCCUAUUAUGUCCCAUUCUGCCAAGAGCAGCCACUGCCUCCUUUAUAGUCUCAAAGUUUCCUGAUCCAUCCUGCGCAACUACAAUAUCAGCCUUCGACGUUGCUGGACUCCAUGAUGCUAAUAGCCCCCAAUAUUGAUCAGUGCCUUGUUUUCUUGGAAUCCCUGAAUAAAAAAUUAGUUAGCAAAAGGAUUAUAGCGAGCAUCCCCUGCUUAGUGUAACUUUUAACGAAAGGAGCGAUAUUUCCACUCAGAAACAGUAAAUAUUUCACCAAUACAUUUUGUAGGGGGAGUUCGUACGUUACUUUUUUAAGCGAUCAUGCCCUGUUUGUUAGGCAAUUUUACAUGAAUAUAGACACUCACUAACCAUUCUGCCUAGACAUGUACUAGACGGAUAAGUUGCACAAAAGGCCUAAUUACUCUGAGAAGCUAGCUUACCAUGCGUUAGUGGCCUUCCAAAAUUGCCUUGUAGCUUUACGCGAAGCCAAAGCUGGUGAAGCAACAGAGUUAAGUUUUGUGCUGCCUGAGUAUCAAAAGACAAACCCUUCUCCUCCAAGCCAUCCAAAACAACUUCUGUGGCUAGCCAAGGCCGCACUCAACCAGGUGACUGCAUCAGCUUGGCUGUAAUUCUUGCUAGACAAUUCUAACGCAUGCAGCAAUGGCUCAGACUCCUCAUAAAGCUUCAAGCAAUCAGCUCAAUAGCAAUAUCACCAAAUCUUGAGCCAUGAUCCAAGUGAUCAUGAUAUCUUCUCAAGCUUUGAGCCCAGUUAACGGCUUGUAAAAAUGCCAAACCUGGCCGCUCGGACCGCCUCAAGUUCUUGCUCGCAGGAGAUAUAGCUGGGUACUUGCAAAGACAAUGAAAAGGAAGAUCGCAAACCCUGAAGUUUUUGAACAAGCAGACGGCGGUGAAGUUUGGAGCUGUUGGUUUCCCACCAUACAAGGCACUUUGGAGAAUUCUUAGACAUAAGCGGUGCCGCAGCAUGGGUCACUGAGAUGGAAUAUUUUUCUGAUUCGUCCUCCUGAGUGAAACUUAUUUUUGUGUCAUAGUAACCGUUAAUCAUUUAGAGGUGCAUAAAUAGCCUACUACUAGCUGCCAAUGUAGGUUGAUACAGUCUGAUUCUCCUACUCCUCAUGACAACUAAAUGUAUUGCACAAUCUAUAUAUGGCACUCAUGGUCAUGUAUAUGUUAGUUCAGAGUUAUUUCGUAUACAUUGUUUCCUUUGCGCUUUGUUUUUUCUGUUUUAAAUUUUGGUAAGAAUUCUUAAUAUUUCUGCAAGGAUUAUACUUUCUCAGGCUUCUUGGCUUAAGUACCCUUUUCUAUAUUUUCCAUUUUCUUUUUUGAGGAAAUUGGAUUAAUGUCUUUCAAGGAGUUAUUUAAGAUGAUUAAUUGACCAACCUUUUUUUCCAUUUGGGUGAUUACAAUUUACAUGCGUUACUUAACCGAUUACUGGAGGAUAUUAGUAAAAUGAGUUAAAGAUUUUUAGUAAGGGAGAAAUAAAACCAAAUUAUCAAAUAACUAGUGAGAAAUCAAACUAGCAUUAAACAAAAAAAAACAAAAACAAAAAAACCAAAUCCAUUGACGUUUAUCGAAAAAAAAAGUUGGAUGAUUAUAUAUAGCCGUUGGCUCCUUAUGGAUUAGAUGUUUUUAAAAAACUUUAUUGUAGCAUUCUAUUUAAAAAAUUUUCUGUCAUAAAUUGUCCGUUUGAAUUGUGUGUUUUUGGGAUGUUUUUAAAAUUUAUAAUUUUCUUAGGGUUUUUUUUAAAGAAUUUGUUAAAAUUACUUACCACAACCAUCCACCACCCUUCCCCUUCUCUUCUCUCUACCACUGCUGCCUCCCUCUUCUUCCUCUUUUUCCUCUUUCUCCCCUCUCCUCCUUCCUUGAGGAAGGAAAGAGGAGAAAGGGGAUGGCAGUGGUGGAGGAGGGAAUACAGGAGGGGGCGGUGGUGUGUGAUGAGUGGUGAACUAGUGGGUGGGAAAAAAAAAGGGUUAGAUUUAUUUUAUUUUGUUUAUGUGUAUUUGAGAUUGUAUGUAUUUAAAGUGUUAUUAGGAUAUUUUUAAAGUGUUUUAUUGUAGGUUCCAACGAUAAAAACUAGUUUGUGUCAAUCCAAUUGUGAUUGCUAUAAGAUCUAUUAAUGGCUAAAAGCUCAUCCCAGGCACAAUCUGGUUGCUCUUGGACUAACAGAACUAGCAAGACGGUAACUUGCUUACUGAUUCCAACGAUCAGAAUAUGGAAAAACAAAUAUGGCAGCAGUAGGAAAAUUGGGAUCAUUCGUAGUGAUAAAAUCAAACCAGAAAACUCUAGCAGGUCAAAAUUAUAAAUUAAAAAAAAACAGCAUUUUGAUCAUUGAUUGAAUAUAGAUGUGAAAUAGGCAUCACAGUUAACCUCAAAGUCUCGAGCAAAUGCAUCAAUAAGUAACAUAAUAUCAAACUGCUUAAGUAAAAAAAGAAUAAUAGCCAAAUUAUUGUGUGCUAUUUUAUUUGAGUUCCAUAAAGAUGAUACAUGUCCACCAAUCGGCAAAUUGCUAUAUGUUACGAAUUCUACAAUAAUGAAGCUACAACAAAUUACAUCCCCAGGACUGGCAAAAGGUUGUUUUCAGGUUUCUUUUGAAACUGAUCAGGAUGCCCAGCAAAUAAUUGUCCAUUGACCACCAACCUUAAAAACACCUUCAUCGUGGGAUUGAAAUUGCCUCCUUAGAAGGCACCAUGAGAUAUAUGCGAACAAGAUUAUGGGGCAAUGAACACAGAUAUGUUAAAAAACAAUCAUAAGAAUCAAAAUGAAGAAGAAUCAACUGAUCCUAACCACACAAAUGAAAGAAUAUAUCACUGGGAACUCUUUUUGCCAUUACCAUAGUAGCUGAGAUACCAUCUAACAAACUUCUUCAAACCUGUUUGUAGAUCUGUUGUAGGCUUAUACCCAAGCUCCCUCUGAGCCAAGCUUAUGUUCGCAUGCGUAAACUGCACAUCCCCAUUCCUUGGCAACUUCAUUAUAGUUCUCUUAGCCUUCACCUUCAACAACCUCUCCAAAAUGCUAACAAGAUCCGAAACUGGCACAGGUGAAGUAUUCCCCAAAUUGUACACCCUCAACUGAGCUGGCCCUUUCUUCUUCCCACCACUGCCAGUACUCUUCUCUGCCGUAUCCAAUGCUGCCAAACAACCCUUCACAAUAUCAUCAAUAUAGGUAAAAUCUCUAGCAACUGUGCCAUGAUUAGCUGCCUCAAAAAUCUGAAUUGCCUUCCCCUUCAAAAUAUCCUUCGUAAAAAAGAAAUAUGCCAUAUCUGGCCUCCCCCAGGGUCCAUAAACUGUGAAGAACCUCAACCCUGUUAAUGAAAGCCCGUAAAUGUGAUUAUAAGUGUGUGCAAUCUCCUCGCCAGCCUUUUUAGUUGCAGCAUACAAACUUGCGGGGUUAUCGGUCCUAUCCUUUUCUGAAAACGGGACCUUAGUAUUCAAUCCAUAAACAGAACUAGACGAUGCCCAAACAAUCGCAGGCUGAGGAUUCACGCUUUUGCAAACCUCGAGAACGCUAACAAGCCCAGCAAUAUUACUAUGCACAUAUGAGCUAGGAUUUUCCAUGGCAUAUCUGACGCCAGCCUGAGCAGCCAAAUGCAUAACAUGGGUAAAUUGUACAAUAUCAAAAAGCUUCUUCAGGAGGGCGACGUCAUUGAUAUCACCCUCCACAAUGUACACCCCAGAGCGCUCCAAAAGCGCUUGCCGGGCUCUUUUCAAUGACUGAUCAUAGUAAUCAUUGAAAUUAUCAAGCCCCAAAACGCCGUCCCCGCGGCGUUUUAAGGCAGCAGAAACAUGGGUUCCAACAAAACCAGCAGCCCCGGUAACCAAAACAGACAUACCAUUUCUUGACCUGACUUUAGCUGAGGCUUUGAUCCUUUUCUCCCAAUCAGGGCCACCAUAGGAGCUGGUUCUGAGGGACCUCCUCGAGGGAUCUGCGGUGAGAGAUUCUGGGGAUGAUGAAGAAGGUGAUCUGAAGAAGAAGACAAAGAUCAGGCCCAAGAAAACAAAUGACCAAAAAGUCAGCUUGGCCAGAGAAGAAUGGAGCCUUAAUCUGUUAUAAGGGGAUUUCUCCAUCUUGAACUUUCCUGGGGUUGAUGGGAUAUUGUCAAUGUGCUUCAUUUGGGACAUUUAUUCCGCAAAAAUCUUGCAGAUUUGAGCAAUACCCUUUCUGGGUUGCUCUUCGUUGGGGCCAAUCUGGUGGAGGGGGCGUUACUUAAAAAAAAACCAAAACAAAAAAAAAAAAUUAAGGAUAAGGGUAAAGCCAGAAAAAAAUGAAUCUUUUUUUCUUUGUUUUGAUUCUCUUGUGUAUUUGAUUGGUUUGGUGGGUGGGAAGAAGGCAAAGGGAUAAUGGGUUGAGGAGAAAGAUGAAAAUGGGGGGGUGUGUGUGUGUGGAGAUGGUGAUAUUGAAGGUGGAUGAUGGAGGUGGUAAUGGUAUGGGGAGUUUUAAAAGGCCUCUGGAUUUUCUUUUUUUUUUUUUUUAAAGGGGAAUCUUCUGGUUUCUUGGGAGGGACUGGUUGUUGUUGGUGGUGGUGGUGAUGGUUUUACUUUUGUGGGGUUUUCUUGUUUUGGUUCCAGAGAGGAAAGAAAAAAUGCUUUCAGAUUUUGAUGAAUGAUCAAGGAAUGGGUGAUUGGAGAGAGAAAUGUGAAAGAAAGAGAGAUAGAGAGAGAGGGAGAGAGAGAUUUGAGGGGAGUGGACUAAUGGUGGGGAGGGAGAAGAAUCAGGUUUGAAGCGUUUUGAAAAAUGUGACUGUAAUUAAGAUCGGUGAUGAUGAAGAUUCAGACUGCAGAGUUGGAUUAAGCAAAGAAGUUCAGUCAAAAGAUGACAGUAAUUAAUGAGUUGGAGCAGACUACCAAAUGUUAGUAGUUAAUCUUGAUUCAACUUGAGGAGAGUUAAUUUAUUAGGGUUUUUAAUCAUUAUUGCCAUUUUAGGAAAACCAGAGUCCACAUGCAAGCUUGGGUGGAAUGAGUUACAGCAUGGAGAAGAUAAAAUGGCCAGUACAAGUAGUUUCAAUGGUUGAGGAUGCCUCUUCAAAUUAAGGCCCCUUUUCAUGCAGCUCCCCUGUGUAAGUAAGACUUUUUUUUUUUUUUUUUUAUGCUGGUUUGGUAUGGGAUUUGUUAGAUUUAUCCCUUUUUUGGUGUGGGAUUUGUUUAUUUUGAGUUUAGUGGAUAGAUUUUGGGAUUUGAAGUUUGGUUUUGGGAGGUUGUUGGAGGUUGUGUGGAGUAAAUUUUUAGGGUAAUUAUGAGGGGUUACUAAUUUUCACAUAUCAUUGGAUGGGAUGGUGUGUGAGAUUUGUGGGGUUUGAGAAUUUUUAAUUGCCUCAUUAACAACCUAAUCAUUCAAAGCAUUUUGGAGUAGACCAUGUUCAAUGUUUUCUUCCUAUAAUUUUAAGGUUUGACAAUUAAUAGGAAUUGUGAGUUGGCUAAAAUUAGCAUUAUGGUAUUAGACCUAUUGAGUAAUUAUUAUUGUUGUUGUUCAACACAGGGGAGAAAGAAUUGAGUGUGCCCUAUUUAAUGGGUAACGUUACAGACUUACAGCUGUAUUUUUUUUUUUUCAGAGGAGCAGGAUAAAUAAUUCUACUCCACUAUCAAUCAAGAGGCAGCUUAGGUGUUCUGUAACUUCUUCCUGUCCAUCCCUUCAUCCAAUGCAUCAUCAUGCAUGGCAUCCAAAUAAACCAUUGAAUUUUGACCCUAAUGUUUUUUCAUUUUUCUCAGAUAUUAAUCCAGUUGAAAUAUGUUUGGAUAGCAGAUUAUUUGAAAUAAUUACUGUAGUAUUUUUUGUGAUGUGAUGUGAUGUAUGUGAGAUAAAAAGAUAAUUGUGAAGAUAAAAAGAUGUAUUGAAAAUUGUAUUUGUGAUGUAAACAAAUAAUUUUUAGCCAUUAUUUGGCUAUCCAAACAAAUAAUAUGUCUUUUUUUUUUUGUCUGUUUUCGGUUGAAGGAAGAAUAAUCCUAGUAAUUAUAUGUAAAAGUUUCAAAAAUUUCCCAUCAAAUUAACAAUGAAACAUAACUAGAAUCGAUCGUCUCUCAAACACGAAAAUAAAAAUUAAAAAAAAAUGAGGGGAAAUAGAACUAGGAUUUGAAGGCAAUGACAUUUAAAAAAAAUUGGUGAUAUAUAAUGCUUUUCAUGUCCCAUAUUAUCUAAGUUGAUGGCGAUAAGAAAAUCUGAGAUAUGAUCCUUAUGCAACGACCGAUUUUGAUAAUGUCACCCUGAUUCUCGUAACUAUAAUAGUUACAUUAAUGAUAAAAUGUGCCAUAAUUAUUUUUUUUAUCAUUCAUGAUUGAGAGACCUAACUCCAUUAGAACUUCAUAGCCAAACAUCUUAAGAUACAACGCAGUAAUUCAUUCUAGAAAAAGCAAAACCAUAAGAAACCAUCAAUUUAUGAAAAGUUGAAAAUAUAAAGAAUUAGUUCUCGAAUUCAGUGAAAAGAAUCAAGUAUUGCACAUGAUAACUGGAUACUAAUAAUACUAUAGUAAAUCACAGCUAGUCAUAAGUCAUUUCAUGGCCAAGAAUAACAUGUGCAUGUAUGUGCCUACUUAUAUUCUAUACUAUAUGGCUCGACAUUAGUAUAGCAUGUGGGUGUAUAAGUGGAUAUUAUUAUAGUGUGUAUGUAUAUAUAUGUGUGUGCGCGUGUUUUAGCGUGUAUUCACGUACAACAAAAGUUUAGGGUUUAAAGUUUAUAUCUAUAACAUGUUUUAAGGUGAGAGUCGAAUAUCAAGUACAAGACGCUCAACCACUAACUUCAUUUCCCAUUUAUCUAUAAUUGAAAAAGAAAUCAAAUUUGUAACGCCAGUCAUAUAUAUAUAUAUAUAUAUACAUAUAUGUAGUACAUAACAAUAAUUACACAAUAACACAUUUUGGAAUUCAUUUUUGCAAUGGCCAGCAAUAUGUGAAGAGGGCAACUGCCGAUGUUUUUAUAUUUUUGUCUUUUCCUUUUACAAAGGGCUAGUAAGCCAGCAAUAUGUGUUACUUAUGGAUUCAAUUUUCUUGCUUCCUUCUUUUUCACCUUACUAAAGGAGAAAAGAAAAUCUACACCAAGUCUAUGAGUAUAAGUUGGUGUAAAAUGACAAUAAUAUCAAGCUUAAUAUGUAAUAUAUAUCACGGUCAUAACUCGGUAAAAAGAAGCAUAAAAUUUGGUUCUUUUGAUAAGAACAAAAGAAUGAAGGUUAAUAAUGAUUUCAUCUUUUCAUAUAUCAUUUUCAGCCAAGAUUCAUCCUACCUAUUACUAUUGCCUUAGAAGGAGGCAAAAGGGAAAAUUUUCCAUGUUUUGGCUGUUUGAUGAAACUAGAACAAGCCCAACUAACUAAUAUAAAGUUAAAAAAAAACAAGCACUACUAUCUUCUGGUUACAGAUUAUUUCGAGCAUUAUUUGAGUGCAAAAAAAGGGCAACAAUUAGUUGGAAGGUUAAUUUUCAAGAUACUUCAAUUUUGUAUUGACUUUCAGUGCUCGAAGCAAACCCCCAUUUCUCUUAUAUAUCCUCAUGAUCAUAUCCAUUAGAAACACUACUUCAAAUUUUUAGAUCCCAUAAGAAAUAAUGACAUUAAAGGGUAGAUGAUUAUGGUAGGUUACAAGAAAUAAUAAAAAGAAAAACACAAAUUAAGCAAAAAUCUGUUGCAUUACGUUGACUGAUCAUCCAUCCUUAUAACUUCUGCAUGUCAUUUACGUUAGGGCGAAUAUAUAGUACAACUCAAAACUAAGAACCGAAACAUGCACGCACGGGAACUUUCACUAGUGUUUCGUAAAAUAUAUAAAUCUCUAAAUACGUUUCUUCAAGCAUUGCUACAAGCAAAAACUCAUACUCAGGCUGCAAAAGAAAACGUCAUUUUUCUUAAAGAUAACGUUAUUUUACUCUAGUAUCAUGUUUUACUCCAAAAAAGCUACACAUUAUCCUGCUAUUCUCAAAUAAAAAUACUACAAAUAGCAGCUGAUGAGUACGAGGGAGAAGAGAAGUAUAAUGGAUUGGAACUAACAAAAUCAAUGGGAAAGAAUUGCAUGCUUUCACUAUUAUCUUUCUUGAGAAUCAAAACAAAGAAAGGCUUUUUCUUUUUCUGGCUUGGAAUAUUUUGAUGAGGAAUAUAAUUCUCAUAAGAAGCGGACUUUCGACAGUACUGUUGAUAUGGACAGCAAGACUUUUGAUCUUUUCCCUCUGCAUGAUUGAUAAUUAAUAUGUUUUCUUCCUUUCCACCGGCUUGCUGCAUUCAUUUUUUCUUUCUCUGGAAACCCGAAAUUUUGGACUUGGGUUUUUCCUUCAAAACAUGGCCCUUAUCUUCUUUCUCUGCAUUUGAUCAGUUUGAGGUGGGGGUGGGUCGGGUGAGAUUUGGAGGUGAAUUAAUGGUAGAGAGGAAAGGAGACAAAAUCAUGUGAGAGUUGGGGUUGUCACACUUUAGUGUGUGGUAAUACUUGAAAGGAAGGCAAAAGCCCCCUUUCAAGAACUCUUUUAUUUCUAGUGUCUUAUGUCCCAAUUUUGGUUAGGCUACUGCUAGCAUCAUGUGAUGAAUGUGUACGUGCAGAUUAUUGGUUAGAAAAACAGCACUAGACUGCUAGACUUGACCAAACUAGCUAGUGCUAGUUCCCUUCAGCUCAAAGCUCAUUGUCACCUUGUAAGUAAAAUGGAGUGAUCUCCAAGAUACUCUAAAAAAAGUUUUGCCACCCCAAAUUCCUCACUAGCUACCAUACGCCUUAUAAUAAUUCUAUUGUUGUCAUCUAUGGAUUAUUAAUUAGGACUAAAAGUCCAAGCAGUAAAGCAUCUCCUUGGUCCUCUGCAGUAUGUAAUAUAGGGAUUGAGAUCCUCUGCAGUCAAUGACUAUAUGGGGUGUUUUGAAAUUGGACUAUAUUUGUCAUGUCAGUGUUAUAUCACUUUGUUUGUUUUAUUUUUUGUGAUAUUGGUGACGGUAGAAACCACACCUUUGACGUAUUAAUAUCUAUCCUUAGCUCCUACUACGUAAAUCAUAGCAAAUGCUGAGUAUAAAACAAUAGAAAUCUGCUUGUGCUCUUGUACUAAAAUAGUAGGAUAAAUUCCUAGAGCAGGAACUGACAGUUUGUUGGGUAUCCUAUUUUACAAGAAAAGUUAAAUCUGCGGUCGAUGUGCAAAACACUAGAAAAAUAUGAAAUACUAACAUGAAUGAGACGGCCACCGUCUGCUACAUGUGACUAUCUGAAGCGGAAGGUAAGGGAACCAUGCCUUUCCUAGCAGUUUCUUUUAUAAGUCAGCAUCAUGUUCCCUGCUUUUCUACUUAAUAAAACCCACGCAAGCAAGAUUGAUAGAUAAAUGAACUUUACAGAUCUGAAAAGCAUGAAGACAAGCUCAUAGAAAAAGAUGGAUUUGUUGUUGUUAUUGUCGGUUCCCAGAUUUUCAGCUCCUCUUCAGGUUCCUAAAUGCACAUUGUCAAAAAUUCCAUAAACAAUGUGAGAAAAGACUGGAACUUCUUGAAGCCAAAUUCUGCACUCUUUGUUUUCUUCUGUUUGCUUGUUUUAAGGUGCAAACAAACUUAUGACAUAGUCAUGGAAAGGUAAAAGAAAAGUCUGAAAGUUCAACAAGCGCAGGGGGCUUGGAUGCCUACUUUAACCUACUUAACGUAAGGAAAAUGAAUUCUGCCUUCUCCGCGAAAGACUCUAUGCAUUUGAUUAAAGCCAGCUAAGUUUGUCUGGUUUCCAGAAGGUAUAGUUAUUGCAUUCAACCAGUAUCACGGUCUGUCUUUGAAAGGACUCGGGGCUUCUCUUGCUGGCAAAUGCAUUCAAAGUCAAUACUCUCAAGUUUCCUUGUCUAGCAGCCUGGCAGCUCACAAAGAGCCCAUCAUCAGCCUACCAAACUUUUUAAGAAGUUGCAGACUGAUUGCCAUGUAGCAUGCUGCGGGAAUCUACUUUCUUCCAACUGUUUUCUACACGGCUUUAACUCUAUCUGCAUGUCCCACGUUCUUUUUAGUGUCCAUUCGUGCAAAAUACAAAGUUUUCACUUUCCCACCGCGCGAGACUCUGACCAAGUAAAUAUAAUACGGAUAUCCAAUGUGAAACUAUCAAUUUUAAUGACUUUCAUUCAAAUGCAGAGCCAACAAAAAGGGAUCUUUCCAUGUAAUAAGUUGCUAGAGAUACACACGCGUUUACCAAGAAUUUGAGUUAAACCAGUACACAGAUUUUAAUCUAUCCAUGGCUUCAGCAAAACAACUUGACUUCCUGACCCAUGUUGAACACUCUCACUAAGAUAAGGGGCAGCAAGCAUCCAACAUCUCCUGCACAAAGAGACUGGAAACUCCAUUCUUGUAGCAGCCCUCUAAAAUUGUUCACAUUCUUUAUGUGAUGCUACAUAUCGUUUCAAAAAGUUUAUUCAGUGCUUUGAGAACUUUUCAAGGACAUCAAAGUAAUCAGGGAAGGUUUUGCGUGUGCAGCCAGGAUCCUUGAUGGUUACAGGAACAUCUGCACAUGCCGCAAGAGAAAAAGCCAUAGCCAUUCUGUGAUCAUCAUAAGUAUCAAUUGAUGUAACAUUUAACUUCUCUGGUGGAGUGAUUAUGCAGUAAUCUGGCCCUUCUUCAACUGUAGCCCCUAACUGAAAUUGUAGGAAAUGUAUGGAUGAGUGUUACAAGGAGAAUUUUCGAGAAAACAUGCAAGGCUUGUGAGAUUGAAAAAUAAUGAUGCAUCACAAAAUUAACCUUUCUAAGCUCUGUGCAUAUAGCAAUCAUCCGCUCAGUUUCCUUCACUCUCCAGCUAGCCACUGAGAACAUAAAUUAAGUCAGACGAAAUAUCUCAGGGUGAUGAAGAAAUAGCAAAGGAAACAGACAGAGUAUUAAAACAGAAAAGAAAAGCUAAAAGCAGAUUAUUGGAUCAUGCAUACUGACGCGGAGCUAGGACUGGUAACCGAUCCUAACCUCAAAAAUCUAUUGGAUUCUAAACUCAUGUACUGUUCAAGAUAAUCCAGUUCUCAUAAGUUACAGACCAGAUUACCAUACGAUCCAAACAUUUUCACAUUAUGCUGUAGACAAAGAAAACUGAAAUAUCAAUUUUCAAGGAUGAAUUCAAAGAGGUAUCCUUAACACGACAAUAAGUCCUAUUUUAAACUUGCCGUACAGCAUUAAUCAAGGAAUUCCUAGUUUUCUCAAAAGAAUUCACUUUGCAUAAAGUAUUAUAUUAUGGAAUAUGAUUCCAAAUUAUUCAUAUUAUAUAGCUUAUGAACACCAAGAAACUAAUGGCAUUUUGCUUCUUGUUAACGAAAAGCCAAUUAUGUCCUGAUCAGUGAUCUAGAACUUCUGUUAUUCCAAUGAAAUUUGAAACAGCUUUAAUUAACUCUUAUAUUCGGUAAACCAGUAACAUUCAUACCAUCUCUUAUUGCAGUGGAACCAUCCGCGAAAAGUGCAACUACAGCAAGAGUCAUGGCAACAUCUGGCAUUUUGUUCAUGUUGAUAUCAAUGGCACGAAGGUGUUUUCCUCUGGAAGAAUCCCUCCGCGGUCCUUUAACAAUAACACUGUUUUCUGUCCAGGUGACUUCAGCACCCAUUUGCUCAAGAACCUCAGCAAAUUUCACGUCACCCUUUAGAAAGGAAAGAAACAAAAAGAAAUGAGAUGAUGAAUGCCAUGCAAUUUACGUGCACAAAACAUUCAAAACCAUGUUAGCAAGGUGAUACUGCAUAACCUAUUUAAAUCCAAGAUACUUUAAGUUUGCAGCAACACAACAUUCACUUCUCAAUAAAAGACAAAAGUCAAGUUUUCACCAUGGACAUAACGCAGAAAGGGCCUUCUUGUCUGAAUGACGUAAUUAUCUUCAGAACAAGAAAAAGAGAGAUACAACAUGCCAGCAUGCAUUUUACCUGUAAACUGCCAGUCCCACAACCUUCGACGGUAAUGGUACCACCAGUAACAGCUGCACCAGCUAAGAAGUAACUGGCACUUGAGGCAUCACCUUCAACAUAAGCUUUUCCAGGAGACCUGACAAAAUGAUAAUCUUUUUACUUGCUACACAACAAGCUACUAAAGUCCAUUUUACUCAAUACAAGUACACUUACUUGUAUUUCUGACCCCCAUGAACCAGGAAUCUGUCCCAACUACCACUAUGCUCUACAGUGACCCCAAACCGUUCCAUCAGUUUCAAAGUCAUUUCAACAUAAGGAACAGAAAUGAGUUUAUCAAUAAUUUCAAUCUCAACAUCUCCUAGAGCCAGUGGAGCUGCCAUGAGUAAAGCAGUUAGGUAUUGACUACUGAUAGAUCCAGAGAGCUUCACCUGCCAGUGAUGAUCAAAAUACAUGUUCAUCGUCAAUCCAAGUAACCUAUUUCAAAAUAUAGUAAGAUAAGAAAAAGAGAGCCCAGCCCCACGAGUCCCAUGCCUUUCUUGGUAGGCCAUGCCAUUUGUGAGAAGUCUUUCUUCAUUCAAAGGCAGAAGCAGAAUUGCAAGGAUGAAAUGAAUAGUGAUUCCCAGUACUAAACCCAAGAACCCAAUAAAGAAAUUUUACCAUUGUCCCAUCCAAUGCUGUGCAUAUAUGAAAUUGUAUUUCUCAUUCACAGAUUCAUGUUUGUUUAGACUAAUCACCCACACUUUGGUCCUGCUUUUGAUUUUGUUACUAAGAGGGGAAGAAAAUCAGGACCAAAUGCUUGGCAGUUCCUGGUGGAGCUUAUUGAGUGCUGAACCCAAUAAGAAAGUGUAAAAUAGGUGGUCUUUGCAAAAAUGUUUUGCAAAAAUAUACCCCUUGCAUCUUGGUCACUUUUACAAUUUCAUUUAUAAGCAGUCUCAUUACUUUGAAUCUCUCAUUUUCUAUACUUAAUUGUCUAAUUAAGUAUCCGUUUCUUGAAGCAGGACUGAAGCUAAUCCAAGCUUCACAACAAAUUGAAAGAAGAAAACAGAUUGGCGAAAUGACAUUGGGCCGGAGCCUCGACAAGGGGAGGUGAUAGUGGAUAUUCUGCUUGUCUUGGGGUGUACAGUAGCACCUGAUCAACCCCCAGAAAUUAAUAAAAUAAUUACAUUAGCCCAGAAUCCAAAAACACAAAAACAAAAGAGUAUGGUGAACAUCAUUGUCUGCCCUGCUAACAAGAGGAAUGUCUCAGAAGUGGAGAAUGACAAGUCAGCUGCAAUGUCUACACAGCUCUUCUUUUCUCAUGCAUGCGUAUAUUAAUAAAGCAUGGAUUGUCCUCUUUGCUUUUCUUUUAAAUCAAGGAAUAAGCAAUUAAGCAUGUUUAGACAAUGUUAAACUCACCUUUCCCCCAGGAAGGCCUCCCUUUCCCACUACACGAACUGGGGGGCAAUUUGUACCAAGAAAACAAUCAACAUCAGAACCAAGCUGCUUAAGACCAGAGACCAGAUCACCAAUUGGCCUCUCCCUCAUUCUAGGAACUCCAUCAAGUACAUAGCUGAAACAUAAAAUUCCAGUUUGAAUUUAACUUCACUAAUUUAAAAAACAAAGUAACUGUCCCGAAAAUGCAAUCAUGGCGAGCAAUCACUAAUUUCUGAGGAAAAUUUUAAACCAAUUUGCAGCAUACAUAUUAAUAUAUAAAAGUUGGGUGACAUUUGUAACUAGAAAAAUAAGGAUAUGGACCUUGAAUUCCCACCAGCAGCAGCAACUGCAGCAGUCAAUGGGCGCAUAGCUGUUCCAGCAUUUCCCAGGAAUAGUUGAAUUUCACCUUUAGAUUCUUUACCAACAGGAAAUAGACCACCACAACCUUCUACAAUUGCUUGCUGUACAGCGCGAUUAUCUUCCACAUGCAGACCCAGUGUCUUUAAAGCACCGAGCAUGUAAUGGAUAUCAUCACUGUCCAACAAGUUAUCAACAACAGUUCUUCCCUGGGAAACAAGCAGAACGGAAAUCCAAUAAGUUCUUGAGAUUGAGGAUUAUUGUGAUUCUUUAACAGAAAUACUACUUUGUAAAAGAACUAAACCAAAAAGCGAUUAGAAACAUUUUAUGUAUGCGUUGCUAUUGUAAACAAUAGCCAAUCCUGGGGACGAAAUUAUUAUAUAAGAGCAUUCUGUUAGGAUAGCGAAACUAUAACAUAAUGUAGACUACAGUUAAGUUGCAUCCAUCAGAAGAGCAAUCUACAGAAUUAUCAAUAUCUUAUGGUCUGUUUUGAGGUGGAAAACUUCUCAAUUCUGAAUGAAACUACGAACUGUAGAACCAGCAUAAACAUGCCACAAUUUGGUCUCUUCUUGCAGGCAAAAGAUUACAGGAGCACCUUUUCAAAUACAAGAAAAUGUCAUUUCUUUCUUGCUUUUCCAUAUUCUUUUGUUUUAUUUUCUUCUGAAUGGGUGGAGAGGGAGAAUAGAGUGAGGGGCGGACUUAAACACAUAUUGUAGAAAAUCAGUUCUAACAACUUUUAGUGACCAAUUUUUUAUAGAACUUCUUUCCUUAUAGAAACAAAGUAAAAGACAGAUAAAGUCUAGUUAAUUUCGUAUAAGAACAACUAAAGACAAAACAUGAAGAACCCAUUAAAUUUUUAUCCAAUAACUGCAAAUUUAGAGACAGAAGUGCAUGAAAAUGCUGCAACUCAAGUUUCCAAUCUCAGAUAAUAGACUAAACAAAUAUACAUAUACAUAUACAUAUACAUAUAUAUAUAUAUAUUAAAAGUUGUGCUUGCAUCUAUAUAGCACUCUUACAACAAUUAUGAACUUCCAAAAGAUUGCUCUCAAGAGUCUUUCAGCUCUCGUAAAGUCACCAUGACUAGAAUCCUGAAUCAUCUCCAACACACUUGGCAAAACUAGAAAAGUCAAGUGCAAAAGGUGCUUAACAUUCCCUCUUAUCUUUUCAGUCAUUAAUCUGUAAUAAAAGCAAGUGAACACUGAACAAGAUUUGGUUCUUUUGAAUAUACGCUCCAAAUUACUUGCAUCGUCUGACUGAAAGUGCUUUAACUACAGUCCUUGAACCUAACCAGUCUCCAUUAGCCAACUUUUGUAAAAUACAGCAUUCUACUGCAUGAAGUCUUUCAAACACACGUACUCCACAUCCCACAAUGAACUGAAUCAAAACUCCAGGUUAAUUUGAAAAAAUAUAUAAUUCCUAUAGAGGAAAGAAGUCAAAAUCAACAAUUCAUCAAGAGUAUAAUGAUUAAACAGAAAUGUAUAGCACAAAGAAGAAGAAAAAGUCACUCAUAGUAGCUUUUACAAUCAUGGUUCGCAGUCGCGUCUCGUCUCGGUCUCGACCGAGACUGAGAGACUGAGACUGAGACCGAGACCGAGACCGAGACGACUCGGCCGAAUCGUCACCGUCUCUCGAUCCCUACCGAUACAAUAUCGUGACGAAACGAUACCGAAAUACUUGACUCGUCGAGAAAUCGACCGAGCCGCUAUCGCAACGAAUUGACUCGACCAAGUCAUAUCGAGUUACUCUGAAUUAUCCCGAAUCAAGACAAAAAAUUAAUCAAACGAGAAAUCAGCCGAGUCAUGCCGCGACGGAUUGACUUGGCUGUUUCUUUUGCUAAUUUUUAAUUAUUUUUAUUUAGUAUACCUUUUUAUAUUAUUAAUAAUUUUAAAAUAUUAAAUACUUUAAAAUUUACGUCUCACCGAGACGGUGAUCGAUAUGCCGAGAUCGAUGUGGAACGUUUCGAGCCGCAACACCGACCGCAACUGUGGCUUUGAACCAUGUUUACAAUGCUUAGCAGAAGGGUCGUAUAACUGCACGAUUCUUAAAUAUUAUAGAUUACCUCAGCCAGGGCAGCAAGGAGAAGAAUGCGAUUGGAGAGGGAUUUUGAGCCAGGCAGCUUGACGGUGCCAGAUAUCUCUUUAAUAGGCUGAAGCACAAUCUCCGGCACAGUAGACGGCUUCUCAGCCGCGGCCACUGAAACAAAAACCUUCAAAGGAGACCUACCUCUAGUCAACAUCGAAUCUCUACUCAAAACCCGUGAAUAUUUUGGUGAACUUUUCGCAAUUCUUGACCCAAGUAUUAAAGAAUGUGGUGAAGAAUACUGGUUUUGGAGUUUCGAGACUUUAGGUGUAGUGAAUUGAGGAGCUUGGAUUGCUUGAGCCAUUUCUCUUUUUGCCGCAGAAUAGAGGGGACAAGGAUGAGAAGUAAUCCCUCUUUCUUUCUUUAUGUUCUUUCAAUUUAAGCUCUGAUGCAGCUACCUACCGGAAAUGGGGAUGGAGGAGGCGUUAGGUAGGCAGGGCAGGGAAGGGAAGUUGGAUUGGAAGACUAACUUGGGGGGAGUUUGGUUUGGUGGGGAUCCAUAACAAUAGUGAGAAAAUAAGCAAUUCGGCAAGAAUGGUCCCAUGACAAUAAUGAUCCCAUAGAUUUGACUGUCACCAACCACUUCUGUCCGUUAAACAAGCACAUGGACUAUCGCUGGAGUGGUGCGGGUGCCUAAUGGUUUGCCAUAGCUUAAGAGCAUUACAAUUUGAGUCACUUCCAACUUCAAGAACCUUUUGCAUUCCCCCAACUACCCCUUAAUCCCACGCCACGCCCGGGAGGAAAGAAAGAGAGAGAGAGAGAGAGAGAGAGAAUCUUUCUGUUUCUUUUUAUUUUUUUGUCAUUUUGAUUAUACGAAAAUAGCUGUCAAUCAUAUACAUUCAUUCAACUUCUGGUUUAACAAUUCGGCCAAUGUUUGCUUCGAGAUAAUCAAUUAUGAAUUAAUGUUACUGACAGUAUAUACGGUUUUGUUAUUGAAUGUACGUCACUUAAUUUCAAAUUAAAUUUGAAUAUCACUUUUUUUACAUACGUGGCAUAUGUUAAAAAAAUAAUAAAUUAUCGGCUGUCAUUUUUAUCAUUAUUAGAUGCAUGUCACUUAAUUUUAAAUUGAAUUUUAAUAUCAUUUUGUACAUAUGGGACACAUAUUAAAAAAUGAUAGCGUAAAGAUAAACUCAAUCAAUCGUAGUCCAAGUUUAAGUACUUUAAGAUUUUCUUUUCGCUCUUCCAAACACUUUAAGAAUGUAUUAGGAAUAUGUAAUUAAUAAUAUAAAAGUUAUUAGUAAUAUGUUAAUUAAUAUGCUUUUAAAGUCACAUAUUUGUUUAUAAGCAUAAAUUAUAACAUUAUUGAUUAAUACAUUAAUAAUAUGAUAUUAGUAGGCAUGAAAUAUAUUUUUAAUUAAAAUAUGAAGUUCGAUCAUUUUGAUCGGUGAUCUGGAAUUCAAGAAUCGUAUUUCAAUAUUCAUUCCCAAAUUAUUUUACCAAAUUUUAAGAUUAGACCUUAAGCAAUUUUUUCGAAUUCUGCUUUACCAAUAUCCAAUUUUCGAUCUAAAUUGAAUCGGUCAUUCAAUUCUUUGGAAGUGUGAACCCUAAGUUAAAGGGCUGACAAAGCAAAUCCUUUGUCUUCGUUAAAAAAAAAAAAAAAAAAAAAAAGUGAAAUGGGUGCUGAAUGGGACCUAAUGAGGUGAGCAAUGAGAGAAAGAACAAGCAAGAAUCAAAUUCAACAACUUGCUGAAGGUGCCAAGCAAGCUUGCUCGAAUGGUUUGUUUGGAUUGUAAGUUGUUUGGGAUAUUUUUACUGUAAUACUUUUUGUAACGUGAUGUACGUGAGAUAAAAACGUAAUUGGAAAAAUAAAGCAGCAGAACAUAACAGGGAUGGAGACUCGUCAACAUUGGAGUUUCUGACAAAAAUCUACUACAGCAAAUCCAACCUAUGGAUGCAUGGACAACAACACAUUAAUACUCCUUGUUUUACAAAUACUCCUUUUGCCUAGAAAUAGUGAAUAGAAAUGAUCUAAAUGUUCAGUUUAGUACCUUAAUUAUCAAGAUAUAAAAUGGAUUAAUCCCAAUCUUUUGUGCUAAUAGCACAUUGGAUUGUAUCGAGUCAUCAUUUAUUUUGUAAAUACUUUUGUUUCAAGUAAUACAAGCGAGUUAUUUUGGUGCUUGUCUAAAACUUUACUAUUGAAGUUUUUAAAAAAAAUUUUAAAAUAUAUAAAUUUUUAAAUAUUUUAAAAUAUAUAGCUUAAAAUUUUUUAAAAAUUUCGAGGCUACUGUAACUGAGCAAACGAAAUUUUUAAAAAACUUGUAGCAGACAAACUUGGUAAAAAACUCAACUGCCAAACAGAGGUUCGACAAAAAAAAAGGGCUUAACAACUGCGCGGUGCAUGGUUGGGCCAUGAACCAGGUUCACUCGACCUUUUACCAACCCAACUCCUCCUCCCUUAAAGGCUUAAACCCUAACAGUCCUUGAGUUACUGCUUUCCUUUCCACGACUCCAUCUCUCCCUCUCUCUUGUCUCUCCCAUGGGAGUCUGAGCGUAAAACUUCAAUCCCUCACUUUCCCAAAUCCCUCCCGGAUCAAAGUCAAAACCUUAAAAAUCGAUUCGAAGAAUGGCGUAUCUUUCAGCUUCGAAACCAUCUCAUUUCCAUCCCAGAAACCUCUCAAAUGUCUCCACCCCACUUUCGCUAAAAUCCCUCUUCUUCUUCUGCUCAUCCCCAGGUGGUAACCCCGAUCAGGAAACAGCGGCCAUUUCACCAACUGAAUCCACUGGGCCAGAAACACGGAAUGUUGAUCCUGCGGCAACGCCAUCCAGAAGCCCAAGAGGUAAGCAUCGUCGUCUUCAGAAAAACCCAGAAAAAUUAGAAGAUAUUAUCUGUAGAAUGAUGGCUAAUCGUGCUUGGACUACCCGUUUACAGAAUUCUAUUCGCAAUUUGGUUCCUAGCUUUGAUCAUGAACUUGUUUAUAAUGUACUUCAUGGUGCGAAAAACUCUGAGCACGCGCUCCAGUUCUUCAGAUGGGUGGAAAGGGCUGGACUUUUUCAGCAUACUAGAGAAACCCAUUUGAAAAUUAUUGAGAUUUUAGGCCGAGCUUCGAAGCUCAAUCACGCCAGGUGUAUUCUGUUGGAUCUGCCACAAAAGGGGGUCGAGUGGGAUGAGGAUAUGUGGGUUCUGUUGAUUGAGAGCUAUGGUAGCGCGGGCAUUGUGCAGGAGAGUGUGCAGCUGUUUCAAAAAAUGGAGGAGUUGGGGGUUCAGAGGACGAUAAAAACGUAUGAUGCUUUGUUUAAGGUUAUAAUGCGCAGAGGGCGGUAUGGGAUGGCCAAGAGGUACUUUAAUAAGAUGUUGAAGGAGGGGAUUGAGCCCACAAGGCAUACCUAUAACCUUAUGAUUUGGGGGUUUUUCCUUUCUUCGAAAGUGGAAAGUGCGGUAAGGUUCUUUGAGGAGAUGAAAAGUAGGGAAAUUUCACCUGAUGUUGUCACUUAUAAUACCAUGAUCAAUGGGUAUUGUCGUGUUAAAAACAUGGAGGAGGCUGAGAAGUAUUUCGUGGAGAUGAAGGGGAGGAAUUUAGAGCCAUCAGUGAUAACUUACACGACUUUGAUUAAGGGUUUUGUUUCUGCUGGGGGAGUUGACAAUGCAUUGAGAUUUCUGGAAGAAAUGAAGAAAUUUGGGAUUAAGCCAAAUGCUAUUACGUACUCAACCUUGUUGCCAGGGCUGUGUGAUGCAGACAAGAUGUCGGAAGCUGAUAAGAUUUUGAAGGAGAUGGUCGAAAGACAUAUUGCUCCAAAUGAUGACUCAAUCUUCACGAGACUGCUGUCUGGACAGUGCAAGGCAGGUCAUUUGGAUGCGGCUGCUGAUGUGCUCAAAGCAAUGAUUCGCUUGAGUAUUCCAACAGAGGCUGGGCAUUAUGGUAUCCUGAUAGAGAAUUUCUGUAAGGCUGGUGCGUAUCAACGAGCUGUUCAAUUGUUGGAUAAGCUUAUAGAGAAGGAAAUCAUCUUAAGACCACAGACUACUUUGCAAAUGGAGCCUAGUGCUUACAAUCCUGUCAUUGAGCAUCUAUGCAACAAUGGACAGACAAGAAAAGCUGAGAUGCUUUUGCGACAGUUGAUGAAAAUGGGUGUCCAGGAUCCAGUUGCCUUCAACUAUCUGAUUCGUGGCCAUUCAAAAGAAGGUACUCCUGAGUCAGCUUCUGAACUUUUGACAAUCAUGGUUAGGAGGAAGGUUGUUUCAGAAGCAAGUGCUCACGUAUCACUUAUCGAAAGUUACUUGACCAAGGGUGACCCUGCUGAUGCUAAAUCAGCUUUGGAUACUAUGAUUGAAAAUGGUCAUCUGCCAGACUCGUCUCUAUAUAGGUCAGUGAUGGAGAGCUUGUUUGCAGAUGGAAGAGUUCAAACAGCAAGCAGGGUGAUGAUGACUAUGCUGGAGAAGGGUGUGAAAGAGCACAUGGAUUUGAUUGCUAAAAUCUUGGAGGCUCUCCUUCUGAGGGGCCAUGUUGAGGAAGCCCUGGGAAGAAUUGAAUUGCUUAUGCAAAAUGGACUUGCACCUAACUUUGAUAAUCUUCUGUCCAUUCUCUGUGAGAAAGGGAAGACAAUUGCUGCUUUGAAGUUGUUAGAUCAUUGUUUACAGAGAGAUUAUAGUGUUGACUUCUCCAGCUAUGAUAAAGUUUUGGAUGGCCUUUUAGCUGCUGGAAAAACUCUUAAUGCAUAUUCAAUUCUGUGCAAGAUAACGGAGAAAGGAGGAGUUACAGACAAAAAUAGCUAUGAAGACUUAAUCAAGACCCUUAAUGCAGAGGGAAACACUAAGCAAGCAGAUAUUCUUUCAAGAAUGAUCAUGGCCUCCAAUAGCAAGAAAGGAAAGAAACAAGCGUCUAUGGCAUAGUUGGCCUCUUUAUUCUGGACUCUUUGAAUUUCAGGGUUACAGCUUUUGAUUUUAGCUUACUUUAAUGGGAUAUUAUGGGUUUAGCUAAGUGGCAGAAUAGUUCAGGUCGAAUUGCAUGUCUUUUUUAAUCUUAAAUAGCAGCAGAAUCUAAUUGUUUUCUGUAGAAAUUAUGAAAGUCUACCUCUUCAGAAUAAAUAAAAGAAGGAAAUAUGCUGCUGAGGUUUUCAUAAAAGCAUAUAACCUUGCAUUCAUAUUAUUGACACUUUGACACUGUACUGUAUACAUGAAAGCCAAAUUUUUGCAUUUAAUUAUCUGGUUAUGGCUGUUGAGAAAUGAGAACUGCUAGAGCUUUGCAGGAUCAUCUCUCAUUGAAGGAUUUCUCAUUCCGAUUUACAUGGAAAGCAUCCGUCUUGAUAUCUAAGAGGCUCUCUGCGUAGGAACAGCCUCUGGGUACAUUGUGCUUCAGCAUAUGACACUAAUAUUCCAGCUCGUGGAAAUAUAAUUACAUUGUUGUCUCUGUGUUUUGGUUUUUGAUAAGGUCAACUGUUUCGCUAUUUUCUUAACUGCACCUUGAUGAUGAGUGAAGUAUGGCUUAUCUUGCUUUGUUUUCUACCUUUGUUACUGUUGCCUUGAUAAGGAUUAAAAUUGGAUUGGGCAAAGUAAUUUCUGCUUUUGUUGAUUAAAGAUAGGAUCAUCCAUCGUGUGGUAUGUCACCGUCACGUUAGUGGUACCUCAAGAGUUUUUUUUUUUUUUUUUUUGGGUCACACACUUAUUUCUACAGUGUGAUUUACCUUUCAACAGCGCAAAGAAACACACGCACAUAGAAUCUAAGGUAAUACGCACAUAGAAUCUAAGGUAAUUUCACCAGUUUACUCAAAAGACAAUUGCUGACUUCUGGAUAAAUUCACGGACUUUAAAUCCUAUUCACACACCUCUUACAACCGAUGUGGAAACAAGGAGUUGGGGGAAAGGGAACACAGGAAGCUUAAGAGCCUUGACUAAGAACCCAUACGGACACUGACACUCCUCUCCUGUUUUCCUUUUUCUUUCAACAGCAGUGUGAUUUACCAUAAUGUGGUUAUCACAUCACUCUGUAGAAUUUUCCUUAAAAAAAUGUCUACAAAGUAAAUAAAGAGAAAAGGCUGGCAACAGGUCAAAGGGCUCAUUCUAUUUGGCACUUCGUUGCCUUACUUUCAAGUACGCCAAUAGGGCAGUUGAACACUAGCUAGCUUAUGCCAACUGGAGUUUAGUUGGGAUGGCAAUAUCAGUUAGCUCACGAGGUACUAGAGAUUGUUCUUCUAAACCAAUUCAAUUUUGGGACUCUUGAUUUCAACUGACUGUGUUACAGAUGCAAUGGGACUCUUGAUUGAGGUCGAUUCGAUUGUAGUUUUUUUUUCAUUCAGAUUUCGGCAAUCUUUCGUCUCUGUGAAAAGGAAAAGGAAAAGAAUGGACUGGAAAUGUCUGAAUUUGAUAUGAAUGAGGGCUUUGAUAUGAAUGAAUCUUUCGUUGCUUUGGCAAAUAUUACACUUAUGCUCGGUGGGAACAGCGGAUGGACGAUUGCCCAUGUGACACUCUCCUGUUAAUACUCUCAAAGAUCUACACCUAACGCAUGAUUCUGCUUAAUAAACAAUUAUACAGAACAUCACUGAUCUGAAGUUGUUGGAUAGUACUAAAGUCUUGACUUCGAAGUUCCCGGUAAGGUAGGUGUUGAAUUGUUCUAUGCACUAUCACACGAUUCUGUACAAGAGUUUUUUUGACUCGGGGGAAUUUUUUUAAUAAACGACCAUAAUUGGAUUAUUCUUAAGAAACUGGUUAUAUCUAAUAAAACUCACUCGUGAGUGUCUCACCAUUAAAUCAUCCUGUGGUAGGCCAUUGGACGUUUGUAAUUAAAUAAAGAACUGCGUUGCAUUUUGCAUAGGAGGAGAAUAUGCCUUUUACCAUUCUCAAGGCAUAUUAUUCCAUGGGAGGAUACUUUUUUCACGGUCCAUACCAAACCAUACUUCCAACUUCCAGGGAAAUAAAGUGCAAUAAUUUGAGCUCUUCAGCUAAGCUAAGGUAAACCUGUUGCCUCUGCACAAGAAAAUGGUACUCUGGUAUAAUACUAGUAGACAAGUACGUACGUUGAGGAUAGGCAGGUUGAGAGCCAGAAGUUCAACUACCACAUAUGAAAUAGCCACACCCGCAACAUUCAACAACCACAUAACAAUGGAUGGAUCAUCAUUCAUCGCCCCACUCCCGGUCCCAUACAUUGUUUGUUUGUUUGUUUCUGGCUUAGGAAAUCCUCAUUCUCAGCCUAAAGAGAUUGGGUUGCCCCACACAGGUUUUGAAAGGUUUGAAGCUCCGCAGCAGUCCAUCUCAAUACAAAUUCUGAAAUUUACUCUAUGUGUUUAUCCAAGAUAUCAUAUAGCGAACAUUGGAACUCUUAUUGGUCCGUUUAAUAUCGUUAAGAAGCGCCGGACAUCACAUUUCCAAUCGCAGCAAAAUGACUCAGAAAAGCUACUCACUAUUCAAAGACUGCGAGCAGUUUUGAUGAUACAUGGCAAUGUGGAGGAGAGCUUAUUAGUCUCAUUUAUCUCUAUUAAAACAUGAGAAAACAUAAUAAAGAGGGGAAAAAAACAAACAAACAAACAAAAAGGACCUCCAAUCAAAUAACCACAUCAAAUUACAAAAACCACGUUCCAGUGUACAAGUUCAGAAGCAUCCUAAACUGCCUCCUCUCUGCAGCCUCAAAUUGCUCCACCGAUGAAGGCAGCUGCUAAAGCAAGAAAUUUUUCUUCUCUUAUUAUGAAAUGUCAAAUGGCAGUCAAUUGAGCCAAGAACCUCACCAAGGGUUUUUGCUGUAAACUGCAGCCUCAUAUAACGAAUCCAAAAUACCUCAGCACAGAACGAGCAACUGGAAAUCCCAUUUUCUGAAGCCUAAGAAACACUUUUUGCUGCAGCUACAACAGCCUCUGCUGUAAUGCCAAGCUCCUUGUAUAUUUUUCCUGCAGGAGCACUAGCACCAAAUCGGUCAAUUCCGAUUGCUUUUCCUUUAGGUCCAACAAUCUUCUCCCAUCCGAAUGUUGAUCCUGCCUCGAUGCUAACCCUAGCUGUUACAGCCGCUGGAAAGACACUUUCCUUGUACUCAGCUGAUUGCUCAUCAAAAAGCUCCCAUGAAACAAGAGAGACAACUCUGACGGCCUUCCCUUCCUUUCUUAGUUCAUCAGCAGCUUUGGCUGCAAUUUCCAACUCUGAACCAGUUCCAAUCAAGAUCACAUCAGGCUUGUUGCCUGAAGAGUUGUCUGAUAUAAUGUAGCCACCCUUUGCCACUCCUUCAAUAGAAGUUCCAGCAAGUUGGGGCAACUUUUGCCUUGAGAGAGCAAGGAUUGAUGGUCUCUUCCUAUUGAGGACAGCUACCUUGUAAGAACCAGCUGUCUCAUUCCCAUCAGCUGGACGCAACAUCAAAAUAUUAGGCAUUGCCCGAAAACUUGCCAAGUGCUCAAUUGGCUGAUGGGUGGGUCCAUCUUCUCCCAGCCCAAUUGAAUCAUGAGUCAUCACGUAGAUAACACCGGCCUCAGACAAGGCAGAUAUCCUAAUGGCAGCUCUCAUGUAGUCAGUGAACACAAAGAAAGUUGCACAGUAGGGAAGUAGGCCAGGGCUGUGGAGAGCAAUCCCAUUACAGAUGGAUCCCAUACCAUGCUCACGUACACCAAACCUAACAUUACGCUCUUCUGGUGUCUUCUUUUGGAAGUCACCAAACAUCUUAAGAAGGGUCAUGUUAGAGGAGGCAAGAUCAGCACUCCCACCAAGCAGACCAGGGAGAACCUUAACAAGGGCAUUAAGAUUUUGCUGAGACAGGUUUCUGGUGGCAUCAGCUGGGCUCUCAGGAGUGUAUGCCUGAGGGUAAAAGUAUAAAAAUCACAACUGAAUUAAACCACAGGACAAGGGAAGGGAAUGCAAUGCCAGGUCAAUAGAUCUGACUUGAAAGCAGACACUAAAUAUAAUUGAGUCCAAUUUGUUUAGUCCAAAAGAAAAGUUUCCAAAGACAAAGGAUAAUAUAUAUGCAAAUUAACAGAAUGAAUCUCGAUGUCACAAGGUGAAAUAAAAGAGCAAAUCUGUUUCUUAGCUACUUACAGGAAGCGCUUUCUCCCAUCCAGCUGGCAAUUCACCAGUUAUGAGGGACUUCAACUCAGCAGCUUCUUCUGGAUAUUUUUUUUCAUAUUCAGCAAAUUUGGCAUUCCAUUCAGCUUCAUAAGCAGCACCCACAGGAACAUGGCGGCUCCAGUGUCUGAAGAAAAAAUGAUCACAAUUGUAAGUUUUCAAGAAAAAGUUAGCUAAGUUUUAUCCAAUUCAAGAAGCAGGCGAGAUCAUUCAUACUUCUUGACAUCCUCAGGAACAUGGAAAGGCUCAUAAGGCCAUCCAAGGUUCUGCCUAGUGGCCUCUACUUCCUUGGCACCCAACGCACUGCCAUGUACACUGUAUGAGUUUGCCUUGUUGGGGGAUCCAUAACCAAUUGUUGUGGUUACCUGUAUGGAAGAAAUAUAUUUAACAAAAAUAUCCCAAUUUGAAGAAUGCAGGAAGAAACACCAAGCAAUCAAGCUGGAAAUAUUUCAAAUCUACCAGCCCAUUCAAUUUAGCGGAGGAACUGUUUUAGAGAUAAAUGCAGCAACAACUAUAGGAAAACAUGAAGUAAGGCUCAAGAUGAAGCAUAAUCAGUAUCUGACCUUGAUCAAGGUAGGCUUGUCUUUUACAGCCUUUGCUUCCUUGAUGGCAGCACGAAUUUCAUCAUAACCUGUAUUACCAUUCUUGACCCAGAUAACAUGCCAUCCAAGAGCCUCAAACCGGAGUUCGACACUCUCGGUGAAAGCAAUUUCAGUAUCACCAUCAAUUGAAAUAUGGUUAUCAUCAUAGAAGGCAAUCAGCUUUCCAAGUCCCCAGUGGCCAGCAAGGGAACAAACUUCAUUGGAGACCCCCUCCAUUUGACAUCCAUCACCAAGGAUAGCAUAUCUAUAUAAGAUGUAAAAGUCCCGUCAUUAAACAACAUAGAGAACUGGUAUUUGAGACCCACCAGAAAAUUGAAACAACUAUUAACAAUUCAGGAAGUCAUAUUACGUGUAGUGGUCAACAAUCUCGGCAUCCGGUUUGUUGUAACGAGCAGCCAAGUGUUUCUCAGCAAGGGCUAAACCAACAGCAUUUGCAAUACCUUGGCCAAGCGGACCUAAUCAAAAGCAAUGAGAGACAACGAUUAGUCCCACCACUCCGUUCAACGUCCAAAUAUACUAGCUGAACUAAAUUCUAACCAGUGGUGACUUCAACACCAGGGGUCUCAAAGUUCUCAGGAUGACCCGGAGUUUUGCUUCCCCAUUGGCGGAACUGCUUCAAAUCUUCCUCCUAAAUAUCCCAUGGAAACACAUUCAGUCCAACGGGAGAAAAAAAAACCCACUCCAUAACUCAAUCCAGCACAAGCAAUGUCAUGAAAACAACUUGAAACCUUCCUGCACAGGACAAUAUCACCCCCAUCUUGCUACUUUAAAAACCCAGGCUCCAUUUACUAGCUCAAGUAAUACAAUCAUCUUAUACCAGGUGAAUUAAACAAACUACAAGCAGACCAGUGAAAAAAAAUCAGCAACCAACUCUAAACAGUACCAAAUAAUUGAAAAGGCAACAGAAAAUAAUAAAUGUAAGCUAAUUAUAAAACAAGAUCAGAUAUAAUCCAGUAAAAUUCCAUUCAAAAUCCAAUUGUUACCAGAUUCUCCACCAAAACCACCUCCAAAAUGAGGUGCAAAAGUCAAACAUCACAGCAAAAUGCAUUGAAAAUCCGAUCUUCAGCAAUGUUCUAACAAGCCGACCUCGAAAAUGACAUGCAGAGUUGGAAAACCACAAAUCCAAGAAAAAACCAGAUCCAAAAUCCAAUCUUCAAACCCAAAAAAAAAAUAAUAAUAAUCUGGGACUGCACCAGUUAGAUCGGAUAAAAGGAUGAAUUCACACAGAAACUACGAUUAAUAAGUUUUGACCUUGACAGAGUCAUAUCCAGCAAGGUGAAGCAAAGCAUACUGAAGCAUACAUCCAUGGCCGGCUGAGAGAACAAACCGGUCCCUGUUGAACCAAUAAGGAUUCUUGGGAUUAUACUUCAUGACCUCAUCAUAAAGAAUAUGACCCAUUGGAGCGCAACCCAUGGGUAGACCCGGGUGACCGGAAUUAGCCUUCUCGACAGCAUCGACGGCCAAGAAACGGAUGGUAUUGAUGGACUUUUCUACAAGGGCCGUGCCGGUUUUCUCCAGAGUUUCUACUGCAGCUGAGGCCAAGACCUGGGCUUGGCGUCGACCCGCUGCUGGGACGGAGGGACUGCGGCGGCGGGAGGCAGCAGUGGUGGUUGUGGAGGGGGUGGAUUUGAGGGCAGAAAACGUGGGGAAGGAAACAGAAGGGAGGUGGGGGUUGGAAGAGCCAUGGCGAGGGAUGGAGCCGGCGAGAACGGCCUGGGAGAGAGUGAGGGAAGAAGAAGAAGCCAUGACUCUCUUGUGGUAGUGG
This 120453-nucleotide long non-coding RNA is filed under the name Coffea arabica (coffee). RNAcentral describes it as "long non-coding RNA (CARA_LNC001062)". Lineage: Eukaryota; Viridiplantae; Streptophyta; Magnoliopsida; Gentianales; Rubiaceae. The record is from RNAcentral.